Molecule: long non-coding RNA, 140552 nt
Filed under: Triticum aestivum (bread wheat)
Lineage: Eukaryota; Viridiplantae; Streptophyta; Magnoliopsida; Poales; Poaceae
Description: long non-coding RNA (TAES_LNC022163)
Source: RNAcentral
GAAACAUCUGCCCUUAAUUUAUUAGGAGAGAUAACCACAAUCGUUAGAUCUUAGAAACAAUUUAGUAACACCUAGAAAUUACCCACUAUGCCCUAAGCUUUUCUCCACGCCUCUUGUAUCUCACAAAGGUACCCAAAAAAACACGGAUCAGAAAAAGGGAUCAAUCAGGGGACGUGGCUCUCCAUCCCUCUCGCCGCCGCCGUGAACGCAUCGUUCCUUUGCCAUGUCGAUCAUGCAUCGUCGCCAUGGGAUGAGUGGAAAGUUUGCACUGUUCCAUCAAUUCCAUUGCCAGGUAUGUUUUCCCACAAAUGUCUACGUCUCCAUGUAUGAUUACUUGACAUUGAUUCCGUGAAUCCAUACUACUGCUUCUGUAGGCGUCUUCCCUUUUAAAUCCAUCUUCAAUUUUCAUCACCUGGCCUCGAUCCUUGCUUGCAUAUCAGAAAAUGUGGAGUUUGGGAUUGCAAAGGUGCUUAAAUAAUCAUGAUGGUUGCUGCAUACAUUGAUUUAGGAUUUUUCUUUGCUCCAUGCUUCAAAUAUUUGUUUCUCCUUUUUGCUGUGUGAUGCUAAGAAUUAACAAUGAAAUUUUGCACGAGCAAGAAAUUAACACAGGGAUGAGGGACAAUAUUAUACUGUAUCUAACAAGCAAUGGUCAUAGAGAACACAUAAUAAUUAGUGCCAAUCAAUAGAUACUUAAUGUUUCAUCCAAUCAAAAGUCUAUGCAGAGAACCGAAAAGACAACCUAUUGUAGGAUAUGUAUAUAGUGCAGUCCAUACUAAUAUACAUGCUCUGAGAAGUUAACAACUUGACAUGUAUAUUGCUUCCUCAUGAUUCAUGAUCUGUAGCUCGAACUAGAAUGAGAGCAGCAGGAGUCAGCAACCCGGUGCCAGUGGCUUGCCUCGGACAUUCCUGCUCGGAGAGCACCCCAUUGUGUCUCCUACAUGAGGAUGUAUGCUCUAGACUGGACAAACGAGUACCAGCAGCCGGUGCGCCGUACCAUAACAAAUGCCACUGUAUGUCUUAGGUGAUUAAGUUAAUCUGUUUACUACAAUGUCCUACAAGAAGUAGGAUGAAGCUAAGUUCAGCGCUCCUGGGCAGCAAGUCAAUUAAUCCCGGCAACAUCCAGACUCUGCAGGAUAUUUAGUGUCAAAUGGUGAGACCAAUUAACUGCCUAAUAGUUGCUGCUUCAUACGAUUUUCUUGACACUACAUAAUCUAACUUUUCUUGGUCAACCAUCAUAGGUUUAUUUCACAAAUUGAUGUAAACAAACGGUCGCUUAAAGAAGUCGCUGCGUCUUGAGGAUGUCUUAAACGGCUAUCACAAGGAUAUGAUUACUCAGCCUAGAAUUUUCAAGCAUCGUGAUUGGGCAUAGUCUUAAUCAUCCGGUCGCAAUGCCAAUGAAGCAAGAAAAUAACCAAAAGGAAGACUUAUUUAAGUGCAUGUAUCAACAUAAUUUCCGCUUCUUCCUAUAUUCAUUCUUUUCUUCUCAUUAUGUUGCCAGUUUCCUACUCUGUAGGAUGUAAAAUAUGAAAUACAUUUUUUGAUAGUUUCAUCUGUUUGUUCAAAGCAUUGGAAACAUGCAUCAACAUUUGAUGGAAAUAGCUCAAUAAUAUCAAUUAGUAUCAACAAUCUAUAUUAUGUGAUACCUGAUAUUUGAAUCUUAUUAUACAGUACAGGCCAAUAGUGAGUGCCCAUGCAUCAUUAUGUUUUAUAUGUAUAAUGCAACCAGAUCAAUUUUCCUAUUCAGUUAUUACAAAUCUCAGUUUAUCUUUGGGAAUUAUUAAAACUAUAGUGAAGCCCAAAUAAAAUAACUACUUCCUCCGUUCCUAAAUAAGUCUUUGUAGAAAUUCCACUAUUGAUUAGAUACGGAGCAAAAUGAGUGAAUCUACACUCUAAAUGCAUCUAUAUACAUCCGUAUGUGGUUCAUAGUGGAAUCUCUACAAAGACUUAUAUUUAGGAACGGAUGGAGUAUUUCUUAAGUAUGCUGAAUAUUAAUGGGGGUAGGGGGGCUAACGCCGAUGCCGGUCACAAGCCCGAAAAAAAAGUGGAGGGACAUUAACAAAUUAACAUUAUGCCCUUAGUUAUGAACACUGCUGUAGAGACAACAAUCAUGUAGCCCAUGAUUAGCUAGGCUUGCUAAGUUCUCCACCCCUCAUGUAUGGUCGUAUCCCCCCCAGGGAAGUCUUGCAGUUGAUUGUCUCUGAUGCUACUAUUGUAGCAACUUAAUAAAGAGGAGGUUUAUGUGUCAAAAAAAACAUUAUGCCCUUAGUUAUGUUUGGCAUGUAUAACUUACAAUGAUCAUGUAGUUGAUGGACCAGAAGUCAAUCUGAUGAAAAUCAACAUCAGACAAUAUGUAGGAGCACAAAAUACAUAAAUGGUGCAGAUUAUACUGGUGCAAUCGCACAAAAAAUUAGAAAAGGGGAAGGGAGAAGGAGGGACCUGCAGGUGGAAGAAUGCAACGCCAGAGCCGGGCUGCAGCUAUCAAGAAUGAAGACAGCGUGAUAAGAUGUCUCACUUUGGGACAACAACGACGCGUCCGGUUCGGCGCUUGUGGAUGACAAUGCCUUCAGGAAACCUCACACUCGCGCAGGAUCCAUGGACGAGAUCGACACCCUCAUCGCCUCCAUGGACGAGAUCGACACCCUCACCGCCUCCAUGGACGCCGACUGCAACGACAAUCGACUUCGACGAGCUCGCCUCCUCCCUCGCGCAACGGCUAUUCGGGACCUGCAACCCCUCCAUCGCCGUUCACUGGCCCGAGAGAUCCACGACCACGAGGCACGGGGGGAUCCAAACCAGCUGUUUUAGAAAGCCACAGCGUGGCCGUACCACUUACCCUUGACGUGGGGUGCGUGCAGGUGAGGACGAUGAAGAAGGAAAUGAGGGGAGCAUCAGAUCAGUCCUCACAUGCGGUGGAUCAAAGCUGGACCGGCUUCCCUCAUGGGAGCUCCCGAGAAGACAAGAACACAAGACUGGAGAAAGGGGAAAGUGAGUGUUCAGCUUGGUGGGACCCCUGAUGCCGUCGCGUUGUGCACAAUGGUCAGAGGAAAGUGAAGAGCCAACUUUUUCUUUGCUUGUGAUUCAGGCGUGAGACAAGCUUGGUGUCUUCUAAAAUUGUCUUACCUUAACUCUAUUAAGUGUUCAUGAAAUAAAAACAUAGGUACCAUUGCGAUUUUAGUGGACACUAGCAAAUAUGCCCGUGCGUUGCAACGGGAGAAAAAAAAUGCAUGCCUUAUAAACACAACGACAUCAACAAAUCCCUUAAAAUCUUUCAUUAUGCCACACAACAAGCAACAUGAUAAGUGGUGUUGUGCAAAAACAUAAAGGUGUGAUGAUUUUUGAAGUGUACUCAAGGUGUUUAGAAUUCAUUAUACAACACAAAUAUCUACCUAGUUGCCAGUAUAUGUUUACGCAUUUGUUGUUGUUUCUCGGUGAUGCCCAAAAAAAUAUUGCAUUAGAAUGAAAAUAGCAAAGUACAUUUUAGUAUUUAAUGAUAACAUGUGCAUAAGAGCAUUAUUUUUGUCAUAUACUCCCCCCAUCCAAAAAAGCAUGUCCCAAACUUGUCCCUCAAAUGGAUGUAUCUAGCACCAAGUUAGAUUUAAUGAUGAUAGCAUAUUUGAAAUCUACGUAUUUUGUGUGUGUCUGCAAUCAUAAUUCAGUUACUUAAUUUGGUUGCAAAUAUAUUGGAUAGCUCUACCAAAAACAACCAAUCUAUAAAGGACAUAUGCAAUAGGCAUUUCUAAAAUAUCUCAUCAUAUAAAGAAGGUAUUGUUUAAGUUUGCACCCUGUACAUAAUUUUAAAAAUUAAUGAUGAUAGCAUAUUUGGAAUCUAUGUAGUUUGUGUGUGUUUAGCAUCAUAAUUCAGUUACUUAAUCUGGUUGCAAACAUAUUGGAUAGCUCCACCAAAAAUAACCAAUCUAUAAGGACAUAUGCAAUAGGCAUUUCUAAAAUAUCUCAUCAUAUAAAGAAGGUAUUAUUUAAGUUUGCACCCUGAACAUAAUUUUAAAAAUUAAUGAUAAUAGCAUAUUNNNNNNNNNNNNNNNNNNNNNNNNNNNNNNNNNNNNNNNNNNNNNNNNNNNNNNNNNNNNNNNNNNNNNNNNNNNNNNNNNNNNNNNNNNNNNNNNNNNNNNNNNNNNNNNNNNNNNNNNNNNNNNNNNNNNNNNNNNNNNNNNNNNNNNNNNNNNNNNNNNNNNNNNNNNNNNNNNNNNNNNNNNNNNNNNNNNNNNNNNNNNNNNNNNNNNNNNNNNNNNNNNNNNNNNNNNNNNNNNNNNNNNNNNNNNNNNNNNNNNNNNNNNNNNNNNNNNNNNNNNNNNNNNNNNNNNNNNNNNNNNNNNNNNNNNNNNNNNNNNNNNNNNNNNNNGUAAGGGUUUUAAAGAUAUGAAAAUUUUAAAAAUUAAUGAUGAUAGCAUAUUUGGAAUCUAUGUAGUUUGUGUGUGUUUAGCAUCAAAAUUCAGUUACUUAAUCUGGUUGCAAACAUAUUGGAUAGCUCCACCAAAAAUAACCAAUCUAUAAGGACAUAUGCAAUAGGCAUUUCUAAAAUAUCUCAUCAUAUAAAGAAGGUAUUAUUUAAGUUUGCACCCUGAACAUAAUUUUAAAAAUUAAUGAUAAUAGCAUAUUUGGAAUCUACACAUUUUUCUGAUGAACUUUCAUAUAUGACAUGUCACAUUGAGUAAGGGUUUUAAAGAUAUGAAAAUUUCAAAAAUAUUUGAUCUUUGAAAGAAAAAAGGAGGGUGUGGGAAUCGAACCCACAACCUGCAGCCAGCUAGGCCAAGGAACCAACCAGUGCGAUGGUCCUAAGGUUGUUGUCCUUGAGGGGAUCUACGCUUUUUAAGUGAUGGGCUAGCGCGGACAAAAAAAAAAGAAAAAGACCAAACGUUUUUCUCACUUAAUGGUGGCAUUGGUGGGUAAUUUUUGCAACUUUAGGGGCAGUUUUAAUGACGGACGGGCAGAAGCGAUAGCCGCUUUAUUAGUAGGUAAAGAUAUAUUACAUAACUGCACCCUGAAUUCGUCUUAACUCAUAUGCGAAGUUCUAAGAUGUUUACGGUCAACUAAAAGGCGCGGACAAACAUAAUUGGUGGAAAUUACGGUUGCACGCAUUUACAACUAGAAACUCAAUAUAUCAAUCUUACAACUUUUUAGCAUAUAUUCCGAGGCAUGCGUGAAACCAGUAAAAACUACUUGCUCUAUGUUUAACGAAAGAGAAAUCUUAAGCAACGUUUUAAAGCAGAGACUAAUGAUUUUGCAGGGCUAUAACGGGCAAUUGCGAAAAUGGCGGGCAUUUUUUCAGUCAGGGGAGAGGAUUUUUGUACUUUAGAAAUAUGUAAUAUCCCGCACAUACAUUAUACCAAUGAGAAUUGUGAGAAAAUGACAAGUAUAUGCAAACGUGCGAGUAAGUAUUGCAAGGCAUUUACCUUUGAAUAAGUUGUUGACGAGUGCAUGUCAUGAACUAAUAAAUUAGUUGUCUUUCUAUUAGGCUUAUGUGAUUUGAGGAAAAUAAGUAAUAGUAAAGAAUAUUCUUAGGUUCUCGACCUUUCAAAUUUUAUAGGCACAAUGCCUACCUUUUGGUAUUUCAAACCUUAACACAUAAACAAUAAAUGCAUUGUUGAUACUGGUCACAAGAAAAUCAUUUGAAAAUAUAUUUUUUACUACCUACUGCAUGGCAAAGCCCCACAGUCUUUUAUUACCACCCAGAAACCAAGUUCAACUGUACAGAAGAGCAACUAAAAGCAGAAAAUAAAAAAACAUUUGAAAAUGUUGCUGUGAUGGUCCACAUAAAUAUGUAGUUAAUGUGGCUUUGAAUUGAGAUUUAUGAUAUCUGAAGUUUUAGUUUUGUACAUGGUGCAUAAUAUCAAGCAUUGAUUUUCUCUCUUGUGGAUUUGGUUUUUAUAGAAGAAGCUUAGAUCUCAUAAAUAUUUCAACAAAAAUGACCAUAGUCACCAGUGUAACACGAACUUCUAAUUGGCAUCACAAGGUUAGGAACAUGUAUACAACCAAAUUUCAUGACCCCUUAUUCUCUUGACUAAACAUGUCUUAAAUCAAUGAAGUGUGGACAAAACUAUGUUCUCAUCACAUUAGUCCCCAAUUUUUCUUUAGAUAAACCAAAUAAUAUGUUCUCAAUAUUAAACUUUCUAAAGUUCUAGCCCGCGCAUCGAGCGGGCCACUUUGCUAGUUUCCAGAAAGGAAAAAUAGCUGGGCUAAUCUUGUGGUGAACGUGAAACAUAAGACUGGGCUAGACGGGCCACAACCCAGUUGAAACCCUGCUCUGUCUCAACAAUAACAAAAAAAUACUGCUCGAGCAGCUACGUCCAAGGUGCCAGCCGAUCUUGUGAUGUUCUCUUGUCUAUUGACUAUAUACAUUGACAAUAUCGUGGGUCCCAGAUGUUAGGAAACCACCAGGAGGAAGCAUUUUCUUUUUCUAUACGCUAACAGUGGAGAAUAUAAAAAAUGAGUAACUUCCUUGCGUACGACAAUGGACAUGAUGGGUCCCUACUGUCAUCCUCUCCACGUACAAUCCUCUCCCGAUUCAUCUUGUUGUUGACCAUGUUGACAACGCGAGAGGGCAGCGCCGUGGCGUGCGCACGAAAGCGCGCGGAUGGCGACGGCGAGGCCUCGGAUGCCGGCGUUAACGAUUUAGGAGACGGUGGGGCAGUGAUGCGUGCGCUGAGGUGUAGCCAGCUGUGGGAGGCGGAAGCAGGCGGCCGCACCGGCGCUGGUUUGGUUUUGGCGGCUGGAAGAAGAUGAGACUGAAGAAACACAACAGACUGUAAAAGUAGCAGGAGUACUUAACAACCUUAGCUGAAACCUCAUGGUCGGUGAACAGAAGAUGUUCCUCAGUCAGAACAAAUUCCUCAGAGAACAGAAGAUCUUCAUCUUUGUCACUGAAGAAAUUGAUUGAACUGAAUGAGAUUUCCAAUGGCUUCACUCGAAAGGAUUGGGUAUGUGUAGGCUUUGAGAUGAGCAUCACUUGGAAAGUGUUUCCUUAGUUUUACCUCGACCCCCUUUAACAGUACGGUGUUUCCUAUGACUCAAGAAAGAGAAAUUGAUACUACGAAAACAAAAGUCUUCACGCUUCAUAGUCCUCGCAUUAAUAUCAAAGUCCUCAAGGUCACACCAAUUUCCUCAUUUUCAAAGUCUUCAAGAAAACCAAAGUCUUCAACUAACGACAUUCAUUUUUAAGGGUCGACUUUCAUCGUAAAUAUCAAACUCCUCAUAGACGUAUAGAACCUGUGUACACUCACAAACACAUUAGUCCCUUAAUGUAUAAGUCUUCGAUACACCAAAAUCACUAAGGGGCAUUAGAUGCACUUACAACCCCCCCCCCACCCCAUAUUGGUUGCUUGAUUCAUAUGGUUACAAUCCAUAAGCAUUUCUCUUUUGGAUUCAUCUGUACUAUUUUUCUUAGGGAAUUUUUCAUCCAAUCCAACGUCUUGUGAAGAAGGCUACAUUUUUUUAGAUUGUAAUCAAAUGCCCAUGUUAAUAAUGUCAGAUCGAAGAUGGCACAUUGGUGCAUUUUACAAAUCAUGCAAACCAAGCGUGUAGUAGUGUUCAAAACUGCAUGUAGGCACUAACACGUUCUCUUCUUUUGCAGAUAAUAAUAGGCCCAGAGGUGGAUAAUGUUUAUAACAAUAGUCACAUCGAGUGCAUGGAUCUGCAUCUCUCAAAUAUUACUUUGAACUCCUAUCGAGGGACCUUAUCGGAGAUUACAUUCGCCAGGUUCUUUAUUUCCAGAGCAAGGGUGCUGAGGGUACUGAGGUUGAACACACUUAUAAUUAGGAAUUGUUUGUUGAUCAGAGCUGGCAGCUACUGCAGAAUGGAAGAGGCUCCAAAAAAGCUAAACUUCGUAUUGGAAGAGCAUAUGACAGAGUAAUUGGAAGUCAUUGUGUCAAACCCAUACAUGACUUGUCAGCGGCUGAUCCCUUUGCAGAAAUGACGAGGUUUGCAAUGUUUGAAUUUGGGCAUUGUAAUCUUUGAAUUUGAACCUUGCAAUGUUUAUGGUAUUUGUUAUAUAACUUAAUUGGAUGUUUAAUUUGGUCUUGCAAUCAUGUCCUGUUACAAGUAUAUAUAUGUUGUUCUUCUGUACACAGAGCAUAGAUGUUCUGCAGGCAGAGCAUAUCACAUCGCACACGGACCACACUAGGUAACCCGUCGGCGAUGAAUUCAUCAAUCGCAAAUGGUUAGAUAUCGGCAAGCGUUUGCCCACAACACACACGGCUUAUUCCAUCACAAACAUCUUGGAUGGAUCAAUUGUAUGCCACGUAUCACACACGCAACUCUAAUCUGAUUCGUGCUUGAUGUCUCCGACAUCACUCGCCCAGUUUGUCUUAUUUCCCACGUAUCACUAUGUCGGCCUCUGCUCGCGUCCCUCCGCAAGCUCUGCUCACUGGUAGGCGCCGCAGCGUGCUGUGCUCGCCGUUAGAUGUCGCGGCCUGCUCUGCUCACGUCCGUAGGCAAGGUCGGCUUAUGGACAACUUUUCCUUGCGUGUUCAACUGCUAUAUGCAUAUAUAUGGUUGCUCGUCGUUAAGGCGACCGCGGAGCUCUCUGCUCACGUCCUCAGCGCGCGCUCUGCCCGCGGUUGGGCCUGCGCACGAUCACGUCGGGGGGCCCCAUAUGCAUGCGGUUGCACACCGCACGUCACCACACGAUGCAGUUACGUGCGGCACGAUGGAGCUACGUGAUACGUCUCCAACGUAUCUAUAAUUUUUUUUAUAUUCAUGCCAUGUUUAUAAUAUUUCUACAUGCUUUUGGUAUGAUUUGGUUAGAACUAACCCGGACCGACGCUGUUUUCAGCAGAACUGCCGUGGUGUUGUUUUUGUGCAGAAAUAAAAGUUCUCAGAAUGCGCUAAAAAUCAACGGAGAUUCUUUCUGGAAAAUAUAAAAAAUACUGGAAUAAAGAGUUACCGGAGAGGAGGCUCAUGGGGCCCACGAGGGUGGUGGGCGCGCCCACCCUCCUGGGGCGCGCCCCUGCCUUGUAGACACCCGUGGGUCCUCCUGACUUGUUCUCAACGCCAAACCCUCCUAUAAAUACAGAAACCCCCGAAACAUAACCUAGAUCGGGAGUUCCACCGCCGCAAGCCUCUGUAGCCACCAAAAACCAAUCGGGGCCCUGUUCCGGCACCCUGCCGGAGGGAGGAUCCAUCACCAGUGGCCAUCUUCAUCAUCCCGGCGAUCUCCAUGACGAGGAGCGAGUAGUUCACCCUCGAGGCUGAGGCUUGAUAACCCACAAGUGUAGGGGAUCGCAACAGCUUUUGAGGGUAAAGUAUUCAACCCAAAUUUAUUGAUUCGACAAAAGGGGAGCCAAAGAAUAUUCUUGAGUAUUAGCAGUUGAGUUGUCAAUUCAACCACACCUGGAUAACUUAGUAUCUGUAGCAAAGUAUUUAGUAGCAAAAGUGGUAUGAUAAUAAAGGUAACGGUAGCAAAAGUAAAGAUAAAUGUUUUUGGGUUUUUGUAGUAGUUGUAACAGUAGCAACAGAAAAGUAAAUAAGCGAAGAACAAUAUAUGAAAAGCUCGUAGGCAAUGGAUCAGAGAUGGAUAAUUAUGCUGGAUGCGAUUCCUCAUGUAAUAGCUAUAACAUAGGGUGACACAGAACUAGCUCCAAUUCAUCAAUGUAAUGUAGGCAUGUAUUCCGUAAAUAGUCAUACAUGCUUAUGGAAAAGAACUUGCAUGACAUAUUUUGUCCUACCCUCCCGUGGAAGUGGGGUCCUAGCCAAAACUAAGGGAUAUUAAGGCCUCCUUUUGAUAGAGAACCGGAACAAAGCAUUAGCACAUAGUGUAUACAUGAACUCCUCAAACUACGGUCAUCACUGAGAAGUAUCCCGAUUAUUGUCACUUCGGGGUUGUCGGAUCAUAACACAUAAUAGGUGACUAUAUACUUGCAAGAUAGGAUCAAGAACACACAUAUAUUCAUGAAAACAUAAUAGGUUCAGAUCUGAAAUCAUGGCACUCGGGCCCUAGUGACAAGCAUUAAGCAUAGCAAAGUCAUAGCAACAUCAAUCUCAAAACAUAGUGGAUACUAGAGAUCAAACCCUAACAAAACUAACUUGAUUACAUGGUAAAUCUCAUCCAACCCAUCACCGUCCAGCAAGCCUACGAUGGAAUUACUUACGCAUGGCGGUGAGCAUCAUGAAAUUGGUGAUGGAGGAUGGUUGAUGAUGAUGACGGCGACGAAUCCCCCUCUCCAGAGCCCCGAACGGACUCCAGAUCAGCCCUCCCGAGAGAGAUUAGGGCUUGGCGAUGGCUCCGUGUCGUAAAACGCGAUGAAACUUUCUCCCUGAUUUUUUCUCCCCGAACGUGAAUAUAUGGAGUUGGAGUUGAGGUCGGUGGAGGUCCAGGGGGGCCACGAGAUAGGAGGGCGCGCCCUAGGGGGGGCGCCCCCCUGUGUCGUGGACAACCUGUGGGCCCCCUGGUCUUGAUUCUUUCGCCAAAAAUUCUUAUUAAUUCCAAAAAGUGCCUCCGUGGAUUUUCAGGACAUUCCGAGAACUUUUCUUUUCUACACAUAAAACAAAAUCAUGGCAGUUCUACUGAAAACAACGUCAGUCCGGAUUAGUUUCAUUCAAAUCAUGCAAGUUAGAGUCCAAAACAAGGGCAAAAGUGUUUGGAAAAGUAGAUACAUUGGAGACGUAUCAACUCCCCCAAGCUUAAACCUUUGCUUGUCCUCAAGCAAUUCAGUUGAUAAACUGAAAGUGAAAAAUAAAAAAAAUUACAAACUCAGUUUGCUCUUGUUGUUGUAAACAUGAAAAGCCAGCAUUCAAGUUUCGGCAAAUAUUAUGAACUAACCAUACUCACAAUAACACCUAGGUCUCACAAUUACUCAUAUCAAUAGCAUAAUCAGCUAGCGAGCCAUAAUAAUAAAACUCGGAUGACAACACUUUCUCAAAAUAAUCAUAACAUGACAUAACAAAAUGGUAUCUCGCUAGAUCUUUCCGAGACCGCAAAACAUAAAUGCAGAGCACCUUUAAAGAUCAAGGACUGACUAAACAUUGUAAUCCAUGGUAAAAGAGAUCCAGUCAAGUCAUACCCAAUAUAAACCAAUAAUAAUGAAUGCAAAUGACAGUGUGCUCUCCAGCGGGUGCUUUUAAUAAGAAGGGUGAUGACUCAACAUAAAAGUAAAUAGAUAGGCCCUUCGUAGAGGGAAUGUAACGCCCCAGAUAUACUUUCCAUAUUUGUAUCCAACUCUUGCCGUCUCCGGCGCUAAGUUAUAUUUAUUUCUCGGGUUCGGGUCUUUGUCUCCGUGUGUUGUUUUCGUUUUCAUGCAUUUCAUACCAUGUCAUCUCGUGCAUUGCAUUUGCAUACAUGUUCAUCUCAUGCAUUCGAGCAUUUUCCCCGUUGUCCGUUUUGCAUUCCGGCGCUUCGUUCUCCUCCGGUGGUCAUUUCUAGUUUUCUUUCGUGUUUGGGAAUUAAACAUUUCCGGAUUGGACCGAGACUUGCCAAGCGGCCUUGGUUUACUACCGGUAGACCGCCUGUCAAGUUUCGGGUCAUUUGGACUUCGUUUGAUACUCCAACGGUUAACCGAGGGACCGGAAAGGCCUCGUGUGUGUUGCAGCCCAACACCCCCCAAAUUUGGCCCAAAACCCACCAAACUCUGCUCCAUGUCCUAGAGCGUUCGAUCACGAUCGUGUGGGCGAAAACCGCACCUCAUUUGGACUCUCCUAGCUCCCUCUAUGCCUAUUUAUACCCCCCNNNNNNNNNNNNNNNNNNNNNNNNNNNNNNNNNNNNNNNNNNNNNNNNNNNNNNNNNNNNNNNNNNNNNNNNNNNNNNNNNNNNNNNNNNNNNNNNNNNNNNNNNNNNNNNNNNNNNNNNNNNNNNNNNNNNNNNNNNNNNNNNNNNNNNNNNNNNNNNNNNNNNNNNNNNNNNNNNNNNNNNNNNNNNNNNNNNNNNNNNNNNNNNNNNNNNNNNNNNNNNNNNNNNNNNNNNNNNNNNNNNNNNNNNNNNNNNNNNNNNNNNNNNNNNNNNNNNNNNNNNNNNNNNNNNNNNNNNNNNNNNNNNNNNNNNNNNNNNNNNNNNNNNNNNNNNNNNNNNNNNNNNNNNNNNNNNNNNNNNNNNNNNNNNNNNNNNNNNNNNNNNNNNNNNNNNNNNNNNNNNNNNNNNNNNNNNNNNNNNNNNNNNNNNNNNNNNNNNNNNNNNNNNNNNNNNNNNNNNNNNNNNNNNNNNNNNNNNNNNNNNNNNNNNNNNNNNNNNNNNNNNNNNNNNNNNNNNNNNNNNNNNNNNNNNNNNNNNNNNNNNNNNNNNNNNNNNNNNNNNNNNNNNNNNNNNNNNNNNNNNNNNNNNNNNNNNNNNNNNNNNNNNNNNNNNNNNNNNNNNNNNNNNNNNNNNNNNNNNNNNNNNNNNNNNNNNNNNNNNNNNNNNNNNNNNNNNNNNNNNNNNNNNNNNNNNNNNNNNNNNNNNNNNNNNNNNNNNNNNNNNNNNNNNNNNNNNNNNNNNNNNNNNNNCACCCAUGCAUUUUUAGGAUGUGUGUGUUGUCUUGUGCAAGCUUGCGAAGAGAGGUACCUGAGAUUGCAGAUUUCAGGGACUUAGUGAUUUUCACUGUCUGGGAUAUUUUAGUUCAUGAUGCUAUAUGUCCAGCUUGUUUCCUAGUGAUCCGUGCCUCUUUUGAGGAUGAUCAGUAAGGGAGUUUUGAUAUCUAUGUCAUGCUCUAUCCAUCCAUGUCUUUGUUGGCAUAUGUGGAGUGCUCUAGGUUGACUCAAUCGAGCUCAACUUUUGCUUCGUUGUUAAUCUGGGCAGAUCGUCAACUUGUUUGCGAUUUUGCCGAUGCUACCGUUAGUGUUCCAUGCAUGCUAUGCAUUCGUUCUUGCCAUGUGUAGCUAGCACUUUGUGCCUUCUUGCUGGUUAUAUGCUUUCCUUGCCAUGACUUGCACCGUAGUGAGUGCAUCGAGCUCGUUUACAUGCCUUCGUGAGUUAAAUUUCAGCAUGUCUCAGUUUUCACUAAGUCUGAAGACUGAUUGUGUUCGAGCGAUGUUCGUGAGCUCGGUAGAGUAUUUUGUGAACCCUUUUGGCCCCAGGUCACUUUGGGUGUUUUGUUAAGCUUGUUGAGUAGCUCCAUGCCAUGUUCUUACUUGUCAUGUUCAGGUUUUCUAUCAUGUUGUUUUGCUGCUCCGAAGAGAGCAUCGUGAUCUGAAAUUUCAGACUAGUGUUAAUUUCACUAAGUCUGAAAUCUGUUUUGCAUUUGCGUUUUAGCCAUGCUUGUUUGAACCUCUUAAUGGAUGAAUUUGCCUAUGGCUCAGUGCUAGUGUUUUGUCAACCAUCUUGUGUACAUCACUGCCAUCUAUUUUGUUUUCAUGUUUGGUGGCUGUAGCAUAUUCAUUUCGUUGCAUUUAGAUGCCUACUUGCUGUAAAUCGCAGACCGGUGUCAUAUCUUAAAACGCUCACCAUUUCCAAACCGUAACUCCGAUUCCAAUGAUCUUUAUAUCGUUUUCAAGCGAUUUCAUCCCCUCUAUCCAGUGGCACACUUGGUUUUCCAAGUUGAUGCCAGGUUCAUGCAUUUCCUGUCAUAUCUUGCAUUUUGCAUCCCGCAUCGCAUCCCGCAUAACAUAUCGUCAUUUCAUCAUAUUGCUUGGUCUUGCCCGUGGUUGAUUGUAUCCUUGUUGCUUGUUUGUCUUGUUGGGCAGAGCCGGGAGACGAGUUCGCUACCGAGGAGCCCGUUGAGUUUGCUUGCGAGGAUCCAGUCAACUCUGACAACUGUGCAGGCAAGAUGAUCAUACCCUCGAAAUCACUACUAUCUUUGCUAUGCUAGUUUGCUCGCUCUUUUGCUUUGCCACUGCUACGAUGCCUACCUUUUGCUUGUCAGCCUCCCAAUUGCCAUGUUGAACCUCUAACCCACCUUUGUCCUAGCAAACCGUUGAUUGGCUAUGUUACCGCUUUGCUCAGCCCUUCUUAUAGCGUUGUUAGCUGCAGGUGAAGAUUGGAGCCGUUCCUUGUUGGAGCAUUUAUUUACUUGUUGGGAUAUCAUUAUAUUGCUAUGUUAUCUUAAUGCAUCUAUAUACUUGGUAAAGGGUGGAAGGCUCGGCCUCUCGCCUACUGUUUUGUUCCACUCUUGCCGCCCUAGUUUCCGUCAUAUCGGUGUUAUGUUCCCGGAUUGUGCGUCCCUUACGCGGUUGGGCUAUAAUGGGAACCCCUUGAUAGUUCGCCUUGAUUAAAGCUUUUCCAGCAAUGCCCAACAUUGGUUUUACCAUUUGCCACCUAGCCUCUUUUUCCCUUGGGUUUCCGGAGCCCGAAGGUCAUCUUUAUUUUAGCCCCCCCCCCACGGGCCAGUGCUCCUCUGAGUGUUGGUCCGAACUAGAGCCCUGUGCAGCGCCACCUCGGGGAAACUCGAGGUUUGGUUUUAGUUGUACGGAUUGCUCAUCUGAGUGUGCCCUGAGAAAGAGAUAUGUGCAGCUCCUAUCGGGAUUUGUCGGCACAUUCGGGCGGUGUUGAUGGACUUGUUUUAACCUGUCGAAUCAUCUUGUUGUACCAAGAUACCGAGUCUGAUCGGUGUGUUUUGGGUGGAGGUCUAUUCCUUCGUUGACCGUGAGAGCUUGUUAUGGGCUAAGUUGGGACCCCCCCUGCAGGGAUUGAUCUUUCGAAAGCCGUGCCCGCGGUUAUGGGCGGAUGGGAAUUUGUUAAUGUCCGGUUGUAGAUUACUUGAAUUAAACUUAAUUAAAAUGAAUCAACCGUGUGUGUUACCGUGAUGGCCCCUUCUCGGCGGAGUCCGGGAAGUGGACACGGUGUUGGAGUUAUGCUUGCGCAGGGUGUUCCUUUAGCUUCUCGCUCGUGCUUCGCCUUCUCUUCUCGCUCUCUUUUGCGUAUAAGAUAGCCACCACAUAUGCUAGUCGCCUGCUGCAGCUCCACAUAUUUUUGCCUUAUCCAUUCCUAUGAGCUUAAAUAGUUUUGAUCGCGUGGGUGUGAGAUUGCUGAGUCCCUGUGGCUCACAGAUACUACAACUCCAGAUGCAGGUCCAGGUGUUUCUGCUCCAGUUGACGAUUACGAGCUCCAGUGGGAGUUCGACGAGGACUCUCAGCGAUACUACGUAUCUUUUCCGGAUGAUCAGUAGUGGUGCCUAGUUGGGGUUAUCGAUUCAGGACCUUGUCGCAUGUUGGGUUCUUUUCUAUUUUGGCACCGUAGUCGGGCCAUGAGUGCUUGUUUGAUGGAUGUUAUUUAUGUACUCUGAUGUGACGUGGCGAGUGUAAGCCAACUAUGUUAUCUCCCCCUUUGAUUAUGUAUUACAUGGGAUGUUGUAAUGAUUGCCUGACUUGCGACAUUGCUUUCAAUGCGGUUAUGCCUCUAAGUCGUGCCUCGACACGUGGGAGCUGUAGCCGCAUCGAGGGCGUUACAAGUUGGUAAUCAGAGCCUUCCCCGACCUUAGGAGCCCCAUUGCUUGAUCGUUUUUAGCAGCCGAGUUGUGUCUAGAAAAAAUGUUUUGAGUCCUUAGGAAUUAUAUAUCGGAGAGCUUAGGAAUUCUUUUUACUUCCCAGUCUCCUCAUCGCUCUGGUAAGGCAUCCUGGCGUAGAGUUUUGACUCUUCUCUUCUCAAAUUUCACAAAAAAAAAUUUUAGGAUCACGCGAGUAUCUUGGUUUUGUUCCGAUGGUUUUGUGACGAGAACAUUGUUCUUGGUGCCUCCUGUCUUUAGGGGUUGUGGCAGUGUCCCGGGGAGUUGAGCUCCGAGGUGUUGUUGUCACAAUUUUAUCGUUGCAAUUCUGGUAUACUUGAGAUAUGUUCGCCGACAUCGAAAAUCUCUUUUAUGCAGUUCGUUGGUGAGAUAACCUCGACGCCACCCAGUACUGGGGCGGGAGUUCGGGAGUAUCGCCAUAACUUGUAUAACGGAUGCUUUUCGAAGGUUGAGGUAGAUGGUUUCCGAAGUUUUCCUGGUUAUGUGUUGAAGGAUGGAUACAGCUGGAUGUAGGAUUUGCUAGUUUGGGUGAGAUAUUGUGCUUCCCCUGUAUCCCCAACACCUGAUUGCAUAACCGGAAAGGUUCGGGAGUUUCAUAGGUGGGAAUUCUAGUAGCUCUAGUUCUUCUUCCACGGAUAUUGGUUUGAGAUUGGGAUUUCUUACCGAUUAUUCGUUCUUGAUCCGUACCUUGUUGAUUUAUUUCUCUACCUUAAUUCUUCGUGGCUUCUCAAUUUCUGGAUAUGUGAUCAUUUGAAGAGGAAUGCAUUCGUUCAUUUUGUUCGGAUGUGAAGACUAUAUGUUGCAAUUUUCAUUCCGUUGGAUUCAGCUUCUAUAUUGUUGGCUAUCAAUGUGCUAAUGAUGGUCAACCUGUUCAGGAUGGCUCCUCCAACGCGCACGACUCCGAAUCCUGAUCCGCCUCCACCUCCGCCUCCUCCGGAAGCAUGGCAAGCUGUGAUGGCCGCUACUAAUGCAAACACACAGUUGAUCAUGCAAAUUCUCCAAGAGCGCAAUCAAGGCAGUCAAGGGAAUCAGGGCCACAAUCAGCACCACUUUGCUACUCUGAACCAGUUCCUCGCAAAUGGCCCAAAGACGUUCAGCGGUUGUGUUGAGGCUACCGAUGCUGACGAUUGGCUAGUGGAUCUGGGCAAGCAUUUUGAAUGCAGCAACGUCAGGCCUGAAGAUUUCGUCAAGUUCGCUUCUUUCCAGCUCAAAGAUCAGGCUGCAGAGUGGUUCCAGCAGUACAAGGAUUCCAGAGGUGGACGUCUGAUCACUUGGGACGAUUUCCGUCAAGAUUUCCGCGCUCAUCACAUCCCUCAAAGUGUGGUUGAGAGUAAGCGUCAGGAAUUCCGCAAUCUGAAACAAGGCUCUUUGUCUGUCUAUGACUACAACAAGUUGUUCCAGAAGCUCGCCCGUUUUGCCAAGCAGGAUGUUCCUGAUGAGAAGAGCAUGAUCUAUCAGUUCAGGGGUGGUCUUCGUGAGGAAAUUCAGCUCGCUCUUGUCCUCUUUGAGCCGUUGAGAUACGAUGAGUUCUACAACAUGGCACUGAAGCAAGAGGCUGCUCAGAUGAGAUGUGAUGCUUCCAGGAAGCAUGCCAGAGAUGUUACUCCUUCUUCCUCUACUCAAGUGGUCAAGCAGCAGAAGUAUUGGCUUCCUCCUCCUCCGUUCCGUCAGCCGUAUCAGCAGAAGAGCAAAGGUGGCAAUGGUUUCUCCCACCCACCCAACCCAGGCUUUCAGAACAAGGCUUCGUCUCAAGCUCCAAGAUCGAGUGCUCCGUAUCACCGUCCGCUUUCAGAGGUCACGUGCAACAAGUGCCAACAGAAGGGUCACUAUGCCAACAAGUGUACCAACCAGAGGCGUCUUCCUCCUCCUCCUCCUGUCAGAUCGGCAAGUACAGCGGUGGUCAAGCACAAUCCCAAGCACGCCAAGGUCAAUAUGGUGAAUGCAGCUCAGGCAGAGGAUUCUUCAGAUGUGAUCAUGGGUAACCUUCCUGUUAAUGAUAUUCCUGCAAAAGUUCUUUUUGACACUGGUGCAUCGCAUUGUUUCAUCUCGAGACCUUUUGCUUCCAAGCAUGAUUUUGUUACUCAAAUGUUGCCGAGACCAUUGUCUGUUGACUCUCCGGCCAGCCUCUUGACAUCUCGAGUGUGUGUUCCGGAUGUUACAAUCACUUUGGGCGACUGCAAGUUUCUCUCUUCUCCGGUGGUUCUUGGCAAUUCUGAUAUCGAUCUUAUUCUCGGGAUGGACUGGCUCUCUAAGCAUAAAGCUCAGCUUGAUUGUGCAGCCAGGCAGAUUCAACUGACGCAUUCGUCUGAGGAGGUCAUUGUCUUUGCCGCUCGGGAUAAUACCAUCCGGUUGUUUUCUCUCAAUGAGAAGGGUGAAUUGGAUGCUAUUUCGCAGAUUCCGGUUGUUUGCGAAUAUCAAGACGUCUUUCCAGAAGAACUUCCAGGGAUGCCUCCAAACCGGCCGGUUGAAUUCGUUAUUGAACUUGAGCCCGGUACGGAACCUGUGUGCAAACGUCCUUACAAGCUCGGCCCCGAAGAGUUGAAGGAGUUGAAGAAACAACUCGAUGAGCAAGAAAGAUUGGGUCUCAUUCGGCCUAGUACUUCUCCGUGGGGUUGUGGUGUUCUUUUUGUGAAGAAGAAGGAUGGAUCGAGUCGACUUUGUGUUGAUUACCGUCCAGUAAACAAGAAGACCAUCAAGAACAAAUACCCACUUCCCAACAUCAAUGAGUUGUUCGAACAACUCAAGGGUGCUCAAGUAUUCUCCAAGCUUGAUCUCCGUAUGGGUUAUCAUCAGAUUCGUAUUCGUGAGCAAGAUAUUCCCAAGACGGCGUUCAGAACAAGCUUUGGUUCAUAUGAAUACACCGUCAUGUCUUUUGGCCUCGCCAACGCUCCUCCGACGUUCUCUCGCAUGAUGAACUUCAUCUUCAACCCCUACACCAAUGAAUUCGUUUUGGUCUAUCUCGACGACAUUCUGGUUUUCUCGAAGAACAAGAAAGAUCAUGCCAGGCACUUGCGUUUGGUUCUUGACAAGCUCAGAGAACAUCAGUUCUACGCCAAGUUUUCCAAGUGUGAAUUUUGGCUCGAUGAAGUUCUUUAUCUUGGUCAUAUCAUCUCUGCCAAGGGCAUUUCCGUGAAUCCUGAGAAGGUGACUGCAAUUGUGAAUUGGGAACCUCCUCAGAACGUAAAGCAACUCCGCAGUUUCCUCGGUCUCGCAAGCUAUUGCAGAAGAUUCGUUGAAAACUUUUCUAAGAUCGCCAAGCCUCUCUCAAAUCUUCUUCAGAAGCACGUCAAGUACGUUUGGUCUCCGGAGUGUGAUAUUGCUUUCAACACUUUGAAAGAGAAAUUGAUCACUGCUCCAGUUCUGACUCCACCUGAUGAAACCAAGCCGUACGAGGUCUUUUGUGAUGCCUCUCUCCAAGGUCUCGGUGUUGUACUGAUGCAAGAGAAGAAAGUUGUUGCUUAUACCUCUCGCCAGUUGAAACCUAAUGAGAAGAACUACCCCACUCAUGAUCUCGAGUUGGCGGCAGUUGUGCACGCUUUGUUGACUUGGAGACAUCUUCUAUUGGGAAGGAAAGUGGAUAUUUUCACUGAUCACAAGAGUCUCAAGUACAUCUUCACUCAGCCUAAUCUCAACCUCAGGCAGACUCGAUGGGUCGAAAUGAUUCAAGAGUACAAUCCGAGUAUCGAGUAUACUCCAGGCAAGGCCAAUGUGAUUGCUGACGCUUUGAGCAGGAAAGCAUAUUGCAACAGUCUGAUUCUCAAGCCUUAUCAACCCGAGCUUUGUGAAGCUUUCCGCAAACUUAAUCUGCAAGUUGUUCCUCAAGGUUUCCUCGCCAACCUUCAAGUCUCUCCUACCUUAGAAGACCAGAUUCGCCAAGCCCAACUUCUUGAUGAUAUGGUGAAAAAGGUGAAGAUUGGUAUUGCAAAGAGUCAGUCCAAGUACAAGUGCUUCCGACUUGAUGACAAGGCCACUCUCUUCUUCGAGGAUCGAAUUGUUGUGCCCAAAGGUGAACUCCGUAAGGUGAUCAUGAACGAGGCUCACAACUCUCUCCUCUCCAUCCACCCUGGUAGUACGAAGAUGUAUCAGGAUCUCAAGCAAACUUAUUGGUGGACUCGAAUGAAGCGCGAGAUCGCUCAAUUCGUGAACGAAUGUGAUGUCUGCAGAAGAGUGAAGGCAGAACACCAAAGGCCAGCUGGUCUCCUCCAACCUCUUGCCAUUCCAGAAUGGAAGUUUGACCACAUUGAAAUGGACUUCGUGACUGGGUUUCCAAAGUCCAAGCGUGGCAAUGAUGCUAUAUUUGUUGUCAUCGACAAGCUCACCAAAGUGGCUCAUUUUUUGCCUAUCAAAGAGUCAAUCACUGCAGCUCAAUUGGCGGAACUCUAUACCUCUCGCAUUAUCUCUCUGCACGGUAUUCCUCAAGUGAUAUCUUCAGACCGUGGCAGCAUCUUUACCUCCAAGUUUUGGGAUUCUUUUCAGAAAGCCAUGGGCACCAACAUCCGCUUCAGCACAGCUUUCCAUCCUCAAACAAGCGGUCAAGUCGAGCGUGUCAACCAAAUUCUUGAAGAUAUGCUCAGGGCUUGUGUGAUCUCCUUCGGCAUGAAGUGGGAGGAUUGUCUUCCUUAUGCUGAAUUCUCAUACAACAACAGCUUUCAAGCAAGUUCGGGCAAGGCCCCCUUUGAAAUUCUGUAUGGCAGGAAGUGCCGUACCCCUCUCAACUGGUCUGAAACCGGUGAACGUCAGCUGCUGGGUAAUGACUUAAUCACAGAAGCAGAAGAAAUGUGCAAAGUCAUUCGUGAUAACCUCAAAGCAGCCCAGUCCCGCCAGAAGUGCUACUAUGAUAGUAAGCACCGUGAAUUGGCUUUCGAGAUCGGAGAUCAUGUUUACCUCCGCGUCUCUCCCAUGAAAGGUACUCGUCGCUUCGGUAUCAAAGGGAAGCUUGCCCCUAGAUACGUGGGACCUUUCAAGAUUGUCAGCAAGAGAGGCAACCUUGCCUAUCAACUCGAGCUUCCUUCAAACUUUGCAAAUGUUCAUGAUGUGUUCCAUGUCUCUCAGCUUCAAAAGUGCUUCAAGACUCCUGACCGCACCGUCAACUUCGAGGACAUUGAGCUCCAAGAAGAUCUCUCCUAUCGUGAGCACCCAGUUGCUAUUCUUGAAGAGACUGAACGCAAGACUCGCAACAAGUCAAUCAAAUUUCUCAAAGUCAAGUGGUCACACCAUUCCGACCGUGAAGCUACCUGGGAACGUGAGGAUCACCUCCGUUCUAAGUACCCGGAGUUCUUUCAGUCCUAGAUCUCGGGACGAGAUCUUUUCGUAGUGGUGGAGUGUUGUAACGCCCCAGAUAUACUUUCCAUAUUUGUAUCCAACUCUUGCCGUCUCCGGCGCUAAGUUAUAUUUAUUUCUCGGGUUCGGGUCUUUGUCUCCGUGUGUUGUUUUCGUUUUCAUGCAUUUCAUACCAUGUCAUCUCGUGCAUUGCAUUUGCAUACAUGUUCAUCUCAUGCAUUCGAGCAUUUUCCCCGUUGUCCGUUUUGCAUUCCGGCGCUUCGUUCUCCUCCGGUGGUCAUUUCUAGUUUUCUUUCGUGUUUGGGAAUUAAACAUUUCCGGAUUGGACCGAGACUUGCCAAGCGGCCUUGGUUUACUACCGGUAGACCGCCUGUCAAGUUUCGGGUCAUUUGGACUUCGUUUGAUACUCCAACGGUUAACCGAGGGACCGNNNNNNNNNNNNNNNNNNNNNNNNNNNNNNNNNNNNNNNNNNNNNNNNNNNNNNNNNNNNNNNNNNNNNNNNNNNNNNNNNNNNNNNNNNNNNNNNNNNNNNNNNNNNNNNNNNNNNNNNNNNNNNNNNNNNNNNNNNNNNNNNNNNNNNNNNNNNNNNNNNNNNNNNNNNNNNNNNNNNNNNNNNNNNNNNNNNNNNNNNNNNNNNNNNNNNNNNNNNNNNNNNNNNNNNNNNNNNNNNNNNNNNNNNNNNNNNNNNNNNNNNNNNNNNNNNNNNNNNNNNNNNNNNNNNNNNNNNNNNNNNNNNNNNNNNNNNNNNNNNNNNNNNNNNNNNNNNNNNNNNNNNNNNNNNNNNNNNNNNNNNNNNNNNNNNNNNNNNNNNNNNNNNNNNNNNNNNNNNNNNNNNNNNNNNNNNNNNNNNNNNNNNNNNNNNNNNNNNNNNNNNNNNNNNNNNNNNNNNNNNNNNNNNNNNNNNNNNNNNNNNNNNNNNNNNNNNNNNNNNNNNNNNNNNNNNNNNNNNNNNNNNNNNNNNNNNNNNNNNNNNNNNNNNNNNNNNNNNNNNNNNNNNNNNNNNNNNNNNNNNNNNNNNNNNNNNNNNNNNNNNNNNNNNNNNNNNNNNNNNNNNNNNNNNNNNNNNNNNNNNNNNNNNNNNNNNNNNNNNNNNNNNNNNNNNNNNNNNNNNNNNNNNNNNNNNNNNNNNNNNNNNNNNNNNNNNNNNNNNNNNNNNNNNNNNNNNNNNNNNNNNNNNNNNNNNNNNNNNNNNNNNNNNNNNNNNNNNNNNNNNNNNNNNNNNNNNNNNNNNNNNNNNNNNNNNNNNNNNNNNNNNNNNNNNNNNNNNNNNNNNNNNNNNNNNNNNNNNNNNNNNNNNNNNNNNNNNNNNNNNNNNNNNNNNNNNNNNNNNNNNNNNNNNNNNNNNNNNNNNNNNNNNNNNNNNNNNNNNNNNNNNNNNNNNNNNNNNNNNNNNNNNNNNNNNNNNNNNNNNNNNNNNNNNNNNNNNNNNNNNNNNNNNNNNNNNNNNNNNNNNNNNNNNNNNNNNNNNNNNNNNNNNNNNNNNNNNNNNNNNNNNNNNNNNNNNNNNNNNNNNNNNNNNNNNNNNNNNNNNNNNNNNNNNNNNNNNNNNNNNNNNNNNNNNNNNNNNNNNNNNNNNNNNNNNNNNNNNNNNNNNNNNNNNNNNNNNNNNNNNNNNNNNNNNNNNNNNNNNNNNNNNNNNNNNNNNNNNNNNNNNNNNNNNNNNNNNNNNNNNNNNNNNNNNNNNNNNNNNNNNNNNNNNNNNNNNNNNNNNNNNNNNNNNNNNNNNNNNNNNNNNNNNNNNNNNNNNNNNNNNNNNNNNNNNNNNNNNNNNNNNNNNNNNNNNNNNNNNNNNNNNNNNNNNNNNNNNNNNNNNNNNNNNNNNNNNNNNNNNNNNNNNNNNNNNNNNNNNNNNNNNNNNNNNNNNNNNNNNNNNNNNNNNNNNNNNNNNNNNNNNNNNNNNNNNNNNNNNNNNNNNNNNNNNNNNNNNNNNNNNNNNNNNNNNNNNNNNNNNNNNNNNNNNNNNNNNNNNNNNNNNNNNNNNNNNNNNNNNNNNNNNNNNNNNNNNNNNNNNNNNNNNNNNNNNNNNNNNNNNNNNNNNNNNNNNNNNNNNNNNNNNNNNNNNNNNNNNNNNNNNNNNNNNNNNNNNNNNNNNNNNNNNNNNNNNNNNNNNNNNNNNNNNNNNNNNNNNNNNNNNNNNNNNNNNNNNNNNNNNNNNNNNNNNNNNNNNNNNNNNNNNNNNNNNNNNNNNNNNNNNNNNNNNNNNNNNNNNNNNNNNNNNNNNNNNNNNNNNNNNNNNNNNNNNNNNNNNNNNNNNNNNNNNNNNNNNNNNNNNNNNNNNNNNNNNNNNNNNNNNNNNNNNNNNNNNNNNNNNNNNNNNNNNNNNNNNNNNNNNNNNNNNNNNNNNNNNNNNNNNNNNNNNNNNNNNNNNNNNNNNNNNNNNNNNNNNNNNNNNNNNNNNNNNNNNNNNNNNNNNNNNNNNNNNNNNNNNNNNNNNNNNNNNNNNNNNNNNNNNNNNNNNNNNNNNNNNNNNNNNNNNNNNNNNNNNNNNNNNNNNNNNNNNNNNNNNNNNNNNNNNNNNNNNNNNNNNNNNNNNNNNNNNNNNNNNNNNNNNNNNNNNNNNNNNNNNNNNNNNNNNNNNNNNNNNNNNNNNNNNNNNNNNNNNNNNNNNNNNNNNNNNNNNNNNNNNNNNNNNNNNNNNNNNNNNNNNNNNNNNNNNNNNNNNNNNNNNNNNNNNNNNNNNNNNNNNNNNNNNNNNNNNNNNNNNNNNNNNNNNNNNNNNNNNNNNNNNNNNNNNNNNNNNNNNNNNNNNNNNNNNNNNNNNNNNNNNNNNNNNNNNNNNNNNNNNNNNNNNNNNNNNNNNNNNNNNNNNNNNNNNNNNNNNNNNNNNNNNNNNNNNNNNNNNNNNNNNNNNNNNNNNNNNNNNNNNNNNNNNNNNNNNGAUGCCUACCUUUUGCUUGUCAGCCUCCCAAUUGCCAUGUUGAACCUCUAACCCACCUUUGUCCUAGCAAACCGUUGAUUGGCUAUGUUACCGCUUUGCUCAGCCCUUCUUAUAGCGUUGUUAGCUGCAGGUGAAGAUUGGAGCCGUUCCUUGUUGGAGCAUUUAUUUACUUGUUGGGAUAUCAUUAUAUUGCUAUGUUAUCUUAAUGCAUCUAUAUACUUGGUAAAGGGUGGAAGGCUCGGCCUCUCGCCUAGUGUUUUGUUCCACUCUUGCCGCCCUAGUUUCCGUCAUAUCGGUGUUAUGUUCCCGGAUUGUGCGUCCCUUACGCGGUUGGGCUAUAAUGGGAACCCCUUGAUAGUUCGCCUUGAUUAAAGCUUUUCCAGCAAUGCCCAACAUUGGUUUUACCAUUUGCCACCUAGCCUCUUUUUCCCUUGGGUUUCCGGAGCCCUAAGGUCAUCUUUAUUUUAGCCCCCCCCCCACGGGCCAGUGCUCCUCUGAGUGUUGGUCCGAACUAGAGCCCUGUGCAGCGCCACCUCGGGGAAACUCGAGGUUUGGUUUUAGUUGUACGGAUUGCUCAUCUGAGUGUGCCCUGAGAAAGAGAUAUGUGCAGCUCCUAUCGGGAUUUGUCGGCACAUUCGGGCGGUGUUGCUGGACUUGUUUUAACCUGUCGAAUCAUCUUGUUGUACCAAGAUACCGAGUCUGAUCGGUGUGUCUUGGGUGGAGGUCUAUUCCUUCGUUGACCGUGAGAGCUUGUUAUGGGCUAAGUUGGGACCCCCCCUGCAGGGAUUGAUCUUUCGAAAGCCGUGCCCGCGGUUAUGGGCGGAUGGGAAUUUGUUAAUGUCUGGUUGUAGAUUACUUGAAUUAAACUUAAUUAAAAUGAAUCAACCGUGUGUGUUACCGUGAUGGCCCCUUCUCGGCGGAGUCCGGGAAGUGGACACGGUGUUGGAGUUAUGCUUGCGCAGGGUGUUCCUUUAGCUUCUCGCUCGUGCUUCGCCUUCUCUUCUCGCUCUCUUUUGCGUAUAAGAUAGCCACCACAUAUGCUAGUCGCCUGCUGCAGCUCCACAUAUUUUUGCCUUAUCCAUUCCUAUGAGCUUAAAUAGUUUUGAUCGCGUGGGUGUGAGAUUGCUGAGUCCCUGUGGCUCACAGAUACUACAACUCCAGAUGCAGGUCCAGGUGUUUCUGCUCCAGUUGACGAUUACGAGCUCCAGUGGGAGUUCGACGAGGACUCUCAGCGAUACUACGUAUCUUUUCCGGAUGAUCAGUAGUGGUGCCUAGUUGGGGUUAUCGAUUCAGGACCUUGUCGCAUGUUGGGUUCUUUUCUAUUUUGGCGCCGUAGUCGGGCCAUGAGUGCUUGUUUGAUGGAUGUUAUUUAUGUACUCUGAUGUGACGUGGCGAGUGUAAGCCAACUAUGUUAUCUCCCCCUUUGAUUAUGUAUUACAUGGGAUGUUGUAAUGAUUGCCUGACUUGCGACAUUGCUUUCAAUGCGGUUAUGCCUCUAAGUCGUGCCUCGACACGUGGGAGCUAUAGCCGCAUCGAGGGCGUUACAGGGAAGCAGGGAUUUGUAGAGGUGCCAGAACUCGAUUUUAAAAUAGAGAUUGAAUAAUAUUUUGAAUGGCAUACUUUCGCUGUCAACGCAACAACUAUGAGAGUGCUGUAUCUUCCAUACUACAUGCAUUAUUGGCAGUUCCCAAACAGAAUGAUAAAGAUUUAUACUUCCCCAACCACCAACAAGCAUCAAUCCAUGGCUUUCUCGAAACAACGAGUGCCUCCAACAUACAACAGCCCUGGGGGAGUUUUGUUUAAUUAUUUUGAUUUGCUUUGAUCUUUUUGGAUCAUGGGACUGGGCAUCCCGGUUACUGGCCCUUUCUCGUGAAUGACGAGCGGAGUCCACUCCUUGUGAGAAUAACCCACCUAGCAUGGAAGAUGUAGGCAGCCCUAGUUGUAACAUGAGCUGCUCGAGCAUACAAAACAGAAUUUCAUUUGAAGGUUUGGAGUUUGGCACAUACAAAUUUACUUGGAACGGCAGGUAAAUACCGCAUAUAGGAAGGUAUAGUGGACUCAUAUGGAACAACUUUGGGGUUUAAGGAGUUUGGAUGCACAAGCAGUAUUCCCGCUUAGUACAGGUGACGGCUAGCAAAAGACUGGUGAGGGAGUCCUGGACUAGGGGGUGUCCGGAUAGCCGAACUAUCAUCAUCGGCCGGACUCCAAGACUAUGAAGAUACAAGAUUGAAGACUUCGUCCCGUGUCCGGAUGGGACUUUCCUUGGCGUGGAAGGCAAGCUUGGCAAUAUGGAUAUGUAGAUCUCCUACCAUUGUAACCAACUCUGUGUAACCCUAGCCCUCUCCGAUGUCUAUAUAAACCGGAGGGUUUUAGUCCAUAGGACGAACAACAAUCAUACCAUAGGCUAGCUUCUAGGGUUUAGCCUCCUUGAUCUCGUGGUAGAUCCACUCUUGUACUACCCAUAUCAUCAAUAUCAAUCAAGCAGGAGUAGGGUUUUACCUCCAUCGAGAGGGCCCGAACCUGGGUAAAAACAUCGUGUCCCUUGUCUCCUGUUACCAUCCGCCUAGAUGCACAGUUCGGGACCCCCUACCCGAGAUCCGCCGGUUUUGACACCGACAUUGGUGCUUUCAUUGAGAGUUACUCUGUGUCGUCACCGAUAGGCUUGAUGGCUCCUUCGAUCAUCAACAACAACGCGGUCCAGGGUGAGACUUUCCUCCCCGGACAGAUCUUCGUAUUCGGCAGCUUCGCACUGCGGGCCAAUUCGCUUGGCCAUCUGGAGCAGACUGGAAGCUACGUCCCUGGCCAUCAGGUCAGAUUUGGAAGUCUAAACUUCACGACCGACAUCCGCGGAGACUUGAUCUUCGAUGGAUUCGAGCCACAGCCGAGCGCGCCGCACUGUCACGAUGGGCACGAUUUAGCUCUGCUGCCGGAUAGUGUCCUAGAGGCCGCACAUGAGUCCGCUCCGAUCCCUAAUUCGGAGCCGACUGCGCAGAUCGAGGAUGGGUGGCUAGACACCGCCUCGGGGGCUGCAACCUCUACGGCGAUAGAGCCGAAUACUGACCUUGUCCCUUGUGAAGCUCGUGACUCCGAGGUGCCGGACUCCUCGCCGGACUCUGAACCUCCCGCGCCCCCUCUAAUCGAAUCCGAUUGGGCGCCGAUCAUGGAGUUCACCGAUGCGGACAUCUUUCAACACUCACCUUUCGGCGACAUCCUGAAUUCGCUAAGGUAUCUCUCGUUAUCAGGAGAGCCCUGGCCGGACUGCGGUCAGGACGGUUGGGAUGCGGACGACGAAGAAAUUCAAAGCCCACCCACCACCCACUUUGUAGCCACUGUCGACGAUCUAACCGACAUGCUAGACUACGACUCCGAAGACAUCGACGGUAUGGACGACGAUGCCGGAGACGACCAAGAACCAGCGCCUAUGGGGCACUGGAAGACCACCUCAUCAUACGACAUAUACAUGGUGGACAUCCCAAAGGAUGGGAAUGGCGAGGAUGCAGCGGAAGAAGACUCCUCCAAGAAACAGCCCAAGCGCCGGCGUCAGCGGCGCCGCUCUAAAUCCCGCCACAGCAGGAAUGGAGAUUCUGGCACCAGAGAUAAUAACACCCUAGAGAGUGCCGAAGACAACCCCCUCCAGCAAGAUUCAGCACAGGAGGACGGAGAAGCCAGCCCUCAUGAGAGAGCGGCAGACUAUGAGGUAGAGGAUGAUAAUUACAUGCCUCCCUCCGGAGACGAGGCAAGCCUUGACGACGACGAAUUCGUCGUGCCUGCGGAUCCCGUCGAACAAGAGCAUUUUAAACGCAGGCUUAUGGCCACGGCAAACAACCUCAAGAAAAAGUAGCAACAGCUUAAAGCUGAUCAAGAUCUGCUAGCCGACAGAUGGACUGAAGUCCUUGCGGCCGAAGAGCAUGAACUCGAACGCCCCUCCAAAAGCUACCCCAAACGCAAGUUGCUCCCCCGAUUAGAGGAGGAGGCAUACAAACCUGCAUCACCAGCGCACAAUACGGCUGACCGACCACCUCGUGGCCAUGACAGAGAGGCCUCUAGGCCCUUCACCAAAACCGUACCCCGGCACCGCUCGAAAAGUAUGAAGCCACGGGGGAAUGCACCGGACUUGCGAAACAUAUUGGAGGAUAAGGCAAGACAAUCAAGAUCGAUCUACGGAUCGCGUGGGCGCCCCAUAAUUCGCGACGAUGACCGUCGCGCCGGAUACAGCAACUCCGGCCGGGCUGAACACACUAGACAAAGCUCGCUUGAGCUACGUUGUGAUAUAGACUAAUAUAGAGGCGCUGCACACCCACUAUGCUUCACAGAUGAAGUAAUGGAUCAUCAAAUCCCCGAAGGAUUUAAACCUGUGAAUAUUUAAUCCUACGAUGGCACAACAGACCCCGCGGUUUGGAUCGAAGACUAUCUCCUUCAUAUCCACAUGGCCCGCGGCGAUGAUCUUCACGCCAUCAAAUACCUCCCACUCAAGCUUAAAGGACCAGCUCGGCAUUGGCUUAACCGGUUGCUAGCAGAAUCAAUUAGGUGUUGGGAGGACCUGGAAGCCGCAUUCUUGACAACUUCCAGGGCACAUAUGUGCGACCACCAGACGCCGAUGACCUAAGCCACAUAAUUCAGCAGUCAGAUGAAUCGGCCAGACAAUUCUGGACACGGUUCUUAACGAAGAAAAAUCAAAUCGUCGACUGUCCGGAUGCAGAGGCCCUUGCAGCCUUCAAACAUAACAUCCGCGACAAGUGGCUUGCCCGGCACCUAGGACAGGAAAAGCCGAAAUCCAUGGCAGCCCUCACAUCACUCAUGACCCGCUUCUGCACGGGAGAGGACAGCUGGCUAGCCCGCAGUAACAACCUCAGCAAAAAUUCUAGCAGUCCGGAUAACAAGGACCGCAAUGGCAGGUCGCGUCGCAACAAAAACAAACACCGCGUUAACGGUGAUAACACUGAGGAUACGGCAGUUAACGCCGGAUUCAGAGGCUCCAAACCCGGUCAGCGGAAAAAGCCAUUCAAAAGAACUACUCCGGGUCCGUCCAAUUUGGACCGAAUACUCGACCGCUCGUGCCAGAUACACGGCACCCCCAAAAAGCCAGCUAAUCACACCAACAGGGAUUGUUGGGUAUUCAAGCAGGCAGGCAAGUUAAUUGCCGAAAACAAUGACAAGGGGCUGCAUAGCGAUGACGAGGAAGAGACCCGACCGCCGAACAAUAGAGGACAGAAAGGUUCCCCCCCACAAGUGCAGAUGGUGAACAUGAUAUACGCAACCCACAUACCCAAAAGGGAGCGGAAGCGUGCACUUAGGGACGUAUAUGCGAUGGAGCCAGUCGCCCCGAAGUUCAACCCAUGGUCCUCCUGCCCGAUCACUUUUGAUCGAAGGGACCACCCCACCAGUAUCCGCCAUGGCGGAUUCGCCGCAUUGGUUUUAGACCCAAUCGUCGAUGGAUUUCACCUCACCAGAGUCCUGAUGGACGGCGGCAGCAGCCUGAACCUGCUUUAUUAGGAUACAGUGCGCAAGAUGGGCAUAGACCCCUCAAGGAUUAAACCCACAAAGACGACCUUCAAAGGCGUCAUACCAAGUGUAGAGGCCAAUUGUAUAGGCUCAGUCACACUGGAAGUGGUCUUCGGAUCCCUGGAUAACUUCCGAAGCGAGGAGUUAAUCUUUGACAUAGUCCCGUUCCGCAGCGGCUAUCAUGCUCUGCUUGGACGGACCGCGUUUGCAAAGUUCAACGCGGUGCCGCAUUACGCAUACCUCAAGCUCAAGAUGCCAGGCCCUCGAGGAGUCAUCACGGUCAACGGAAACACUGAACGCUCCCUCCAAACGGAGGAACACACAGCGGCUCUCGCGGCAGAAGUACAGAGCAGCCUCUUAAGGCAAUUUUCGAGUCCGGCCGUUAAGCGACCGGACACGGCCAAACGCGCCCGGAGUAACCUACAACAAGACCACCUGGCACGUUCCGAGCACGCGUAGCAAUGCGGCCCCAACCUCAGCCCUUGCAAAAUUGCAAGACUGGUCCUUCAUGUACAUCAUUACGCCCUGGAGAUACCAUGGGCAUAGGGGGAGGGGCACGCCCACAACAGGCCCAGAGUGCGGCUCAACCCCACCAGGGGCUCCCAAGUGUGUCAUUCUAUUUCCUUUUUCUUUUUUCUUACACACAGGACUCUGUUCACCAGAGGCCCUGCCCGGCAGUAGACCUGCCGAACUCACGAUGCAACAGCCAGGGAAGGAGAAAGGCUACAAAGAGUAUCCAGGUGGUCUCCAUUACGAGCAUUAAAUCUGUUUUAUACACCAUUUCGCAGCCUACCCCUGGAGGGGGACAUGUUUAAUAGUCCAAUCCCUUGCUUACCGCACUAUUUGUAUCGUUCUGCAUUCAUGGCAAUAUUUCUUGAAUAAACAAUGCAUCGCUUUUUGCUUAUAAUUGCAUUUCUUUCUUAUACAUAUGAUCAUUUAUGACAUGUUGCAUCCGUACACUUUGGUACGGCUAAAUACACCAGGGGCUUAAGUUCCCCACAUUAUGGUGUGAUAAGUCCGAACACUUUCACAAGUGCGGCACCCCAAACUUAUAGCAUUAUAUGCAUCGGCUCCGAAUCAUGUCUUGGGUCAAUAGUUGGGUUUGCCCGGCUCCCAUGUUUUGGUACCUUACGUUCUGUUGUAUCGGGUAAGGUAGCACUGGGAGAACCACUGCGAUUGCGCCCCAGUUGAGCUGGGCGAGCGCCUCAGUGGAGAAAGCUAAAACUGACCGUCAUGAUAAGGCGAGAGCUGGUCGCUGUUCGAGAGGUUUUUUCGAGUCCCUAAAGACUUAUGCCGCUUAGAGCGAGGAACCGGCUUUGUCCGGCCCAGGCGUGGAUAGCGCCCCGAACUCGGUCUUCCGAACACUAGGGGCUUCGCCGAAAUUUAAAAUUAUAGAAUUCUAUGGCUAAGUGAGAGUGUUCAAGCAUUAUAAGUCUGGUUGCCUCGUUCGUUGUGUUGAGAGCCUCCCUAGAUGGACCCAAAAAUGGGAACAAGAGCGCUCAAGUUUAUCCCGAACACCCCAGCACUCGUGGCAUGGGGGCUGAAGCCGACGACUUGACAUCUCUUAGAUUUCAUAAACGGCCGCACAGAAGGUAAUAUUUUAAAUCAACAAGCGUUGCUUAGCGCAUAUGAACAAAGUUUUCAGCGCACAGGAUAACAAAAUGCGAGUCUACUCAAAUAUUACAUCUUUGGAGCACUCACCCGCAAUCAUGCGGGCACCCUUCAGGACACUCUUAUAAUACAUUUCGGGCGUGCGAUACUCCUUGCCCGUCGGUGGCGCGUCCGUCACAAGCUUCUCAGCGUCCAUCCUGCCCCAGUGCACCUUUGCACGGGCAAGGGCCCGACGGGCACCUUCAAUGCAGGCAGAGUGCUUGACGACUUCAACCCAGGGACACGCAUCCACCAGCCGCCGCACCAGGCCAAAGUAGCUCCCAGGCAUGGCCUCCUUGGGCCACAGCCAAACUAUGAGGCCCUUCAUGGCCUGUUUGGCCACCUUGUGGAGCUCGACCAGCUACUUCAGCUGGUCGCUGAGGGGCACCGGAUGUCCGGCCUCAGCAUACUGAGACCAGAAGACCUUCUCUGUCGAGCUCCCCUCCUCGGCCCGGUAGAAUGCGGCAGCAUCGGACACGCUGCGGGGCAGAUCUGCGAACGCUCCUGGAGAGCUCCGAAUUCGGGUAAGUAAUAGGUAAUUCACAUUCACAUGCUUGCUUUGCAUGAAAAAUGCCUUACCCGACGCUAUCUUCUUCAACGCCUCGAUUUCCUGGAGGGCCUUGUGGGCUUCGGCCUUAGCGGCUUUGGCACUCUCAAGAGCCGAUGCAAGCUCGGACUCUCGAGUCUUUGAGUCACGCUCCAAACUCUCAUGCUUCUCCACGAGUGCCUGGAGCUCUUGCUGCACCUCCGCCACCCGCGCCUCCUGCUUCUCUCGCUCGGCUCGCUCCGCGGCCGCAUUGCGUUCAGCCGCGGACACCGCCUCCUUCAGGGUCGCCACCUCGUUUGUGGCCCCUGGAGUACCCAUGUUAUCCUUGUUAUUUCUCUUGCAACCAAAUCCUUUUCUGUAAGGUACAACUUUAAUACGGUGUUACUCACCUUCCUUGUCCUCGAGCUGCUUGUUGCCACAGCUGAGCUCGCUCUCGGACCGCUCGAGGCUCUGCUUCAAAGCAUUGACCUCCACAGUCAGUGCGGCAGAGGUCAGCAGUGCAGCCUGCAAUCCCAUAUUGACAUAUUUUUUAGACUCCUGCGUAUAUCUUUUUAGAUCCUCAGUCUAGCUUUUCUUUCCGAACACCGAACCGAGCAUCAGGGGCUACUGUCUAUGCGGUAUUAUAUUACACAUCUUAAAAUUCUUACCUCAAAGCCUAUUAGAAGGCUGCUGCAGGCUUCGGUCAGCCCGCUCUUGGCGAGCUGGACCUUCUGAAUCACCGCACUCAUGACAGUGCGGUGUUCUUCUUCGAUGGAAGCGCCGUUGAGCGCCUCUAGCAAGUUAUCCGGCGCCUCCGGUUGGACGGAGUCCGCCGGCGUCACAGUCUUGCCCUUCUUACGAAGGGGCCGCUCGCCGGACUCCGAACCACUGCAGGUUCCGAUGCGGAGUCCGGUGCAAAGUCCGGGAGGUUGCCCUGCGGCACCUCCGGGGCCUCCUCCUCCUGGCGGGUCCCUUCCUUGGAUCCCACCUCGACGUCGUCAGCGUCACGAGGGGUGGAGGCGGUCGGAAGAGAAUCCAUAUCCGACGUGCCCAAGGACCCGCUCGACGAAGCGGGAAGAUCGUCCUUGGCCGGACUACAGGUUGUAUGCGGCAUUAGAAAGACACCGCGUGGCAAAAAGAAAAAACUAUAAAUCAUCCAAGAGUCCGGAUACUUACGAUCUUGCCAGGGGCUUGGCCCUUGAGGGCCACUCCUCGUCGUCAUCGCCGACGCUGGCGGAGCAGUCCGGGGGAAGGGUCCUUCUCUUCUUGGACCCUUCGGCCUCCCUCGUUGGGGAGGCCUUCCUCUUCUUCUCUCCCCCCGCUGGGGGAGAGGCCUCUUUCUUCUCCUCCUCGUCCUCGUGGGAGGAGUCCGCCUCGGAGUCAUCGGACGAUGAGUCCAAUACCACCUGACGUCGGGAACUCCUUCGGGUUCCCGUGGCCUUCUUCUUGGCCUUCUUCUCCGGCACUACAUAAAGUGCCGGGACCAGCAGCCCUGUCAAACGGGCGUCCGCUUGGUCUUCUGGAAGGGGAGCCGGACAGUUAACCUGUCCGGACGUCUUCUGCCAGUCCUGUUAAAGGUAUUGGGAGUUUAGAUCCCGCAUAGAGUCAAACUAUGAAAAGCGAGUGUCCCAUAAAGGAUAACAUAGCUUACCUCUCCGGUCGGGCGCUGCGUGCUGAAUCCGCGACCUUCGGUUGCGGAUGCGGGAGCUUCGACGCCCUUGAACAGCACCCUCCAGGCAGCUUCGUAUGUAGUAUAGAAGAGCCCGCUCAAGGUCCGGUGCUGUGCCGGAUCAAACUCCCACAAAUUGAAGUCCCAUUGCUGGCAGGGGAGAAUUCGGCGGACGAGCAUGACUUGGAUCAUGUUGACAAUCUUGAGCUUCUUGUUCACCAGGGUCUGGAGACAGGACUGGAGUCCGGUCAGCUCCUCCGAACUACCGCAAAGAAAGCCCUUCUCUUUCCAGGAGGUGAGCUGCAUGGGGAUGCCAGAUCUGAAUUCGGGGGCCGCUGCCCAUUUAGGGUCACGCGGCUCGGUGAUGUAGAACCACCCCGAUUGCCACCCUUUAACGGAUUCCACGAAGGCACCCUCGAGCCAAGUGACGUUGGGCAUUUUGCCCACCAUGGCGCCUCCGCACUCUGCUUGGCUACCCUUCACAACCUUCGGCUUGACAUUGAAGGUCUUUAGCCACAAGCUGAAGUGGGGCUACAUGCAGAGGAAGGCCUCACACACGACGAUAAACGCCAAGAUAUUGAGGAUGAAAUUCGGGGCCAGAUCGUGGAAAUCUAGGCCGUAGUAGAACAUGAGCCCCCGGACAAAGGGGUGGAGUGGGAAGCCCAGUCUGUGGAGGAAGUGGGGAAGGAAUACGACCCUCUCAUGGGGCCUGGGGGUGGGGAUGAGCUGCCCCUUGUCGGGGAGCCGAUGCGCGAUAUCGUUGGACAGAUAUCCGGCGCUGCGUAGCUUCUCAAUGUGCCCCUCCGUAACGGAGGAGGCCAUCCACUUGCCUCCCGCUCCGGACAUGGCUGGAGAAGGUCGAGGUGAGAUGUGCGGACUUGGGUGCUGGAGCUCGGGUGCGCGGUGAUGGAUAAGCAAAGGAGGAAGAAGGCGUAGGUAAAAGAGGUGGAUCCUUAUCCCCUUAUAUAUGGGCGGACGAAAACUAUGCAUCCCACCGGCCUGGUAAAACUCGCUUAUCUCCCAAGCGCCACAAUCAAUGGCGCGGUUGGGUUACCCACGUCCGUAUUGAUGGGAAUCCCGGAAUAAGGGGAACACGAUCUCUGCUUCGACAAGACGUGCCAAGGAAACCGCUUCACUAAAUGCGCUGAGGUGGUAUAAUAAAAACGAUUCAAGUAAAGGCUUGGUAGUGGUGUGACGUCACGCCACAAAAUACGUCAGCAGAUUGAACUUGUGUAAAAAUUAUUCUCUCUACGGUGGUAUGUGGAAUUUAUUUUACAGAGCCGGACACUAUCCUGGUGUUCACAAUCUUCUAUGAACUAUUCGGAGGAGGAACCCGCCUUGCAAUGCCGAAGACAAUGUGCGCGCCGGACUCGUCGUCAUUGAAGCCUGGAUCAGGGGCUACUGAGGGAGUCCUGGACUAGGGGGUGUCCGGAUAGCCGAACUAUCAUCAUCGGCCGGACUCCAACACUAUGAAGAUACAAGAUUGAAGACUUCGUCCCGUGUCCGGAUGGGACUUUCCUUGGCGUGGAAGGCAAGCUUGGCAAUACGGAUAUGUAGAUCUCCUACCAUUGUAACCGACUCUGUGUAACCCUAGCCCUCUCCGGUGUCUAUAUAAACCGGAGGGUUUUAGUCCAUAGGACGAACAACAAUCAUACCAUAGGCUAGCUUCUAGGGUUUAGCCUCCUUGAUCUCGUGGUAGAUCCACUCUUGUACUACCCAUAUCAUAAAUAUCAAUCAAGCAGGAGUAGGGUUUUGCCUCCAUCAAGAGGGCCCGAACCUGGGUAAAAACAUCGUGUCCCUUGUCUCCUGUUACCAUCCGCCUAGACGCACAGUUCGGGACCCCCUACCCGAGAUCCGCCGGUUUUGACACCGACAACUGGGAAGCGACCAACUGAGCGAGCGACAACAGUCGUAAACAUGCAUUAAAAUUAAUUCACACCGAGUACAAGCAUGAGUAGGAUAUAAUCCAGCAUGAACAUAAAUAUCAUGAAGCUAUGUUGAUUUGAUUCAACUACAUGCAUGAACAUGUGCCAAGUCGAGUCACUCAAUUUAUUCAAAGGAGGAUACCAUCCCAUCAUAUCACAUCAUAAUCAUUCUAAUAGCAAUGUUGGCAUGCAAAGUAAAGCAUUAUAACUCAUAGCUAAUCAAGCAUGGCACAAGCAACUAUAAUCUCUAAAUGUCAUUGCAAAUAUGUUUACUUCAUAAUAGCUGACUCAGAAAUGAUGAACUCAUCAUAUUUACAAAAACAAGAGAGGUCGAGUUCAUACCAGCUUUUCUCAUCCCAAUAAGUCCAUCAUAUAUCGUCAUUAUUGCCUUUCACUUGCACGACCUAAUGAUGUGUAUAAUAAUAAGAGUGCACGUGCAUUGGACUAAGCUGGAAUCUGCAAGCAUUCAACUCAAGAGAGAAGACAAGUAAUAUGGGCUCUAAGUUAAAUAAACAAUCAUGCAUAUGAGAGCCACUAAACAAUUUCAAUAUGGUCUUGUCGACCCCCAAAGGAAAGAAAAGAAAAUAAAUCUAUUUACACGGGAAAGCUCCCAACAAGUAAGAAGAAGAACUAGAAAUCUUUUUGGGUUUUCAUUUUAAUUCAACUACAAGCAUGGAAAUUGAACUAACUAAUUUUUUUGGUUUUUCUUAAGGUUUAUCAAGCACACAAAAAGAAAACGAGAAAAAGAAAUUUAAACUAGCAUGGAUAAUACAAUGAAAGAGUAUGAGCACUGACGACUAGAGUGUGAACAUGAAUGUAAAGUCGGUGAGAAAUACGUACUCCCCCAAGCUUAGGCUUUUGGCCUAAGUUGGUCUAGUACCAAGGAUCGCCGCUACUCUCCCCGGUGUAAUGGGAGGUGUAAUCAGGAUACCACUGGCUGGUCAUCUCCGGAUCCCACUGGACAGAUGAUGCACGAUAAGGGUCCAGUUCAGGUUCCGGCUCAGGUUCAGGUUCUGAAGUAAAAGCUUGAGCUCGAUGGUUGUUCACCGCUUUUGGCGUAACAAGAAAAUUUUCUGCAAGCAAAUCAAACAACAGAGGUGCAGGCAAGAUAAUAAUCUCAAAGUGUUUCUUAUUAAAUCCAAGUUUAUACAAGAGCAUCUUCUCUUCAUUGUCAACAAUAAACUUGUGCGCUACCAUGCUCUUGUAAUCUAAGAUGUGAGGAGGCAAUUUUAUCUCCUCCUCCUCAUGGUGCCUAAUGGGUAUCUGAAAAUGUUUAGCAAGACGUGCAGCAUAGAUACCUCCAAAUAUGGGGCCUUUUGUAUGAUUCAAGGCUAGCCGUUUAGCGACGACGGCACCCAUACUAAAAGUAUUGUCUCCAAGCAAGGCAUGUUGAAGAAUGAUAAUAUUAGGAACACUCAAGUUUCCACUAUUUCCGCGACCAAUCAAGCAUCUACUAGCAAAUAUGGCAAAGUAGCGUAAAACAGGAAAGUGUAUGCUAGAGACUUUUGCCUCAGAGCCCUUCUUUGGCUCCUCUACAGCAAUAGUAUUAACAAAACCACCCACAUCUUCACGAUGGGGUUCCUCUAAUUCUCCCUCAUAAGGUAUCCUACAUACCGCACAAAAAUGACGUAAAGGCAUUUCUUUGAACUCAUAUAAAUGAAAUGAUACUGCAGGCGGUGACUUCUUAGGAUAAUAAUAAAAGUUUUGCACGAAAGUAUUGGUGAGUAAGAGAUACUGAUCGAUUCGGUCAUUGAUGAAACCGGUGAGGCAUGCAGUCUCGAUUAAAGCAUAAAAGUCUUCAUGAAUUCCAGCUUCUUUCAAGAAAUCCUCGCAUGGCCAUUCACACGAUUGUACUUCCGCUAAGCGAGGAAGAUUAUACUUGGCUUUUUCUUCUCUUUGGCUUGUUUUUCCUGAGAGCUUUGGCUAGAAGAGCCCCUCAAAAGUUUCCUCAACAUUUUCUGAAAAUUUCUGAAAUUUUAGUAACUUCAAAAUAAAAGUGAAUAAAACUAAACAAGAUUGAUAGCAACUACUCCUACAAGUGCCUAGAGCCUAUAUCAUGCAUUGGAAUUGCUUGGGACCUCAAAAAUUUAACAUGCAAGCUCAAGAACAUGGUCACCUAUGCAGCAAAAAUUUGCAAUGAAUAAAGCACUAGAACAAAAACUAAUUGGACCAAUGGAGGAGUCACAUACCAAGCAACAAUCUCCCAAAGCAGUUUUGUGAAAGGAGCUUUGAGCAAGGAGAUCAAAAAUCGCAGCAAAACGAGCUAGAACUCGUGCUUGAGCUGGAUGGGGAUUUUUUUGGGUAGAAGAUGAAGUGUGUGGGUGCUGGCAUAAGUGGAGGGGGGGCCACCAGGGGCCCACGAGACAGGGGGCGCGCCCUCCACUCUCGUGUCCUGGUGCUUGCCCCUCCUGCAGUGAUUUCAGUGCCUAAAAUCCUCAAAUAUUCCAGAAAAAAUCAUACUAAAUUUGCAAGGCAUUUGGAGCACUUUUAUUUUCGGACUAUUUUUUAUUGCACGGAUAAUUCAGAAAACAGACAGAUAAUACUAUUUUUGCUAUAUUUAUUCUAAAUAACAGAAAGUAAAAAGUGGGUACAGAAGGUUGUGCCUUCUAGUUUCAUCGAUCUCAUGGUCAUCAAAAUGAAUCCACUAACAAGGUUGAUCAAGUCUUGUUAACAAACUCAUUCCGAAUAACACGGAACCGGACAAAUUUUGAAUAACACUAAGUUACCUCAACGGGGAUAUGAAAUCCCCAACAACAAGAAUAUCAUACUUUUUCUUGAUAGUAGGGAGAGGAAAUUCAAAACCUCCAAAAAUGAUAGUUGGAACUUUUUCAAUAGAAUUGAUGCUAUGCACUUGAGAUUGUUUCCUCGGAAAGUGUACUGUAUGCUCAUUACCAUUAACAUGAAAAGUGACAUUGCCUUUGUUGCAAUCAAUAACAGCCCUUGCAGUAUUAAGAAAAGGUCUACCAAGGAUAAUAGACAUACUAUCAUCCUCGGGAAUAUCAAGAAUAACAAAGUCCGUUAAGAUAGUGACAUUUGCAACCACAACAGGCACAUCCUCACAAAUACUGACAGGUAUAGCAGUUGAUUUAUCAGCCAUUUGCAAAGAUAUUUUAGUAGGUGUCAACAUAUUCAAUUCAAGUCUGCGAUAUAAAGAGAGAGGCAUAACACUAACACCGGCUCCAAGAUCACAUAAAGCAGUUCUAACAUAAUUUCUUUUAAUGGAGCAUGGUAUAGUUGGUACACCCGGAUCUCCGAGUUUCUUUGGUAUUCCACCCUUAAAAGUGUAAUUAGCAAGCAUGGUGGAAAUUUCAGCUUCCGGUAUCUUUCUUUUAUUUGUAAUGAUAUCCUUCAUAUACUUAGCAUAAGGAUUCACUUUCAGCAUAUCAGUUAAGCGCAUAUGUAAGAAAAUAGGUCUAAUCAUUUCAGCAAAGCGCUCAAAAUCCUCAUCAUCCUUUGACUUGGAUGGUUUAGGAGAAGGGCAUGGGUUUCUGAACCCAUGGUUCUCUUUCUUUACCGUGCUUCCUAGCAACAAAAUCUCUCUUAUCAUAACAUUGAUUCUUUGAUUGUGGGUUAUCAAGAUCAACAGCAGGUUCAAUCUCUACAUCAUUGUUUUUGCUAGGUUGAGCAUCAACAUGAACAUUAUCAUUAACAAUAUCACUAGGUUCAUGUUCAUCACCUGAUUGUGUUUCAGCAUCAGAAAUAGAAAUAUCAUUGGGAUUCUCAGGUGUGUCUACAGUAGGUUCACUAGAAGCAUGCAAAGUUCUAUCGUUUUUCUUCUUCUUCUUUUUAGAAGAACUAGGUGCCUCUAAAUUAUUUCUUUGAGAAUCUUGUUCGAUUCUCUUAGGGUGGCCUUCAGGAUACAGAGGUUCCUGAGUCAUUCUACCAGUUCUAGUAGCCACUCUAACAGCAAAGUCACUUGUGUAGCAAACAUAGAAGCAUAUUUGCUAAUGAGGUGAAGUUCAUCUUUAACUCUAGCCAGAUUAUCGCUUACACGUCCUAUCUCGAAAGCAUUAUUCUUUAACUCUCUACCAACAUAAGCAUUAAAACUUUCUUGUCUAGCCAUAAAGUCAUCAAAUUCAUCUAAGCAUGGGCUAUGAAAUUUAGUAGAGGGAAUUUCAACUUUAUCAUAUCUAUAGAGAGAAUUUACCUUUACUACCUGUGUCGGGUUAUCAAGACAAUGUGGUUCUUCAGGCGGUAUAUUAAGAGCAUGUAUUUCUUCAAUAGGAGGUAAAUUCUUAACAUCUUCAGCUUUAAUACCUUUUUCUUUCAUUGAUUUCUUUGCCUCUUGCAUAUCUUCAGGACUGAGAAAUAAAACACCUCUCUUCUUCAGAGUGGGUUUAGGAAUAGGCUCAGGAGUUGGCUCAAUUGGUUCAGGAAUUACUUCAGGAACUGGCUCAGGAAGAGUCCAAUUAUUUUCAUUAGUCAACAUAUUAUUCAAUAAUAUUUCAGCUUCGUCGACCGUUCUUUCCCUGAAAACACAACCAGCACAACUAUCUAAGUAGUCCUUGGAAGCAUCGUUAGUCCAUUAUAAAAGAUAUCAAGUAUUUCAUUUUUCUUAAGAGGAUGAUUAGGCAAAGCAUUAAGUAACCGGAGAAGCCUCCCCCAAGCUUGUGGGAGACUCUCUUCUUUGAUUUGCACAAAGUUAUAUAUUCCCCGCAAGGCAGCUUGUUUCUUAUGAGCAGGGAAAUAUUUAGCAGAGAAGUAAUAAAUCAUAUCCUGGGGACUACGCACACAACCAGGAGCAAGAGAAUUAUAUCAAGUCUUAGCAUCACCCUUUAAUGAGAACAGAAAUAUCUGAAGGAUAUAAAAAUAGCGAGACUUCUCAUCAUUAGUAAAUAGGGUGGCUAUAUCAUUCAACUUGGUAAGAUGUGCCACAAUAGUUUCAUAUUCAAGGCCAUAAAAAGGAUCAGAUUCAACUAAAGUAAUUAUUUCAGGAUCGAUAGAGAAUUCAUAAUCCUUAUCAGUAACACAGAUAGGUGAAGUAGCAAAAGCAGGGUCAGGUUUCAUUCUAGCAUUAAGAGACUGUUGCUUCCAUUUAGCUAAUAAUUUCUUAAGAUCAUAUCUAUCAUUGCAAGCAAAGAUUUCCCUAGCAGCUUCUUCAUUCAUAACAUAACCCUUAGGAACAACAGGUAAUACAUAAUCACUGGGAGAACCUUCAUCAUCACUAUCAUCAAUAAUAGGAUCUUCAGUAAUUUCAUUCCUCCUAACUCUAGCAAGUUGUUCAUCAAGAAAUUCACCUAAUGGCAAAGUAGUAUCACGCACAGAAGUAGUUUCAUCGUGCAUAGCAGAAGUGGCAUCAUCAAUAACAUUGCGACAUAUCAGAAUUCAUAGCAGUAGCAGGUUUAGGUGUCGCAAGCCUACUAAUAACGGAAGGAGAAUCUAGUGUAGAGCUAGAUGGCAGUUCCUUACCUCCCCUCGUAGUUGAGGGCAAAAUAGUAGUUCGGUCGUCUUUCAAGUUCUUCAUAGUGAUCAACAGAUAUAAAUCCCAAGUGACUCAGAGAAUAGAGCUAUGCUCCCUGGCAACGGCGCCAGAAAUUAGUCUUGAUAACCCACAAGUGUAGGGGAUCGCAACAGCUUUCGAGGGUAAAGUAUUCAACCCAAAUUUAUUGAUUCGACACAAGGGGAGCCAAAGAAUAUUCUUGAGUAUUAGCAGUUGAGUUGUCAAUUCAACCACACCUGGAUAACUAAGUAUCUGCAGUAAAGUAUUUAGUAGCAAAAGUGGUAUGAUAAUAAAGGUAACGGUAGCAAAAGUAAAGAUAAAUGUUUUUGGGUUUUUGUAGUAGUUGUAACAGUAGCAACGGAAAAGUAAAUAAGCGAAGAACAAUAUAUGAAAAGCUUGUAGGCAAUGGAUCAGUGAUGGAUAAUUAUGCCGGAUGCGAUUCCUCAUGUAAUAGCUAUAACAUAGGGUGACACAGAACUAGCUCCAAUUCGUCAAUGUAAUGUAGGCAUGUAUUCCGUAAAUAGUCAUACGUGCUUAUGGAAAAGAACUUGCAUGACAUCUUUUGUCCUACCCUCCCGUGGAAGCGGGGUCCUAGCGAAAACUAAGGGAUAUUAAGGCCUCCUUUUGAUAGAGAACCGGAACAAAGCAUUAGCACAUAGUGAAUACAUGAACUCCUCAAACUACGGUCAUCACUGAGAAGUAUCCCGAUUAUUGUCACUUCGGGGUUGUCGGAUUAUAACACAUAAUAGGUGACUAUAUACUUGCAAGAUAGGAUCAAGAACACACAUAUAUUCAUGAAAACAUAAUAGGUUCAGAUCUGAAAUCAUGGCACUCGGGCCCUAGUGACAAGCAUUAAGCAUAGCAAAGUCAUAGCAACAUCAAUCUCAGAACAUAAUGGAUACUAGGGAUCAAACCCUAACAAAACUAACUUGAUUACAUGGUAAAUCUCAUCCAACCCAUCACCGUCCAGCAAGCCUACGAUGGAAUUACUAACGCACGGCGGUGAGCAUCAUGAAAUUGGUGAUGGAGGAUGGUUUAUGAUGAUGACGGCGACGAAUCCCCCUCUCCGGAGCCCCGAACGGACUCCAUAUCAGCCCUCCCGAGAGGAUUAGGGCUUGGCGGCGGCUCCGUGUCGUAAAACGUGAUGAAUCUUUCUCCCUGAAUGUUUUCUCCCCGGACGUGAAUAUAUGGAGUUGGAGUUGAGGUCGGUGGAGGUCCAUGGGGCCCACGAGAUAGGAGGGCGCGCCCUAAGUGGGCGCGCCCCCCUGUCUCAUGGAUAGCCUGUGGGCCCCCUGGUCUUGAUUCUUUCGCCAUAAUUCUUAUUAAUUCCAAAAAGUGCCUCCAUGGAUUUUCAGGACAUUCCGAGAAAUUUUCUUUUCUACACAUAAAACAACAUCAUGGCAGUUCUGCUGAAAACAGCGUCAGUCCGGGUUAGUUUCAUUCAAAUCAUGCAAGUUAGAGUCCAAAACAAGGGCAAAAGUGUUUGGAAAAGUAGAUACGUUGGAGACGUAUCAAGGCUAUGUACCAGUAGCUAUGUGUUUGAUCUCUCUCUCUCGUGUUCUUGAUUUGGCACGAUCUUGAUGUGUCGCGAGCUUUGCUAUUAUAGCUGGAUCUUGUGAUGUUUCUCCCCCUCUACUCUCCUGUAAUGGAUUGAGUUUUCCCUUCGAAGUUAUCUUAUCGGAUUGAGUCUUUAAGGAUUUGAGAACACUUGAUGUAUGUCUUGCAUGUGCUUAUCUGUGGCGACAAUGGGAUAUUCACGUGAUCUACUUGAUGUACGUUUUGGUGAUCAACUUGCGGGUUCAGUGACCAUGUGAACUUAUGCAUAGGGGUUGGCACACGUUUUCGUCUUAACUCUCCAGUAUAAACUUUGGGGCACUCUUUGAAGUACUUUCUGUUGGUUGAAUAGAUGAAUCUGAGAUUGUGUGAUGCAUAUCGUAUAAUCAUGCCCACGGAUACUUGAGGUAACAUUGGAGUAUCUAGGUGACAUUAGGGUUUUGGUUGAUUUGUGUCUUAAGGUGUUAUUCUAGUACGAACUCUAUGAUAGAUCGAACAGAAAGAAUAGCUUCAUGUUAUUUUACUACGGACUCGGAUAGAUCGAUCAGAAAGGAUAACUUUGAGGUGGUUUCGUACCCUACAAUAAUCUCUUUGUUUGUUCUCUGCUAUAAGUGACUUUGGAGUGACUCUUUGUUGCGUGUCGAGGGAUACUUAUAUGAUCCAGUUAUGUUAUUAUUGUUGAGAGAACUUGCACUAGUGAAAGUAUGAACCCUAGGCCUUGUUUCCUAGCAUUGCAAUACCGUUUACGCUCACUUUUGCUAUUAGUUACCUUGCUGCUUUUAUAUUUUCAGAUUACAAAUACUCAUAUCUACCAUCCAUAUUGCACUUGUAUCACCAUCUCUUCGCUGAACUAGUGCACCUAUACAAUUUAACAUUGUAUUGGGUGUUGAGGGAGUCCUGGACUAGGGGGUGUCCGGAUAGCCGAACUAUCAUCAUCGGGCGGACUCCAGGACUAUGAAGAUACAAGAUUGAAGACUUCGUCCCGUAUCCGGAUGGGACUUUCCUUGGCGUGGAAGGCAAGCUUGGCAAUACGGAUAUGUAGAUUUCCUACCAUUGUAACCGACUCUGUGUAACCCUAGCCCUCUCCGGUGUCUAUAUAAACCGGAGGGUUUUAGUCUGUAGGACACAACGACGAACAACAAUCAUACCAUAGGCUAGCUUCUAGGGUUUAGCCUCCUUGAUCUCGUGGUAGAUCCACUCUUGUACUACCCAUAUCAUCAAUAUCAAUCAAGCAGGAGUAGGGUUUUACCUCCAUCGAGAGGGCCCGAACCUGGGUAAAAACAUCGUGUCCCUUGUCUCCUGUUACCAUCCGCCUAGACGCACAGUUCGGGACCCCCUACCCGAGAUCCGCCGGUUUUGACACCGACAUUGGUGCUUUCAUUGAGAGUUCCUCUGUGUCAUCACCGAUAGGCUGGAUGGCUCCUUCGAUCAUCAACGACGUGGUCCAGGGUGAGACUUUUCUCCCCGGACAGAUCUUCGUAUUCGGCGGCUUUGCACUGUGGGCCAAUUCACUUGGCCAUCUAGAGCAGAUUGAAAGCUACGCCCCUGGCCGUCAGGUCAGAUUUGGAAGUUUGAACUUCACGGCUGACAUCCGCGGAGACUUGAUCUUCGAUGGAUUCGAGCCACAGCCGAGCGUGCUGCACUGUCUCGAUGGGCAUCAUUUAGCUCUGUUGCUGGACAGUGCCAUGGAGGCCGCACACGAGUCCGCUCCGACCCUUAAUUCGAAGCCGACUGCGCAGAUCGAGGAUUAGUGGCUGGACACCGCCUCGGGGGCUGCUACAUCUACGGCGAUGGAGCCGAAUACUGACCUUGUCCCUUGUGAAGCUCGUGACUCCGAGGUGUCGGAGUCCUCGCCGGACUCCGAACCUCCCGCGCCCCCUCCAAUCGAAUCCGAUUGGGCGCCGAUCAUGGAGUUCACCGCCACGGACAUCUUUCAACACUCACCUUUCGGCGACAUCUUGAAUUCGCUAAAAUAUCUCUCGUUAUCAAGAGAGCCCUGGCCGGACUGCGGUCAGGACGGUUGGGAUGCAGACAACAAAGAAAUUCAAACCCCACCCACCACCCACUUAGUAGCCACUGUCGACGAUCUAACCGACAUGCUAGACUUCGACUCCGAAGACAUCGACGGUAUGGACGACGAUGCCAGAGAUGACCAAGAACCAGCGCCUACUGGGCACUGGAAAGCCACCUCAACUCACGGUGUAUACAUGGUGGAUACACCAAAAGGAAGCGAUAAAGAGGAACAACGGGACGUGGCGAAGGAUAAUUCCCCCGAAAAACAACCAAAACGGCGACGCAAGCGCCGCCCAAAGUCCCGCCUCGAUAACAACAGCACCCAUACUGACCCAGCCGUAGAGCAGGGCGAACCAGUGGACGAUGAACACGCCACCAAGCAACCAUCCGAACAGGAUGAAUCGGACAAGCAACCCAUUCCCGGCGAAAACAACAAUCCAGACGGUCUCACGCCGGACACAUCACCGGAGCAUAAGAACCUUCACAAAAGGCUCAUCGCCACUGCAAGAAGUUUGAAGAAGCAGAAGCGGAAGCUCAAAACAGCAGAAGACGUACUCAAAAUGAGAUGGAGCAAAGUACUCAAGACCGCAGAUAAAUACGGUGAUAGUCACCAAGCAAAGAGCUACCCGAAGCGCAAAAUGUUGCCCGAAUUUGACGAGGAGGCCGCAGAGCCCCCACAGUCAAAAAACAAAGAGGCCACCUGGCCGGAUAGAUGACCAGAUGACAGGCUAAGAGCGGCAAGCGGCGCCGCACACAAGCCGGCACACGAUCCACAUAAGGAUCUUCGCAGAAAGGAUGGCCCGGUCAGAUCCAUCUACGAGCCAAAAAAAGGCUCCAGGAAGCAACACAACACGCCGAGCAUUCGAAGAUAACAGCACACCUAAAUACAGGGGCUCCGCACACCCACUAUGUUUCACCGAUGAGGUGCUGGAUCAUGAAUUUCCAGCGGGAUUCAAGCCCGUAAACAUAGAGGCAUACGACGGAACAACAGACCCCGGAGUCUGGAUCGAGGAUUACAUCCUACACAUACAUAUGGCUAGAGGAGAUGAUCUCCAUGCCAUAAAAUACCUACCCUCAAGCUCAAAGGGCCAGCUCGGCAUUGGCUCAAAAGCCUCCCAGAAAAUACCAUUGGAAGUUGGGAAGAGCUCGAGGAUGCGUUUCGAGCAAACUUUCAGGGGACUUAUGUCCGCCCUCCGGAUGCAGACGAUUUAAGUCACAUAACUCAACAGCCCGGAGAGUCAGCAUGCAAAUUCUGGAACAGGUUCCUCACCAAAAAGAACCAAAUAGUCGACUGUCCGGACGCCGAAGCCUUAGCAGCCUUCAAACAUAACGUCCGAGAAGAAUGGCUCGCCAGACACCUCGGCCAGGAAAAACCAAAAACAAUGCUCGCGCUAACAAGCCUCAUGACCCGCUUCUGCGCGGGGGAAGAUAGCUGGCUGGCAAGAUGCAACACCAGCGACACGAGUACAUCCGAGGUUAGGGAUGGAAAUGGGAAAUCACGACGCAGAAAAGAUCAGCGUCGGAAUAAGGAAAAUGGCCCAAAGAACACGGCGGUCAAUGCCGGAUUCAAAAGCUCUCGGCCGAACAACAAAACACUGCCUCUUAAGGACAAUGGUGACGAGCUAUCUAACCUAAACAAAAUCUUGGAUAGGAUAUGCCAAAUUCACAGUACCCCAGGGAAGCCUGCAAACCAUACCCACAGAGAUUGUUGGGUCUUCAAGCAGUCCGGCCAACUUAACGCCGAACACAAGGGGCUCGACACACCAAGCGAGGAUGAUGACGAACCCCACAAGCAGAGCGCCGGAAAACAAAAGAACUUCCCACAAGAAGUCAAAACAGUGAAUUCACUUCAAGUGAUAACAAGGAAAAAUACGGCGGCACCUACCAAAGCACAUGCCGCAUGGUCCACCCCAGCGGAAUCCCGAGAUUGGAUGUCAAAACCAAUUACUUUUGACCAUCUGGAUUACUCCAGAAGUAUUCGAAACACAGGAUGGACUGCUUUGAUAUUGGAUCCUAUAAUCGACGGACUACAAUUUACACAAGUCCUAAUGGAUGACGGUAGCGAUUUAAACCUGCUAUGUCCGGACACAAUCCGCAGAAUGGGGAUAGACCCUACCAAAAUUCGCCAUAGCAGCACUUCCUUCAAAGGAGUGACGCCAGGCCCUUACGCCAAUUGCACGGGCUCCUUACUACUAGAAGUUGUGUUCGGGUCAUCCGACAACUUCCAUCGCGAAAAGCUAAUCUUCCAUAUCGCCCCAUUUAAAAGUAGCCACCAAGCACUAUUGGGACGUGAAGCUUUCGCCCGCUUCAACACAAUACCGCAUUAUGCGUCUCUCACACUUAAAAUGCCCGGUCCACGCAGCAUCAUCUCUUUAAAAGGUCGUUCAAGACCCCGGACACGGCUAGGCGAGUCCGGCAUAAAUAAACCAGGGGCUUCCUAGCCGCAUACCCCUUUACAAGGGGUUGUGCGCAUGAACAAUGAGAGCCAAUAAAAACUCAACUUCAUUCAUUUUUUCAUACUCUGUUCUAAAUACAUUUUUUGCACGAUACCUUUCCAAACUAAGUUCUUCUCUUUUACAGAUGAACAGCAUGCUACACCCAUCCAGGAUACAGCACAAUAGAGACACAUGCGCAGACGUGCAGCAGGGACCCGUUGCAAGGAUUCUUUUCAGAUUAAGACCCUGCGUAAACCUUUCUUACUGUCUCUUGUUGAUACACAUCCCCCGGUUUCUUACCAUAACCGAGGAGGAGGCUGUCGUUUUGGCAUAGGCCGCAUCAGAAGUUCUCGCCCGUACCUGGACACUAGGGGCUUAGGGCAAUGUUCUGCCCGUUAUCAUAAAGACCGAACACCUCAGGGAGUGUUCGGCGUCUCAAGUUAGGCCUUAUAUGCAUCAGCUCCGAAUCAUGUCUUUGGUCAAAUGUUGGGUUUGCCCGGCUCCUGUGUUUUGCUGCCUUACGUUCCGUAUCAUCGGCUAACGCGGCACGAGGAGAACUACUGCGAUUGUGCCCUGGUUCGGCCAGGCGAGCACCUCAGUAGAGAAAGUCGAAAACUGACUGUCAUGAUAUGGCGAGAGACUGGUCAACCACUCGAUGGACUACCGGAAUGUCUAGAAUUCCUCCGCUUUGACGAAGGAUCGUUUCCCGGUCAGGCACAUACGCGCCCCGAAUUCGGAGAGCGCGGUGCCCCUAGGGGCUAUAUCGUAACCCCACCUUCAAACUCCUAUGGCUAAGUGAAAGUGAUAAAGCAUUAUAGUCUGGUUGCCUAGUUUGCUACGCUACCACCUCCUUGACAGGACCAAGACGUUGGAUUAAGUGUGAAAAUGCGCAAUUUUGCAAACACCCCCGCACCAUGUGCGUGGGGGCUGAAGCCGAAGACUGCCAUCUUUCAGGUUAUAUACACAUAUACAUUAACGGCCGCACAUGAGAUAUUUCAAUACUUGAACGCACAAGUAUAAAAAGUCGUUACAUCAUAAAUGUGGUUUCACAAAUCAUACAUAUCAUUUGAAAAUAACAUUUUUCGAGCACUGCGACUCUAUUAAACGAGCGCCCUGCAGGACUUCCCCAAAAUAGUGCUCGACGGGUAACCGGCUCUCAUCCGAACCCCGGGAUGCAACAUCGGUGGCAUCCAUCUCCGCCCAGUAUGUCUUAACACGGGCGAGCGCCAUCCGUGCACCCUCUAUGCAUGCCGACCGCUUCAUCGCCUUGAUAUGCGGCACCGCCCCAAGGAAUUGCUCCAAUAAGCCAAAAUAACUCUUUGGCUUGGGCCUCUCCGGCCACAGAUGAGCCACCACACCCAUCAUGGCAAAUCCGGACAAUCUAUUCAGCUCAGCCCACUCAGCCAACCGAUCGGUCAACGGAAGUGAACGCUCCGGACUGUGGAAUUGAGACCAAAAAAGCUCUUCCAUCUCGUGAUCCUUUUGGCUUCGGAAGUGCACGACCGCGUCCGCCGCACUCGCCGCCAAAUCCAGAUAAGGAUCCUCCGCACUCCAUAGCUGGCCCAACUGAGCAUACUUCUGAUCCGUGAACUUCCUGCGCAGCAGAAAGGGCUUUCCAGCCGCAAUGUCUCCGGUGUGACGCAGCUCCUCCUUUAUAGCCCUCAUUGCAGAAUGGGCAACCUUGGCUUCGGCGGUGGCCUUCUUCAGGUCCUCUUGCUCCGCUCGGCGUUCUUUUUCAAGAACCUCAUAGCAGUCGGUAACUUCCUUCAGCUUCACGGCCAUUUCGGCCAUCUUCUCCCUGCUUCGAUAGUAAGCAGCCUUUUCGGCUUUCAGCUCUUUGGCCGCCUUCGAGGCAGCCGCAUUACUCCUUCUGGCCUGCUCCUUGGCUCAAGCAAGCUCUGCCUGAAGGUUUUCCACAGCAGCGGCACCAUCUGCAUCAAGCAUACAUGUUGUAAGGAAUGGGCGUCAGCUCCCUUACCAGGUAACCGCGGAGAAACCACUCACCUUGUGACUCGUCAAGUCGCCUAUUGACCAACGCGAUGUCCGCAUCCGCAACAUCCAGUUGCCGCUUCAGUUCGGCAACUCUAUCAGUCCAGCUGGCCACCAAACGCUCCGCCCCCUGAAUAGGAAUGGCGACAUAUUAAAAAUGAGAGUAUGAUCCUCGGCACGCUGUCACUUCUGGCAACGUACCGAGUCUCAGGGGCUACUAUCUAUACAGGGUGCACCCUAUGUGCAAAACUGUCAAAAGACAUGUCAUUUUUACGUACCUCAAACCCCGCUAGUAAACUUCUGACGGCAUCAUGCAACCCGCUCUCAGCGGAUGAAAUUCUUUCAAUCACCGUACUCAUUAAUGUACGGUGAUCUUCUGAGAUAGACGCCCUCUCAAGCAGAUCCUUCAGCUCCCCCGACCGUACACUAGUUGGUGCCGAACUCUCCGGCCCUACCGGACUCGGGGAGACCCUCCACGACGACACCUCAGGGUCGUCCGCCCCGCCUGACGGUGCGGCAGAUGGAGGCGUCUCGCUCUCCAUCAUUUCCGGACGAAGGUCCCCCGAAGAUGAGCUCAGCUGAGAAGGGCGGAGAUUCGAUCUACAAGGUAAAAACUUCGGUUAUCCUCAGAAGCAAAAAUAGGGAUGUCCCUUAUUACAAAACUCCCCUUUUUCUACUUACGGCUCGCUGGAGGGCCGAUUCCUUUGGGGAGAUAGUGCGGCCGGGGCUUCUCUUGGAGCAGGACCCUCUGGCGAAGAUUUCUUCCCCCGCUUUGAGGCCUUAGCCUCCGGAUCUUCGAAAGCGGUCCUCUUCUCCCCCUGGAAGGAGGGAUUCUCGAUCCCCCCUUUCUUGAAAGCCUCCUCAGUGGAGGCGGUAGUUUCUCUGUUUUCCCCUUCGCCCUCUUCUGAAGGUGCAACCUCCAGCAUCUUGACUAACACCGGAUCCAGCAUGGUCUCAGGGAGGGGGGCCGGACACCGUAUCAGUUUUGCUUGCGCUAUCCACUCUUGUCCAAGGCAUAGCUGGUUAAAAGGCAAAUCCAUAAUAAAUAAAUGGACGAUAUGUCCGGACACGGGGCUACUUACUUGAGUAUCCGGGCGAUUGCAGCUUAGGCCGGCGUCCUCGGUCAAGUCCGGACACAUCUCUUGUGAUCCGAAGAACAAUUUGUACAUCUCCACGGGUGUCGUACCCAUGAAGUGUUGGAGAGCUCGUGGUCCCUCCGGAUUGAAUUCCCACAGGCGGAGGGGGCGACGUUUGCAGCGCAGAAGACGCCGAAUCAGCAUAACCUGCGUCACCACGACCAGAUUGAUCUCCCUCUCUUGGAGGUCUCGAAUCCGGCCCUGCAAUAGGGGCGCGUCCUUGGACGGCCCCUAGUCAAGCCCUUUGCUGACCCAUGACGUCAGCCAUUGUGGAGGACCCGAGCGAAAGACGGGCGGCGGCCUCUGCCUGCUGCCCCUGGGAGCGGUAAUAUAGAACCACUCCUGUUGCCACAAGCCGAGCUCCUCCUGAAAAGAGCCCUCGGGCCAUGGAGCAUCGGCCCUCUUGCUUACAACUGCCCUGCCGCACUCUGCUUGACGCCCCUCGAUCAUCUUCGUCUCCACGUUGAAGGUUUUGAGCCACAAACUGAAGUGAGGGGUAGUGCGGAGGAAGGCUUCGCAGACGACAAUAAAUGAUGAGAUAUGGAGGAUGGACUCCGGAGCCAAGUCGUGGAAUUCCAGCCCAUAAUAAAACAUGAGCCCCCUCACGAAAGGAUCCAUCGGGAAGCCUAAACCCCGACAGAGGUGAGACACGAACACGACACUCUCGCCAGGCUCGGGAGUAGGAAUGACUUGCCCUUGGGCAGGCAACCUGUGCGAAAUCUCGUAGGUUAGGUACCUCGCUUCUCUCAGCUUUAACACGUCCUCUUCCGUGACGGAGGAGGGCAUCCACUGGCCCUGUAGGUCGGAGCCAGACAUUGUCGAAGGUCCGAAGUGCCCGAAUCUGGAGCCCUGGGUGUUGGAACUCGGGACGAGGGGCGGAUUCGAUUGAGGAUUGAAGAAAAGAAACAGGCCUUGGUCUCAUUAUAAAGAGGGAGAAUACCAAGAGCCGUCCCCCUGACCGUUUGGGACUCGCCAUCGAUGGAGGGGCGUGGCAACGGGCGCGGUUGGGUUACCCACGUCCGUAUUGAUGGGAAUCCCGGAAUAAGGGGAACACGAUCUCUGCUUCGACAAGACGUGCCAAGGAAACCGCUUUGCUAAACGCGCUGAGGUGGUAUAAUAAAAACGAUUCAAGUAAAGGCUUGGUAGUGGUGUGACAUCACGCCACAAAAUACGUCAGCAGAUUGAACUGGUGUAAAUAUUAUUCUCUCUAUGGUGGUAUGUGCAAUUUAUUUUACAAAGCCGGACACUAUCCUGGUGUUCACAAUCUUCUACGAAUUACUCGGAGGAGGAACCCGCCUUGCAAUGUCGAAGACAAUAUGCGCGCCGGACUCGUCGUCAUUGAAGCCUGGUUCAGGGGCUACUAAGGGAGUCCUGGACUAGGGGGUGUCCGGAUAGCCGAACUAUCAUCAUCGGCCGGACUCCAAGACUAUGAAGAUACAAGAUUGAAGACUUCGUCCCGUGUCCGGAUGGGACUUUCCUUGGCGUGGAAGGCAAUCUUGGCAAUACGGAUAUGUAGAUCUCCUACCAUUGUAACCGACUCUGUAUAACCCUAGCCCUCUCCGGUGUCUAUAUAAACCGGAGGGUUUUAGUCCGUAGGACACAACAACGAACAACAAUCAUACCAUAGGCUAGCUUCUAGGGUUUAGCCUCCUUGAUCUCGUGGUAGAUCCACUCUUGUACUACCCAUAUCAUCAAUAUCAAUCAAGCAGGAGUAGGGUUUUACCUCCAUCGAGAGGGCCCGAACCUGGGUAAAAACAUCGUGUCCCUUGUCUCCUGUUACCAUCCGCCUAGACGCAUAGUUCGGGACCCCCUACCCGAGAUCCGCCGGUUUUGACACCAACAGGUGUGUUGGGGACACAAGAGACUCUUUGUUAUUUGGUUGCAGGGUUGUUUAAGAGAGACCAUCUUCAUCAUAUGCCUCCCACGGAUUGAUAAACCUUAGGUCAUCCACUUGAGGGAAAUUUGCUACUGUCCUACAAACCUCUGCACUUGGAGGCCCAACAACGUCUACAAGAAGAAGGUUGUGUAGUAGACAUCAAGCUAUUUUCUGGCACCGUUGCCGGGGAGGUGAGUGCUUGAAGGUAUAUCUUUAUAUCUUGUAAUCGAAUCUUUUAGUUUCUUGUUUUAUCACUAGUUUAGUUUAUAAAAUAAAACUACAAAAAAAUGGAAUUGAGGUUGCCUCAUAUGCUUCAUCUUUUUAAUUUCUGUCGUGAAAAUGAUGGGAAGGAAAAUUGUGCUCAACUACUAGAAGAAGAAUUACAUAGAAUGCUUGGAAUAAAAUAUGUGAAUGAUGAGCAUGACUGCAAUGUUGUUAGUAUGAAUUCUUUGAAUACCCAUGAUGCUAAUGAUAUGCAAAGCCACAAGCUUGGGGAUGCUAUGUUUGAUGAAGAUGAUAUGUUUAGUCCCCCAAGUUUUGAUGAGAAUAUUUAUUAUGAUGAAAGCAUGCCUCCUAUUUACGAUGAUUAUAUUGAUGAAAGUGGGUUUGGAAGAGUGUCAACUUUAGGAAGUAAUGAUCCCACUAUUUUGAAGGAUGUUGAAUAUUAUUGUGAUAAUUAUGAAAGUGGAUUUGGAGAGGUCAUGACUUUAUUUAGUGAUGAAUCCACUAUUUUGGAAGAGGUUCCAAUUGAUUAUGAGAACAAAGUAGCUAUCUAUGAUGAGUAUUGUGAUGACUUGUAUGCUAUUAAGAAUAAUGAUAACCAUGAAACUUGUCAUCAAGAUUUUAGUUUUCAAUUGGAUUAUGCCUCACAUGAUAACUAUUUUGUUGAAUUUGCUCCCACUACUAUUCAUGAGAAGAAGUUUGCUUAUGUGGAGAGUAGUAGAAUUUAUAUGCUUGUGCAUCAUGAAAAUAAUGCUUUAUGUGAUGGUUAUAUUGUUGAAUUCAUUCAUGAUGCUACUGAAAAUUAUUAUGAGGGAGGAACAUAUGCUUGUAGGAAUUGCAAUAAUAUCAAGUUUCCUCUCUAUGUGUUGAAAAUCUUGAAGCUAUGCUUGUUUUACCUUCCUAUGCUAGUUGAUUCUUGUUCCCAUAAGUUGUUUGCUCACAAAAUCCCUAUGCAUAGGAAGUGGGUUAGGCUUAAAUGUGCUAGUCAUAUGCUUCAUGAUGCUCCCGUUAUGUUUCAUUUCUUAUCUUUUAUGUGAGCAUCAUUGUCAUCAUCAUGCCUAGCUAGAAAGACAUUAAAGAAAAGCGCUUGUUGGGAGACAACCCAAUAUUUACCCUUAGUAUUUUUGUGUGUCCACAUGAUUAUGCUACUGUAUUAAUCAUGUUUUAUAGCUUUUGUUUCAAUAAAUUGCCAGGUAAGACCUUUAGGAUAGCUUAAGGUGAUAGUUGUGUUGAUCCUGCUGAAAAUCAGAAACUUUUGCACCCAGUAAAUUAGUUUUGAUAAUUCGCGGAAACAUGAUUUUGAUCUGAUUCUUUUUUAUCUAGAUUGGUACACAAAUUUCUCAGGUUUUCCAUAUUUGGUAGAAUUUUUGGAGUUACAGAAGUAUUCGAAUGAUACAGAUUACUACAGACUGUUCUGUUUUUGACAGAUUCUGUUUUCUAUGUGUUGUUUGCUUAUUUUGAUGAAUCUAUGAGUAGUAUCGGAGGGUAUGAACCAUAGAGAAGUUGGAAUACAGUAGAUAUUACACCAAUAUGAAUUUAGAAUGAGUUCACAACAGUACCUAAGUGGUGGUUUUAUUUUCUUAUACUAACGGAGCUUACGAGUUUUCUGUUGAGUUUUGUGUUGUGAAGUUUACAAGUUUUGGGUAAAGAUUCGAUGGACUAUGGAAUAAGGAGUGGCAAGAGCCUAAGCUUGGGGAUGCCCAAGGCACCCCAAGGUAAAAUUCAAGGACAACCAAAAGCCUAAGCUUGGGGAUGCCCCGGAAGGCAUCCCCUCUUUCGUCUUUGUUCAUCGGUAACUUCAAUUGGAGCUAUAUUUUUAUUCACCACAUGAUAUGUGUUUUGCUUGGAGCGUCAUUUUGUUUUGCUUGCUGCUUGAAUAAAAUACAUUAGAUCUGAAAUUCUUAAAUGAGAAAGUCUUCACAUAGUUGCACAAUUAUUUGACUACUCAAUGACCUUCACUUAUAUCUUUCGGAGUAGUUUGUCGUUUGCUCUAGUGCUUCACUUAUAUCUUUUAGAGCACGGCGAUGGUUUUAUUUUGAAGAAAUAGAUGAACUCUCAUGCUUCACUUAUAUUAUUUUGAGAGUCUUUUAGAACAGCAUGGUAAUUUUCCUUGGUUACGAAUUUAGUCCUAAUAUGAUAGGCAUUCAAGAGGGAUAUAAUAAAAACUUUCAUAUGGAGUGCAUUAAACGCUAUGAUAAAUUUGAUACUUGAGAAUUGUUUUGAGAUAUAAAGGUGGUAAUGUUAGAGUCAUGCUAGUUGGGUAAUUAUGACAUUGAGAAAUACUUGUGUUAAAGUUGGCACGUCCUGUAGCAUGCACGUAUGGUGAACGUUGUGUGACAAAUUUGAAGCAUGGGGUGUUCUUUGAUUGCCUUCCUUAUGAGUGGAGGUCGGGAUCGCGCCAUGGUUAACUCCUACCAACCCUUCCCCUAGAAGCAUGCAUAGUAGUACUUUGCUUUGUGGGCUAAUAAAAUUUUUCAAUAAGUAUAUGAGUUCUUUAUGACUAAUGUGAGUCCAUGGAUUAUAUGCACUCUUACCCUUCCGCAAUUUGCUAGCCUCUACGGUACCGUGCAUUACCCUUUCUCACCAUGAGAGUUGGUGCAAAUUUUGCUGGUGCAUCCAAACCCCGUGAUACGAUACGCUCUAUCACACAUAAACCUCCAUAUAUCUUCCUCAAAACAGCCACCAUACCUACCUAUUAUGGCAUUUCCAUAGCCAUUUCGAGAUAUAUUGCCAUGCAACUUUCCACCAUUCUGUUUAUCAUGACACGCUCCAUCAUUGUCAUAUUGCUUUGCAUGAUCAUGUAGUUGACAUCGUAUUUGUGGCAAAGCCACCUUUAUAUUUCUUUCAUACAUGUCGCUCUUGAUUCAUUGCAUAUCCCGGUACACCGCCGGAGGCAUUCACAUAGAGUCAUAUUUUGUCCUAAGUAUUGAGUUCUAAUUCUUGAGUUGUAAAUAAGUAGAAGUGUGAUGAUUUCCAUUAUUAGAGCAUUAUCCCAUGUGAGGAAAGGAUGAUGGAGACUAUGAUUCCCCCACAAGUCGGGAUGAGACUCCGGACGAAAUAAAAAAAGAGAAUUUUUUUUUAAAAAAAGAGGCCAAAGAAGCCCAAAUAAAAAAAUGAGAGAAAAAGAGAGAAGGGACAAUGUUACUAUCCUUUUUCCACACUUGUGCUUCAAAAUAGACCAUGAUCUUCAUGAUAGAGAGUUUCUUAUUUUGUCACUUUCAUAUACUAGUGGGAAUUUUUCAUUAUAGAACUUGGCUUGUAUUUCCAAUGAUGGGCUUCCUCAAAAUGCCCUAGGUCUUCGUGAGCAGGCAAGUUGGAUGCACACCCACUUAGUUUCUUUUUGAUGAGCUUUAAUACAUUUAUAGCUCUAGUGCAUCCGUUGCAUGGCAAUCCCUACUCCUCAUAUUGACAUCAAUUGAUGGGCAUCUCCAUAGCCCGUUGAUUAGCCGCGUCAAUGUGAGACUUUCUCCUUUUUUGUUUUCUCACAUAAUCCCUAUCAUCAUACUCUACUCCACCCAUAGUGCUAUGUCCAUGGCUUACGCUCAUGUAUUGCGUGAGGGUUGAAAAGGCUGAAGCACGUUAAAAAGUAUGAACCAAUUACUUGGCUGAAACCGGGGUUGUGCAUGAUGGGAGCAUUUUGUGUGACGAAAAUGAAGCAUGGACAAACUAUAUGAUUUUGUAGGGAAAAGCUUUCUUUGGCUAUGUUAUUUUGAUAAGACAUAAACUGCUUGGUUAGCAUGCUUGAAGUAUUAUUAUUAUUAUGUCAAUAUUAAACUUUUGUUUUGAAUCUUAUGGAUCUGAAUAUUCUUGCCACAAUAAAGAGAAUUACAUGGAUAAAUAUGUUAGGUAGAAUUCCACAUCAAAAAUUCUGUUUUUAUCAUUUACCUACUCGAGGACGAGCAAGAAUUAAGCUUGGGGGUGCUUGAUACGUCUCCAACGUAUCUAUAAUUUUCGAUGUAUUCAUGCCAUGUUUAUAAUAUUUCUACAUGCUUUUGGUAUGAUUUGGUUAGAACUAACCCGGACUGAUGAUGUUUUCAGCAGAACUAUUGUCGUGUUGUUUUUGUGCAGAAAUAAAAGUUCUCGGAAUGCGCUGAAAAUCAACGGAGAUUUUUUCUGGAAAAUAUACAAAAUACUGGAAUAAAGAGUUACCGGAGAGGAGGCUCAUGGGGCCCACAAGGGUGGAGGGCGCGCUCACCCCCCUGGGGCGUGCUCCCCUGCCUCGUGGACACCCCGUGGGUCCUCCUGACUUGUUCUCGACGCUAAACCCUCCUAUAAAUACAGAAAUCCCCGAAACAUAACCUAGAUCGGGAUUUUCGCUGCCGCAAGCCUCUAUAGCCACCAAAAACCAAUCGGGACCCUGUUUCGGCACCCUGCCAGAGGGGGGAUCCAUCACCGAUGUCCAUCUUCAUCAUCUCGGCGCUCUCCAUGACGAGGAGGGAGUAGUUCACCCUCGAGGCUGAGGGUAUGUACCAGUAGCUAUGUGUUUGAUCUCUCUCUCUCUCUCUCUUGUGUUCUUGAUUUGGCACGAUCUUGAUGCAUCGCGAGCUUUGCUAUUAUAGUUGGAUCUUAUGAUGUUUCUCCCCCUCUACUCUCUUCUAAUGGAUUGAGUUUUCCCUUUGAAGUUAUCUUAUCGGAUUGAGUCUUUAAGGAUUUGAUAACACUUGAUGUAUGUCUUGCAUGUACUUAUCUGUGGCGACAAUGGGAUAUUCACAUGAUCUACUUGAUGUAUGUUUUGGUGAUCAACUUGCGGGUUCAGUGACCUUGUGAACUUAUGCAUAGGGGUUGCACACGUUUUCGUCUUGACUCUUCGAUAGAAACUUUGGGGCACUCUUUGAAGUACUUUGUGUUGGUUGAAUAGAUGAAUCUGAGAUUGUGUGAUGCAUAUCGUAUAAUCGUACCCACGGAUACUUGAGGUGACAUUGGAGUAUCUAGGUGACAUUAGGGUUUUGGUUGAUUUGUGUCCUAAGGUGUUAUUCUAGUACGAACUCUAUGAUAGAUCGAACGGAAAGAAUAGCUUCAUGUUAUUUUACUACGGACUCUUGAAUAGAUCGAUCAGAAAGGAUAAGUUUGAGGUGGUUUUGUACCCUACAAUAAUCUCUUCGUUUGUUCUCCGCUAUUAUUGACUUUGGCGGGACUCUUUGUUGCAUGUUGAGGGAUAGUUAUAUGAUCCAGUUAUGUUAUUGUUGUUGAGAGAACUUGCACUAGUGAAAGUAUGAACCCUAGGCCUUGUUUCCUAGCAUUGCAAUACCAUUUACGCUCACUUUUGCUAUUAGUUACCUUGCUGUUUUUAUAUUUUCAGAUUACAAAUACUCAUAUCUACCAUCCAUAUUGCACUUGUAUCACCAUCUCUUCGCCGAACUAGUGCACCUAUACAAUUUACCAUUUAUUGGGUGUGUUGGGGACACAAGAGACUCUUUGUUAUUUGGUUGUUGGGUUGUUUGAGAGAGACCAUCUUCAUCCUACGCCUCCCACGGAUUGAUAAACCUUAGGUCAUCCACUUGAGGGAAAUUUGCUACUGUCCUACAAACCUCUACACUUGGAGGCCCAACAACGUCUACAAGAAGAAGGUUGUGUAGUAGACAUCAUUAGGCGCUGCAAAUUAGAACUGCCAUCCGGGCGUGCCGAUAUUCCAGGCCGUCCGGCUUCCCCUUUAAUUCCCGCAGCCAUUAUAACCUUAGUCUCUUCAACCUUUCGAUUGCGCCCCACAACACAACAAGCACACCCACGACGACACAUAGAGAGGGGAUGUCUAGCAGCCCUCCAAUCGAGUUUGGCGAGCAUGUCCUUAAAAGUGUGUGUGUGUGUGUGUGUCUAUAUAUANNNNNNNNNNNNNNNNNNNNNNNNNNNNNNNNNNNNNNNNNNNNNNNNNNNNNNNNNNNNNNNNNNNNNNNNNNNNNNNNNNNNNNNNNNNNNNNNNNNNNNNNNNNNNNNNNNNNNNNNNNNNNNNNNNNNNNNNNNNNNNNNNNNNNNNNNNNNNNNNNNNNNNNNNNNNNNNNNNNNNNNNNNNNNNNNNNNNNNNNNNNNNNNNNNNNNNNNNNNNNNNNNNNNNNNNNNNNNNNNNNNNNNNNNNNNNNNNNNNNNNNNNNNNNNNNNNNNNNNNNNNNNNNNNNNNNNNNNNNNNNNNNNNNNNNNNNNNNNNNNNNNNNNNNNNNNNNNNNNNNNNNNNNNNNNNNNNNNNNNNNNNNNNNNNNNNNNNNNNNNNNNNNNNNNNNNNNNNNNNNNNNNNNNNNNNNNNNNNNNNNNNNNNNNUGUGUGUGUUGUUGUUCUGUAUGCAAUCCCAACACAUAACACACACACCUAGCAGCAAUCAUCUGUGUUAUUAUCGGUCUUCACACACAUUUCUGAUUACAGACCUGUUUGUCGCGUAUCACACACAUCUUGUUAUAUUGAACCGUUUAUGUUAUCUUGGCUCAACGCAAACAGUUCAUCCGAGUGAACUGUUUGCCCUCUAUCGCAUACACCUUGAUCUGGUUGACCAUUUUUUUUGUUCCGCCUAAUCACAAAUAGUUCAUCCGAGUGAACUGUAUGCCAUAUAUCGCACACACAUUCAUGUGGCUGCCCGUUCUUCUGCCUCAUCGCAAACAGUUCAUUGAACUGAAUUGUAUGCCCUGCAUCGUACACGCAACUAAACUCUAAACUAUGUUUGAUGCAUCUGGCAUCGCAAAUGUUUUGCAUAUUUUUUGAUGGUUUCUUUACAUCACCGUUUGUGAUUAUUGCAUCGCACACAGUUUUGUCGAAGGUUCUCUGAUCGUAGUGUCGAGUUAGCAGCAUCCUGCAGUACUGACAUCUCUAGUCCAUACCAUGCCAUUCAUUGAACUUCCUGAAAUAUUUAUCUUCAAUGGAUAUUAGUUCAAUGAGUUAUAUGUCGUUAUGAAUUACCAAAAUCACUCGGGGAUUAGUUGCGUUUUCAAUCGAGAAAUUCCAUUAGUGGAGUAAUCCUAAUAGAUUUAUGCAACAUGAUAUCAUUAGAAGUGAUUGACCUAUCUGAGAACAAACUUUCCAUAGAGCUUCCCGAUUGUUAUCAUGCCUACACAUGUAACUGAGCUUUCGUUUAGUGAAUUCAUAUUGGUUUUUCAUGAAAUGGUAGUGAUGUCUAGUUGCGAAGAGUAGACACGUCUCAAGUAAAUAGUUUACCAGACGAAUAAUUCAUAUUGCAAUAGAGUGAUGGAGUUGUUGAUGGUAGGAGUGAAUUCUCUGAAACGUGGUUACAUUUGGCGAGUAGGGAAUGGACAGAAUAUCAAAUAUCUAGGAAGAUGCUUAGAUUCCUAAUAUUGUGCCACUAGGAAAGUCGUUACAUCGAGGGGGCAUAUUUUAUCUAAAGUGGUCGAUUUGAUUGAUCCUGCUUCAAAUAAUUGGGAUGAAGACCUGAUUAGACAAACUAUGUGGCCCAUUGAUGUCCAAUGGAUACUUGCAGUCCCACUGCCACAACAUGAUAUGCCAGACUUUGUUGCUUGGAGUUAUACGAAAAAUGGUAUAUUUUUGGUUCAGUCUGCAUAUUUUGUGGAAUGGGACCAUCAGCAUCGAAGUAAAUUGAGACAUUCUGAUGGAAUGGGAUGAACCACAGUUAACCCUAUUUGGACUAAGGUACGAAAAUUAUCUUGCCUGACAAAAGUCAAAAAAAUUAUCUGGCGUACCCUACAUUGCACACUUUCAUGUCGUGUUACACUCACAAACAGACAUAUGAAGAUCUCGCCCACUUGUCCUACUUGCUCCAAAGGUUUAGAAGAUAUGAAGCACAUUCUACCUCUGUAAUAAAGCAAGGAGGUUUGGAGAAGGUUGGGAUGGAUGAUAUUAUUGAUAAACCCUGUGAGGUUGAUCGUGCUAGAGAGGCAGUGCUUGAAUACUUACUUCUUCUACUAGACCAAGAAUUGUGGAUUACGAGUCAUUAGAAUGUGCAUGAAAUGAUUGCUAUAAUCUCAGCCUGGUACCUAUUGUGGGAUUGGGAAAGACGUAAAUUAGUGCACGAGAAGACAACUUAGAAUGCGUAUCAGAUCCCUAGGGGAAUAUUAGCUCUUACGGCAGACUUUGUAACUGCUUCUUCUCCAAAGGCCUCUGUGAAAAGGGGGGCUGGUUUUUCCCUCCAGUGGAUUUUUUGAAACUUAAUGUUGAUGCUUCUUUUGACCAUGACCAUCUCAAGGGCACGAUGGGGGUUGUCCUUAGAAUGACAAAGGAAAAUUUAUUGCUGGAGGAAUGGGAGGAUAGACUACUAUGCGGAUGACUUGACCGCUGAAGCCUUGGCUCUCAAAUUCGGACUAUCGUUGGUGCCUGGCGCAAUGAUCGGGAUGUAAUCGCCUUAUUAUUAACUCGGACAAUCUACACGUGAUUGAUACAAUGAAGGAUUGAGGACAGUUGGCGGGUGCAGUGGCAGCUAUUUUCGAUGAUUGUUUUCAUUAUUCUUGUGAUUUUAUUAUUACUAGGUUCCAACACCGUAACAGAGAAUCAAAUAAAAUUGCUCACGAGCUCGCUAGAUUAGCUAAAUUUUCUUUGACUUCUGAUUGGUUUGAGGAGCCCUUAAAUGAAAUUGUAACAACCCUCAUAAACAAUGUAUUGGUUAUUUCUGAUGAAUAAAUUUCUGGGUUUAUUAAAAUAGUUUUUCUAAUUCACAUCUAGAUGUUUUCCAAGAAUGUCACAUCUAAGCUCCCACAAAUAGCACAGCAACAAGGAACAAAAAAAGCUUGAACAAAAAAUAGACCACAAACAUAGUGGACAUCAGGUUAGAUGUGACAUAACUAUGUCACAUCUAGAUGUUUCCUAGACAGACCCUUACUAAAAAAAGUCCGACAAGAACAUCUACCUUCUGUAAAUUUCUUCAAGUCUGAAGAUAAAACAAAUUAUAGUUGUAAGUAGUUUAUCGAUGGUAUCUGCACAAAAUAUCUAUUUCCACGUUGUAAAAAUAUAGGACAUGUAGGUAUAUACAAGCAGAUUUAGGAAUAUAAUAUUUCUUCUUGCCAAAGAAAUUUAUUUUACUAAGAUUCUCCCUUCUGACUAAAAAUGAAGGAUUUUAUUCAAAUACUCACUCAUUGGUAGCUUGGAGGCAUAGACAGUCACCAUCCCAUAAAAAGUCAUAACAUAGUAGAAACAUAUAGGAAUUGAAAGGUUGAUUUGACCAUAAUACCAUUUACGAUUGUAACUUUGGGAUGAUAACAAUCUACCUUGAUAUAGUACAUAGAAAUUGCUUGUGCUAUCUUAUAUGAAGUUAGAGACCUGGUUUCUUCGUUGACAAUAUUUGUUUCUACCUGAGACCAGAAAAUCCCUUAGCAAAAUUAUCCAUAGAUUAAUUCAGUGGUCCACAUACUUGUAAGCAAUUGGUCAGAUCAUGUCAGAUUUCUCUUAAAUACCAUUUUUUGCUACUUAAAUACCGUAUGAAUCUAGCAGGUACCAGUCCAGCUAUCAGUAUAUAUGGUACUUUAUGCAAAAAGAAUCACCAAGAAUUGAAGUUUGAACCAUUGUGCCAUAGACUAUUAAUGGUGGAACAUGUGAAGUUAUCUAGUACUCCCUCCGGUCCUUUUUACUCUGCACAUUGGAUUUGCCCAAAGUCAAACUUAGCUAAGUUUGACCAAAUUUAUAUUAGAAAUUAUUAGCAUCUAUAAUAUCUAAUAAAUAUAAUAUGAAAAUAUAUUCCGAGAUGAAUCUAAUGAUGUUGGUGUUGUUAUGUAAAUGUCAAUAAUUUUUUAUAUAAACUUGGUCAAAGUUGGAUGAGAUUAACUUCAGACAAACUUAAUAUGCAGAGUAAAAAGGACCGGAGGGAGUACUGGAGCACAAAUUAAUGUUCUUUACAUUUAAUCCAUAACUAGAAGGGUCAGGCGCGCUUUGCUACACCGUCGCUAUUGUUGGGUUUCUUAAAAAAAUACUCACUCUGUUUCAAAUUAUAAGGUGUAUUACUCUUUUGAAAUGUCAACCAUUUGAAGUCUGAUCAAAUUUGUAGAGAAAUAUAUAUAAAUAAUAUAAUAUCAAAUUGGUAUGAUUAGAUUCAUCAUUAAAUAAUGUUUCAUACUUUUUUUGUUUAAUAUUGUGGAUGCCGAUAUUUUCUCGCUCUAAACUUGGUCGAAUUUGGAGAAAUAUGAAUUUCCAAAGAACUAAUACCCCUUAUAUUUUGAAACUAAUGGAAUAUUUAGUUUGGUGGGUGGAGGAGAUGAAAAAGUGUGCUUUACUUUUAUUCAUAAUGUGGUGAUUUGAUGGGUCUUUCGUGGUGUGGUUAUGUGUUAUCCGCUAACCAACGUAUAUUUAUGAGGGGAAAUUUAUGUGUCGGAGGUUGUAUGUACUAUAUUGGUGUUACAGUAUCGCAUGGUGCUGCUUUUUUCUGUGUGGUGGACGGGUGCAUGGGAUUGAUAUGUUUUUGUAGGCCGAUUGCUGCUGAUUGAUUUGAAAAAUUGUUGGCUACAUUUGAAAACCAAAUCCAAAAUUAAACACCUUAAUUGAAUGAAAAAGCUUCAAAAUGAAGGAACAUAGAAAAUUAGAAGAAUUGAAUGGAAAUAACUCUUUGAGAAUAAGACGAUCAAAAUUGAAUGACCCAAUUCUAAAUUCUUAAUCAAUUGUGAGGCCUUAAAACAAUCAAGUCUCUGUGCAUCAGUGUCAUCCCUGGAUCGGUAAUGCUGACACGCACAGUACUCGAGGAAUUAUAACAGAGUUUCAAUCACACACUUAUUACAUCAAGAACUCAUAAAGAGUAUUAUUACACAAAUAAAUCAUGGCUGAAGGCCAUCUAAACUAGAUAAUAGCGGAAGGCUUCGAUGGUAAAUGAGUCCAUCGACUCCAACAGCAUAGCUGAGUGCAAAACAACGACCUAUCGCACCUUAUUUGCCAUCUGAGUAGUCUGCAACAUAAGACGUUGCAGCUCGAAACGUGUCAGCACAUGGAAUAUGCUGGCAUCGUUACACUGUAAAGCAAUGAUUAAUGCAAAGACUAUAUCUACAUGCAAUAUUUGGCUGGUGGAGGCUGUAAGUUUCAUGGUUUUGCAUAAAGCUAGUUUUUCCCUACAACAAAGGCAUAAAUUUAUUUAACUACUCCCAUGUUGCCCAUUAUUUGAGAAGGUUCCUCCAACUCAAAUCCCAUUUAAAAGUAUCAUCAUUAACCCAACAUCAAAAUUAAUUAGAGUAACAUGUUGAGAUCACAUCAAUAGAUUCAAGUACUAGAUACUCAAGAUGUCCAUAACCGGGGACAUGGCUAACCAUGAUUAGUUUAUACACCCUGUAGAGUUUUGCGCACUUUUCCCCACAAGACUCGGCCGCAUCCAUGAUGGGAUGAUCGAGACAUAGCCUUUCUGAAGUAUUAACUCUCUACUCCGGGUAGACAGUACCACCUACAACCCUCUACAUUUGCUAGUCUACCUCUUCAAGAGCCCACGCAACUUACUCAACUAUGCCAGAGCCCAUAAUAGCUUGUGGUUGCACACAGAAAUUUCUAGCAUGAAUAAUCUUAUGUUCCCUUUGAGCCUGGGUGGCAUUCCAUAGGAUAAUCACACGGGGUACUCCGGGAUUUCCAAAACAGACAACAUUGGGUACUCCAGGUGCCUCAACCAAUCCACCCAGAUUUGUAUUAAAGUUGCCACCUUAAUGCUAUCCAAUUAAAAUAACUCUCAAACUUCCAUGUGUGAAUCACGAUCCAAUCCUCGUCUACGAGCAUGGCUAAGCAAUAAUAAGCAUAACGUAUAUUCCUGGGGUGAUCAAAAGGUAUUGGGUUCCUACCUCAAGCACUACAACCAAAACCACAUGUUCCCAAUCCUACCAAUGCAAGUGUUUGUGCGGCAGAACUAAUGCAUAGUAAAGUUGGGUAUAAAAGAGUAUGGUCAAAGUGUAACUUGCCUUGCUGACGAUCUGCAAACUCUAGAUAUUCGUAGUAACAAGCUUCGCACUCCGGGUAAUCUAGCAUAGACAAACAAUAGCAUACAUAAGCAAUCACUCAAACGAAACACGAGAAAACUCGAGAAAAGAUCCAAAUCGAACAUGAAACAAGCAACGGCUUAAACUAACAAGAGUCAAGACCUAACAGCAUUAUUAACAUUUGAAUUAGAUCUUAACGGAAAGUACAUGUGAUUAGCUACGAUUUGCAAAAAGAUUCAACUCAAGCGGAGCAACGAAACUCAAAAAAAUACGAACGAAACAAGAUCAUUUAAUAAUCUGUACUAAAGUAAAAUUUUACAGUAGCAAAAUGAUGUUCAAGUUGAUUAACUGGAAAGAGGGCUUCGAGACGAAGAUUUAGGUGAUGGUUUCAUCUAAGUUGGAUAAACGAGUAAAAAGUUAUACUAGUUUAAAGAUCAGGGGCUGAAUCGCGAUAAAAAUAAUCGCAGAUAAAUCCCUGGCAAAAAUAAAAUAAAAAGAAAAGACUAACGACCAAACGUUCACUGUCUGAACCUAACCCGCAAACAACGUUCGUUAAAACGAACGAACGGACGAAUGUCCGCUAAAUAAAUAAACCAACAAAAAACCGAUCUGAUAAAAUUAAACCGAAAACUAAAAAAGUCGGGGUUAACCAAAAAAAUCGACCGGUCAACGGCGGCGGCUCCGGCUAGAUCUGCGGCGGCAGCAGCGUUCGGCGACGGCGGGGCGGCGGCGGGUGGCUGCGGCGGCGGCGCNNNNNNNNNNNNNNNNNNNNNNNNNNNNNNNNNNNNNNNNNNNNNNNNNNNNNNNNNNNNNNNNNNNNNNNNNNNNNNNNNNNNNNNNNNNNNNNNNNNNNNNNNNNNNNNNNNNNNNNNNNNNNNNNNNNNNNNNNNNNNNNNNNNNNNNNNNNNNNNNNNNNNNNNNNNNNNNNNNNNNNNNNNNNNNNNNNNNNNNNNNNNNNNNNNNNNNNNNNNNNNNNNNNNNNNNNNNNNNNNNNNNNNNNNNNNNNNNNNNNNNNNNNNNNNNNNNNNNNNNNNNNNNNNNNNNNNNNNNNNNNNNNNNNNNNNNNNNNNNNNNNNNNNNNNNNNNNNNNNNNNNNNNNNNNNNNNNNNNNNNNNNNNNNNNNNNNNNNNNNNNNNNNNNNNNNNNNGGCGAAGUGGCGCAGCGGCGGAGGAGUGGCGCAGCGGCGGCGCUGCUCGGCUGUUGCUGCUGCUGGGGCGGGGCGGGCGGGGCGGCGGCUUUUAAGGAGGAGGGGGCGGGGUGCCUUGCCGGAGGGGCAAGGCGGCAACGGCGGAGUCCGAGCCGUACUCCACUUGAAGUCUGCCGGCGGCACGGCGACGCGGCGCAGGGGCGGUGGCACGAACGGGCCUGCUGGGCCAAUGGCCCAAUUCGGUCCAGGAACAUUUUUUAUUUUUUUUAAUAUUUUCGACCGAACAGAAAAAUCCUAAUAAAAUAUUUAAAAAAUCUAAAAAUACAAAAAAAAUCACCGUCUAAAUGAAAUAUUUAGAACAAAGUGAACAUUUUUCUCGCCUAUGCAAUUUUGAAAAAAUGCACAUUUUUCUAAUUAAAAUAAAAUAGAAAUAAAAUACCAGAAAAAUCAUAAUUGGAUUUUAAAAUUCUUUCUCCAAUAUUUCUUUAAAUUUGAAGAAGUCAUAUUAUCUUCUCUCGUUUAUUUUUUUAACAAUGGAAAUAUUUGGAGAGAAAAAUAAUAAAACCAAACUGAUCCUUUUCUUCAAAUUUGAGUAAACUCAAAUAUGAAUUUUGUGAAACCUUCAACUCUCUCCGUGGGUCCUUGAGUUGCUUAAGAUUUCUAGGAUCACAACCAAAAUUCAAGAAUAAAUAUGAUACGCAUAUGAUGGUCUAUGUAUAACAUCCAAAUUGAAAAUUGGGAUGUUACAAUAGUAUAAAGAAUUUAAUGAAAGAGCUUUAAGAAAUUGUUGACUAGGUUAAAAUCGGGUCACCAAGUUGCAAUUGGAGACCUCAGUUGAAUGUGGACUCUUUAAAACUAGGGAGCAUAGUUAUAGAAGAUAUGCAAAAGAAAGAGUCAAGCAAAGAGUUAAAUUAACAAGGGUAUUAAGGUUUGGUUUUAUCUAGGUGUUCAUAUUACUAACAAUGUCUGCUCGCAUGUAAAAAAAAAAGAAGAGAGCAUACAAUUACAACUUUUGAGAUAGCAGUUACCAUUGAUGCGUAUGGAUGCAUCCAUUCAUGACUGAGAAAUGAAGGGACAGUGCCAACCUAUACAUAGGAAGUGUAGGUAUGUUUGGUUCCAAAUCGUCAUUGUCUGCUAUAAUUAAUUCUGGCAUGUAACUUUGCCACUUGUAAAACUAAUUUUAAUCUUCUUCUGCCACAUAUCAAGAGAGUUGCAAAGACAUUUUUUAUGGCGACUGGUCUGCAUUGCUAUUUUUAAAUGCAUCUUUCUUUGGUCAUCAGAAACAUUGUCUCUAACUGCAGAUUUGCAUAAGGUGGCCACUUAGGGCGUGUUUGGUUGCCCGCAUUAGGCCCAGCCUGGCCCGAGCGGGAAGAAUUUAGCCCGUUUGGUUUCCUGCAUUCACUGUGUGGCCCGCAUCGCACGAAACUUAAAGCACAUCCAGGCCAGGCCCAGGGGAAACGCACGAAUCGGCAGUAGCUCAUGAGCCUGGCUCGGGCGAGGCAGGGGAAGGCGACGCGCUUCUCCCCUCGUGCGAGCAGGGGAGAUCGCGCGAGCUCGCCCGCGUCGCCAAAAAAUCGGCGGGGGGAUUUCGGCUCACCUCCCGUCGCUCCACCCCUAUUUAGCCCCUCCCUCACCACCCCAACACCUGCCACCAUUGUUCCUCCGUUCGCGCUUUCCCGCCGACGCGCAUCGGCACCAACGAGCAGGUAAGCGGCGCAUCUUCAUCGGUCGACGGUCCACGGCGUCAGAGCUCCUUCACCGGCCGGCGUUCAUCUUCCACGACCGUCCCCCCUCGUCCUCAAGCUGCGGCCAUGGCAUCUGUGAGUUCAAUCCCCCUUUCUCUCUGUUCCUUCUAGCUAGAUCUGAGCUACAGCUAGGGUUUGAUCUAGAUGCAUGGUUGAUUAGUGGUCUAAUCUGUGAGCUGAUAUGGUUGGUUGCUAUGCUGCGAUUGCAAUUUGUGGUAGGGCUAAAUGUUCAAGCAUGUGGUAGGCUAGAUUAGUAGUAGAGUUUGAAGUUGAACCUUGUGCUUGUGUUGAAUCAUGCUUAGAUCUGUGAUUUGUAGCUAUUGGUGGUCUAUUUGUAGCAUGAUGUUUGUUGUAGAUGUAUGUUCCUGCUCAUAGAUUGUCUGGUAUGCUUAGUAUGAUAGUGAUGAAGCAUGUGCUUGCUAUGAUAGUGAUGAACCAUGUACAUGUAUGCUCCUGCUUUCAUGGAUUGUCCAGUAUGUUGUGUGCUAUGCUCACUGUCAAUGCGUGCUACGAUUGUAGGGCAUGACCACGCAAACGCAAGAUCUUAGUCAGGCCCUUGUCGUGUCCGACAACCAGUUUGCUCUAUCGUUUGUUGAGGACUCACAGCCUAUGUCCGAGAUGGCACCUGAUUCAGAGGUGUUCGAGUCUGAUUCCCUCUAUGUGCCAGUAGUGCUCGUUAAGCCAACUCCUGCUGCCGCUGCUGCUGCCGCUGCAAUCAAGCUAGCAGCAGCAAAGGCAAAGAAGGAUGGUAGGCCGAACAACAUGAAGUGGCAGCCGUUCAUGUCCACGUUCAUGCUGAACAAGAUGUGUGAGCUCAUCUCUAGUGGAGUUAGGACUGACAAGGGCUUCAAGGAGGUGCACUUGAACACCAUUGUGAAGCAGGUGUUCGAGUUCUGUGGGCAAGAGGUGUCUGCCACCCAGGUGUACAACCACCUGAGGAAGUGGAGAAGUCGAUGGAUCCAAGUGUCCAAGCUAAGAGACCGUAGCGGCGCCUCAUGGGAUGAGAACACUUGCUCCAUAGUUCUGGAGGCAGAGCACAACGCCGGCCAUGUCGCGGUUAGCUCACAGCCCUCUUCCUUUUCAUACUGUCCACCAUUGCCUGCUCCUAAUCGCAACUAACAACACUUGUGUUUCAUUCUUAGGACCACCCAAGGGACGUUGAGUUCCUCAACACACCCAUCCAGAACUACAACCAGAUGCAGCACAUCUUCUCCUUCGGGCUGGCAACUGGGAAGCAUGCCAUGGGCUCGGGUGAGCCUCUUGGUUCUCCCAUGCCAGACUUCCCUGGGACACAGGACGUUGAGGUCCUUGAUGGCCCUGACAAGCCCGCUGCGAAGCCCUUCGACAAGCCAUUUGACUCCGUCCAUGAUAGGAAGAGGAAGAGUGGAGGCAUGAUGGAGGAGGAGAUCAAUGUCUUUUGCAGCAUGACUGAGGCGGUGGAGGUGGCAACAGCCAUCAGGGAGUGCAAGCCCCUCGAUGUCCACCCUGACCUGUAUGGCGCUGUCAUGACCCAGGGUGGAUUCAGCGACGAGGCUCUCAUGGCAGCUCUCAGCCACCUGCUUGACAACAAGGCCCAGGGUGUUGGGUUCGUUGCCAUGGCCGACGCUCAUAGGGUGAUGUGGCUCAGGAGCUGGCUGGGCAAGCACUACUACUAGAGUAGUGCUGCCUGUGAGUGUGCAUGAUCCCCGACGGCGAUGGAGGUGGCGGCGACGACGACGAUGACGAUGACGACGUACAUUUUGUGUAGCUGGGGCUCAAAAACUAUUUGAUGGUCUGUAUAUUUUCGUGAGGUGGUAUAUACUAACCCCUCACGCUGAUGGUUAACUUGCGAUGGUAGGACGACACCCUCUUUUGGAUGUGGUGGUAGGCAGUGGCGGAGCUAGCAUUUGACACCAGGGUGGUCCACCUUUAAUUUUUUUUACAACAACUAUGACUUGCAAAUAUUUCAACUAAUUGCAAAUACCACAGAAAUAGAUAAAUACACACUAAAAUUCUCAUUCAAGUCUCAGUUUUGAAUAAAAGAAGCCUACAUAGUACAGUACAUACCUUGAGAAGUUAAUCGUGAAAAUAUCAAUUAUAUCAUCUUCAUUCACCACAUAAAAAACAUCCAACUCAAUAUAUGUGACUAUGCAAUCAUCCAAAAGAUUAUCACCCAUCUUAUUUUUCAACUUGUUCUUGACUGAACAUGGUGGUGAAAAAGUUUUGCAAUAUCUCCGGUUCUCUUCAUUCAUUAAUAAUUCUAUAAUAAGAAUUUACUUUGUAUCAAUCAUAAAUUUAUAUGACAAAACUGAACAAAAAUAAUAUGCUUAAUUAUGUGUGUUGUUCAUCGGAUCAUGUUCAUCAGUCCAUGUAUUGUACUGUCCAGACCGCAAUACAAAAAAUAGCAAGCAAACCAUAAAUCAAAAAUUGAAAAAUUGGGGAAUGGAUGAAUGAUACCUCAAAUCAGGUAGAACCGGGUGCUGGAAUGUGAACUGGGCGGCUGCCGCUGGCUUGCAGGCUUGCAGCGGCACCAGGCGGAUGGCUGGGACAGGGGAGGGUCGCGGUCUAGGACGAUGGUGCAGCUGGUGCCUAGCGCCGGGCAGGCCGAGGGCGCAGCGGGGAGAUAGGAGCAGAGGAGCAUCCUGGGGGGGCGAGAGCCGGCGCCGGCGAGGCAGGCGGAGGCGGAGAUAGGCCGAUGGCGACGGGGCAGCCGGCGGCUGCGUGUCGGGAAGAGGUCUCCCGCAGUCGUGCUUGGUGUCGGGCUGCAAGCGAGAGGCGCUGGUUGUUUUGCGUCAAAGUGUUGUUGGGCCAUUUUUUUCCAUUCCCAAGCCCAUCUCUAUGCGCCCGGGUCAAAAUUCCAGGGUGGGCCGCGGCCCACCCUGGCCACCCUGUAGCUCCGCCCCUGGUGGUAGGUUAACACCAGGUAGUGCUAGGUUGAACUUGCUAUGUCGUAUGAUCAUGCAUGCUUUACUUCUCUUCUACUCCAUUGUUGUUUGUGUGCUACUUGUGCUCCAUUGAUAUGCUGCUUCAACUCUUGCUCUUGUGCAUUGCUAGGGCAAGUGGUAUGCCGUGUUCAUCGGUGAGGUUCCAGGGGUUUAUAGUUCCAUGGGAAGAAGCCAAUGCACAAGUGGCAUCGUAUAGCAACAACAACUAUAGAGGGUUCAAGACUAAGCAGGCAGCAGAACAAGCUUACUCCGCCUGGGUGCGAAAGCACGGAGGCAGCCGUGUUGACCGUGCUUGGAGCUAUCAAAGUGGAAGCUGCUAAGGUGGAUCGUCAGUUCGUCCUUUAUCUAAAGAACUUCAUCAUCUUCUCUCAGUUCGUCACCAUUGUUGUGUUGUGGCGUUGGUGUGCUAGGUGUGAUCAUUGUGGGUAAGCUCGCCAACUAGGGUACAAGGUAAGUACAACAUGUACGCCGUAUGCAAUCAAACGCCAUGUUCAUGUACCGCUAGGGCCAAUGCAGCCAACCAAACAAAGUGCACUUGCGUAUUACCUAAUGCAGGUACUAGGGAGGCAACCAAACAAGUUUCAUAUGGCGUAUUAGGGCCUGUUUUUCCUUCCAAACUGGAACCAAACACGCCCUUAGUUUCCACUAAACACAUGACGAAUCUAACUAUCCAGUUACAUUAGAUACCAUAGACUUGUGAAGAACAAAUCAGCCUCAUCUGCACAUAAGCAGUGCAGAAAAUUCAAGCAGACGGAAACAACAAACUUGUGGAGGACAAAUGAGACUUUGCAUAUAACUUAAGUUCGGAAAAUUCUGAGCAACAGUAACCAUAGGAGGGGGGGACUGGCAGAAACAAACAAUUAUCAUAUCACAAUGAACCUCCAACAUAGCUCGCUCACCUGUCUGCCAAAUUUCUAAUAAAAUCUUCACUACCACCCAAGUGUAGUUUCGGGUCAAGCAUAACGAGAGACGUGGUUACUCAAAGAAGCUACGAUGCCAACAAAAGAAAGCAGCAAGCAGUCAAAACAAAGGGUAGUACAACUGAUAUAAUAUAGUUCAUAUUAUCUUGUUGCAGAUCACAUAAUAAAUAAAGCGACAAGAGUCGGUGUUGAGGCAAUAUAGACGAGAUGGAUACAUAUUAAUAAAAAAGGUCUAGAAACAGACAAACGAAGGAUAGUCCUGAGACACCCUCCAUCAAUGCACAUGCAUUAUUUUCAGGUCAUAUACUCCAGUUCAGCUCAAAUGCAAACUCCUUCCACUUGUUAAUCACCAUGGCGUCAUCUCCGGUCACUGCUCAGCUUCUUGCACGCCUUUCCCUGGCAUAUCAAAUUUAGCAUGUCUUCAGUAAUACUAGUUCGGAAGAAAAAAAAGCUGAUCCAUACCCAACUUUGAUUCACGGCCCAAAUAUAUAACCACUACUUUAUGCUUCCUUGUGAAAUGGAACGAGGAAAAAGUCCAAACUUGUUUACAAGAUGUAGGGCUCUAUAAGUAAAUACUCCCUCUGUCCCAUAAUAUAGGGACUGCAAAAACGUCUUAUAUUGUGGGAUGAAGGAAGUAUGUUAUUACAACCAAUAUGUGUAGAUACUGGUUUUAAUAAUAUCUUGUAUUAUGGGACGGAGGGAGUAGCUUAUAGUAGUAGAAUGCAGCAACACAAGCUGUAACGUGUCACAGGGAAAGUUAAUUGUUCCGGUGAGAAUUUCACAGCAACAGUAGAAAACUGUAGUUCCCAAAAUGCUAGCAUUUAACUUCAGUAUUGGCUGUAUAUCUUCUUCCACCACAUGUUACACUCUGUGUUAUCGGUGCUGUGCCCCUAUACUAUAAUGUGUUCAACACCUCACCAAGUUCUUCCCAAAUCCAUAGUGGCAAACAUCACCGAUCCUAAACCUGUCUUUGAGCUGAAUGAUAUCAUUGGCCUACCAUAUCUUAUUUCGGUUGAAUUUAGAGUAUCCUCCCUAAUAAACCCUGCAAUGUCUAUGUGUGUGAUAUGNNNNNNNNNNNNNNNNNNNNNNNNNNNNNNNNNNNNNNNNNNNNNNNNNNNNNNNNNNNNNNNNNNNNNNNNNNNNNNNNNNNNNNNNNNNNNNNNNNNNNNNNNNNNNNNNNNNNNNNNNNNNNNNNNNNNNNNNNNNNNNNNNNNNNNNNNNNNNNNNNNNNNNNNNNNNNNNNNNNNNNNNNNNNNNNNNNNNNNNNNNNNNNNNNNNNNNNNNNNNNNNNNNNNNNNNNNNNNNNNNNNNNNNNNNNNNNNNNNNNNNNNNNNNGAACUUUUUUAGCAUGCACUGAAAGUGGCAGACAGUAAGGCAGUGGUGGAAACAGUUACCUGGACCAACUUUGAGAUAUUUGGAGAUCGUACUUGAAUCGUAGCCCCUGGCUAAACCAAUAGCCCUCUUGGGGCUAAACUCAGCCACUCUCUGGACAGUGUUGUUCUUCAUGUCAACAGCAAGCACCCAUGAUGUGUGCUGCCUGUCGCGGUAGUCAAUCUUAGCUAGUAAGUAAAGAAUGCAAUCAUCUUGCAGGCUCAGCUUGGGCAGGCCAAUAUGGAGAGUCGACAAGGUAGGCUGUGACACCUUCACGGACCUUCAGCUUAGGCAGCGGCGGUUCAGGUAUAGCAGAGGAAUCGAACUGGCAAUCGACACUCCAAUGCGCUUUGGAGAAGAUGCCAGUCUUGAUGCUCCAUAUUGUGGCCUUCCAACCAAUAGCACGGUGCUCCAGCUCGACCAUCUUGAUGAAGCCAUUAAGGACUGAAACGUCCCGAACAGCGGGCGAUCGAGUUGCAUUGCUAGGCAGUCUUAAGAAAUGAGGCUUGGGGCGUUUGUCCAGCACGUUGCAGAAGAUGAUCAUAUGCGAGAGAUCAACCCAGGCCACUGUUCCUUCAUCACCUCCGAUUGUGAUUGCCUUGUAUGUGAUGAACUCGUCGGCGUCGGGGACUGAAUCGACAUUCACUGGCAGCUUGCUCCAGGAGUUGGUAUCAUGGUCAUAGAGGCAGAGGUGAGAAGGAUUGCCAUAUCUGAACCCAUUAGCUCUGGGUGGUCGUUGCCGGGCUGCUUGAUGUGCUUGAGCUCGGGAACACUGGCGUCGUAGACGAAGUAGUGUCGAUUGCGGCGAUACAACGCAUCGGAUGGGCAAUCACCGACUACGACGCAUAGGAGGACGAGCCCACCGUCAGUCUCUGUGGCGACUAUGCUAGGCCGGGUGGCGAACACGUUGUGGUCGUAGGCGGUGACGUGGAAGCAUAGGUAGGAGACCUGCGGUGGUUGGGCGGUGCAGAAGGUGACCUCGAUGUUACCCCGGAGACGGAGACCCUCCAAGCCGCAGUCGGCGGUGGUGGCGUUGCGGCGGUCGGCAAAGAAGGCGUAUGGCUCGAUCAAGACGAAGCUUGGCUGGUCGCCACCGCCGUCGGGGUAGCCAUAAGCAGGGGAUUCAAGGACGGGGAAUCCUGUGUGAUUGGGCGCCUGCGGAAAAUCAAUACCUUUCCCUCUCCUGCGGAUGGACUGCUGUCAGGCUUCUUGACGGCUUCCUCCCCGCCGAGGUAAGAAGCAGCAAGAGCAGCCAGGCCGCUGUCCAUGGAUUGCAGAUCGAGUGCCAUCAAGCUCUUCCUCUCCGGUGUGUGGAUCGAUCCCAGAUCGGUUGGCCCUCCUCUCCGCCUUGGGUGUGUGGAUGGAUUUAUGUGGGGAAGGUGAGGUUGGAGUCGAUCAGAGUCGGAGAUCGAGAUGAGAUUGCAGCCGGAGCGAAAGGGGAGCAACCAGCCGCCGCUAUACCAGGAGAACGAGGGUUGGGUGGGGAGUGCCUCGUAAGCUAGGGUUAUGUUUCCCUUCAACAUCUGUUUGGGGUGGAACUUUGCGCCUCCCACAGCCGAGAGAAAAUCGGCUAUUUGCCCCUUUCAAUACCGGGCUUCGCAAAAUUGCCACUCUCAAGAUUGGCUUCGCAAAAAUGCCAUCAAGCUCGUGUGCACGUUGAUUACUAUGCCAUUUUCCUUUUUUAUUAUUGUUUUCCUUUUCUUUUCCAUUUUUUGGCACCUGAAAAGACCAUAGUACCCCUCACGCUAUCUUCACGUACUACUUGGGAUUCAGAUCGGCACUUGAAGCGAAACGAGCUCGUGCUGUCCUGCCGAGAAAAGCGACGCGAGGGUGAGCUGUGUCGGAGCGUGCAGACAUGGACGAGCGCCGGCGGAGAGCGGCAGUGAUGAGGGCGAGUUUCAGCGGAGCGUGCAGACAUGGACGAGCGCCGGCGGAGAGCGGCAGUGACGGAGGGCAACUUGCAGCAGCGCGUGCAACCAUGGGCGAGCGCCUGCAGCGACCAGCGGCUCGGACAGGCAUGAGAAAGCUAGGGCGGCGAGUUCAUGUAGCUCGCGCAGGCAUCAACGAGGUACAACAGCGAGCAACCAUGAUGACAAGAACGAGAUAAGCCUGAGAGCAAAAUCCGAUGCCAACACAGCCAGACCACAAACGCAUUGGAUAAGGUUGAAACAACCAGGGGUACUUCGGUCCUUUCAAGUGCCAGAAAAUGGAAAAGAAAAAGAAAAACAAUGAAAAGGGAAAAAUGGCAUGGUAAUCAAAGUGCACAUGAGCUAGGUGACAUUUUUGCAAAGCCAAUCUUGAGAGUGGCAAUUUUGCGAAGCCCGGUAUUGAAAGUGGCAAAUAGCCGAUUUUCUCCACAACUCACGGUGGCGAUGCAAGUCUCUAUCAAUAUAUUGUUAGAGUUUUUUUUGUUUUUGUCUUUUUAAGGCAUGAACUUUUUCCGAGAGCAACUAGUUGACGAGCGCCCAUUUGGGAGCCUCGGAACGAUCAACGCCACUUGACGCGCUCUCACUCAUUCGCCACAUGUCGCGCUCUGGACGCUCCAUCCGGAUUUUGUUUUUUAUUUUUAUUUUUCCGCACUCGUUUUCGGUUUUUAAAACGGUUUUUUGUGUCUUUUCGACGUUUCGGUUUUCCACUUGUCUUCCUUAGCUUUUGGAUAAAAAAAUUGCGCGAAAGAACGUGUUUUCUUUUUUUCCCUUUCGCGAGAGUCACGGUUUUGCUUUCGCGAGUGUCACGGUCAUGCCUCUCGGAAAUGAAAAAAACAUGUUUUCUGUUUUAUUUCCUUCCGCGAGAGUCACAGCUUUGCUUUCGCGAGAGGCACGGUUGUGCUUUCGCGAGAGUCACGGUCGUGCCUCUUGGAAACGGGGAAAAUGCGUUUUUUUGUUUUUUUUUCUUUCGCGAGAGUCACGCUUUUGCUUCCGCGAGAGGCAUGGUUGUGUUUUCAUGAGAGUCAUGGUGGUGCCUCUCGGAAACGGAAAAAACACAUUUUCUGUUUUUUCUCUUUCAUGAGAGUCACGAUUUUGCUUCCGCGAGAGGCAUGGUCGUGCUUUCGCGAGAAGCAUGGUCGUGCCUCUCCUCGGAAAUGAAAAAAACGUGUUUUUUCUUUGUUUUUUCCUUCCGCUGGAGUCACGGUUUUGCUUUCAUGAGGGACACGGUUGUGAUUUUGUGAGAGGCACGGGCGUGCCUCUUUUGGAAAGGGAAAAAACCCGUGCUCCCGGCUCGGUUUUUUGUAUGGUUUUUUCUUUCGGUUUUUUCAUGAAAAAAAGUUCGUCAAAACCUAUCAACAUGAGAUCUAGUUUUGAAGAUCUCGAUGCAAGGAAUCCAAUGGUGAAAGCGGUUCGAGAUUUGGACGCGUGGUUUAAGAGAUAAACUGUUUUGAAUUAAAGGAUCUACGAAAAAGGGAAAACUCUCAGGUUGCGACAAGUGGCGCACAUGCAGCACGCCACUUGUUGUAACCUAGGAAAGUUGGAGUGAUCUUUGCAAUGAGACUCCUCAACUAGUGAUUUCAACUUUUCCCCCUAGUGUGAUGUAGGGUCCCUUCUUUUCCUUUGGCGUUGUCCAUGUAAAAACGUCGACACCGGCCGGAUCUCACGACGAUGGCUUUCUUGAUGUAUUUGGGUAUAAACUAAACAAGGUGCCGGUGUGGGCUCAAAUUCAAGGAUGCAUGGGUGGUUUGACAAGGAAGGGAGAACUCGCCGAGAAAGUUGUUGCUAAAGUUGGGGAUCCGCCCUUCACCAUAAUGGUUGACAAUGGAGUAAUAAACCCGGGUAGUACCCCUCUUGCAGGAGUUUUUUGGCUAUGGAAAUUAUUACUACCUUUGGUGAUUCAAAAAUGGAGAAAAAAGAUUCUCGCUCGUUUCCCCAGAGGUGACCCCGAGUUAUUGAACCCACGGGAGGAAGACCCCCUUGAAGCUAAACAAGCUUUUGUUAAAGAAAAACCCUAGCUUUAGGCCGGAUGAAAAUCAAACAAACUGAAGGGGAACACAUAUGACAAAAAAUAGGCGCGGGUGUGAGAUCUUAAUGCUCACAACCCUAUAUUUGUGUUGGGACCAAAUAUGAUCUUAAUUUGUGUGUUGAAAGUCACCCAUUGAGAUGUUCUUGUUACAAACUAAAGUGGGGGGGUGUCCAAAUUACGUCUUGACUGGCACGCAUCCUGCUUCAAGAGUCAGUUGUUCAACCAAAGGCCCUACCCAUCUUGUGGGGUUGCCUCGAGAAUUAAGAUUGCAAUAACUAGACAAGAGCUUUGGGUGUUUAAUGAUUACACCUCUUGAAUCCCCAGGGAUAGGAUCAAUAUUACCAUACUAAACCUUUCUAUAACUGGUGUUUAGAAUAACACUUUACGGUCUCUCUGCGCUUAGCCUCUUCGUGGCUCACUCUUUAUGAUCCUAGUGUUGAGAAACGUAGUAGAAAACAAAAAAAAUCGCCCUGCGAUCAACGAGGUAUGCCAUGAAGAUGCAAUAACAGUUUGGAUCGGAUCGUUACCAACUCUGAGUUGCAGCGGAAGAAGACAAGUUGGUGUAGAUCGUACUUGAAGUCCCUCGAACCGUCGAUGAAUGAUCCCUCAAACAGACGAUCAGAAGCACGACCUCUUCACAGUUUGCAAGCGUACGGUCUUAGCGAUCCGGCAACGCUUUGCUGUUCUGAGCUAAUCAUCACCGAAGACUUAGAGGGAGGAUUAGAGGGAGGACUAAAGGAUCUAGGUCUUUCUCUAAUUACUCAACUAGGACCAACUAGAACUAGACCUAGUUGAACUAGAGGAGGCUUCAAAACUUGUGUGUUGAAUUGUGGCCAAAACGUCUAGUAUAUAUAGGUUGGAGGAGGGGCAGGCGGCGCCACAUAAGGGUGGAGUUUCCCCCUCCUCCCUUGGUCGGCCUAGAGGAGGGGGAACCCCCUCCAAUUUGGCUUCCCCCUUGCUUCUACAAGGGGUAAAGUGGGCUCCACCUAUAUUGGUCCCAAGUGUCCCAAUAUGCUUUCCACCACUUGGCCUUUUAAGGCCCCACUAGAGAAGCACGUGUUAUACAAACCGUUUUUAACCCCUUUCUGUGACAGAGUUUAAAACCUUUGCCUUGCCUGUGUGUGCAAUAGUGUGGCACCCCGGCUCAGAGGAACCGGAACACCCUGUAUUCCAGCCCAGAUAUCAAGUCUUCUGGAAUACGACACUGCUUGGCAUAGAAAGGUCUUAUUACAAAUAAUAGGGUUACAAAGGCUCUGGUAUACAAAAGAUUACAUCGGUGCGGCGACACUACGUCUGCUAAGGUAGCUCUAUGCUAGCUGCGGAACAAGUUGUAGCAAUGGAAUAACUUUUAGCAGCGAAACAACGACGACGGAGAUGGACUUCACUCCAUAGGGACUCUGGCUGGGAUACGUCCUAGCUCGCAAACUCGGGAUCCUUGACAAGCAAUCAAUCAUGGCAUCACCUUCAAUCUGGCAUGACACGCCAGGUGAGUACUUUGAAUGUACUCGCAAGCUCACAACAACCAAAGCAAUCAAGGCAAACAAUAGCAUGGCAUUUACAGGUUAAUUAUCAAUGAUGAACAUGAUACUACUAGAACAAUUGAAAGAGUGAGCAUGGCAUUUACAUGUUACUCAUGAUAUGAACAUGAUGAUGCUAAUGCUAGCAUGAAGGGGAGUAAACAUUUAAGGUCUCAUGGACCAACUUACUCAUCUCGGAGGUUAUCCCAUAACCACCAUAUGUAUCAAGCUUACCGUCGUGAACAUCACAUGAUCACCCCAAGAUCAACCAAGCUCGGUAUCAACAAUACCAUCAUGAUCAUCACAUGACCACGAGGAGCUUGAUCUUUACCUGUGAUCAUCGCAUGACCACAUAAAGAUCAACCAACUUAUUUCCUCACGGAACCGGGGUUAUUUAUUAUCUAGGUUAUUAUUUCUAUUACCCCGUAGUGUGACCUGCAAUGAACUAUGCCCAUAACCGAGGGUGUGACUAUCGAUAGAUUAUACACUUUGUAGAGGUUAGUACACUGUAGCCACACUAUGGAACCCAUGGCCUCGUGCUCCCAUUCAGGUGGACCAAUGACGUUCCAACAAAACCGAUCUAUUGCAUGAUGCUUUGCCGACCACUCCGAAAAACUCCCCUUUGGGCUAUGUCGUGGGUGGCCCCGAUGUCAACUCGUGACAUCCGCCACCUUCAUGUCCGCCACCAUCGUGUCAAAACUAAAACAAAAUCAUCCCAAAUGGGGACUUGUGCACAUGUGUCCAAACUGGACACACAAGGUUAUUGCCGCCUGCCAGGACAGGGUAGCACGCGCACAUAAACUUCCCUAGUUGGAGGCACCGGUGAGAGGCAUGACAAUAGAACGAAUUAGGGCCUCCCCAUCCAGGCAAGCGUGGUUGCACCAGUGAGCUCGAUUUGGUGGCACCAUGACUCGGCCAACAGAUUUGUUCAAGUUCAAUCAAUGUCAGGUUUAACUUGAAUGGGAUGAGUUGAGCCAUAGAAAAAUAACAUGAAGAAAUAAUAAUGCAUAAAAGCAUGAUAUAUUACAAUAGGUAAUCAACAAGAUUGAUUCUAUGUUAUAUGUAAAGCAGGUAAUAUUGGUGAACUCUACACCUGGACCACAUGACCCGCGAGAAGAAACUGUCAUACAUGAUCCCUUUUCCGUUUUAACGUGAUCAUCUCACAGAGUUGGCAAGCGAAGAUCACAAAAAGCACAGACUAGUACAAGGAUGAUACGUCCAUUUUGCAUCAUGUUUACCUACUGUUAUUUACUAUAUUUUGUGCAUAAUAAUGUUUUUUGGAGUAAUUCUAAUGCCUUUUCUCUCAUAGUAUGCUAGGUUUACACAAAGAGGAAGAAUACCAACAACUGGAAUUCUGGACCUGAAAAGCUACGUUAGAGUUACCUAUUCUGCACAUCUCCAAAUGAGCUGAAACUUUACGGAGAAUUAUUUUGGAAUAAAAGAAAAAUACUGAAGCAAAUAACUACCGGCGGAGGCCCACCAGGUGGGCAUAACCCACCUAGGCGCGCCCUGGUGGGUUAUGCCCUCCUCGGCCCACCUCCGGUGCCCCUCUUCUGGUAUAUAAGUCAUUUUGACCUAGAAAAAAAUAAGAAGAGGACUUUCGGGACAAAGCGCCACCGUCUUGAGGUGGAACUUGGGCAGGAGCACGUUUUCCCUCUGGCGAAGCGAUUCCGCCGGGGGAACUUCCCUCCCGAAGGGGGAAAUCAUCGUCAACAUCAUCACCAACAACUCUCCCAUCUUGGGGAGGGUAAUAUCCAUCAACCUCUUCAACACCACCAUCUCCUCUCAAACCCUAGUUCAUAUCUUGUGUUUUGUCUUUGCACAGGAUCCUUAGAUUGGUGCUUGUGGGUGACUAGUAGUGUUGGUUACAUCUUGUAGUUGAUUAAUAUACGGUUUAUUUGGUGGAAGAUUAUACGUUCAGACCCAUUAUGAUAUUUAAUACCCCUCUGAUCAUGAGCAUGAUUAUCAUUUGUGAGUAGUUACUUUUGUUCUUGAGGUCACCGGAGAAAUCUUGUUGCAAGUAAUCAUGCAAACUUGAUAUGUGUUUGAUAUUUUGAUAAUAUGUAUGUUGUGAUUCCCUUAGUGGUGCCAUGUAAACGUUGACUACAUGACACUUCACCAUAUUCGGGCCUAAGGGGAUGCAUUGUGGAGUAAUUAUUAGAUGAUGGGUUGCUAGAGUGAUAGAAGCUUAAACCCUAGUGUAUGCGCUACUUCAUAAGGGGACGAUUUGGAUCCAAAAGUUUAAUGCUAUGGUUAGAUUUUAUCUUAAUACUUUUCUCGUAGUUGCGGAUUCUUGCAAGGGGGUUAAUCAUAAGUAGGAGGUUUGUUCAAGUAAGAACAUCACCUAAGCACCGGUCCACCCACAUAUCAAAUUAUCAAAGUAGCAAACACAAAUCGAACCAACAUGAUGAAAGUGACUAGAUGAAAUUCCCGUGUACCCUCAAGAACGCUUUGCCUAUUAUAAGAAAUUGUUUUGGCCUAUCCUUUGCCACAAAAGGAUUGGGCUACCUUGCUAUACUUUAUUUACUGUUAUCAUUACUUGCUCGUUACACAUUAUCUUGCUAUGAAACUAUAUGUUAUGUACAAUUUCAGUGCUUGCAGAAGUUACCUUGCUGAAAACCACUUGUCAUUUCCUUCUGCACCUCGUUGGGUUUGACACUCUUACUUAUCGAAAGGACUACGAUUGAUCCCCUAUACUUGUGGGUCAUCAAUGCUCUUUUAUAGCACCGUUGCCGGGGAGUGAAGCGCUCUUGGUAAGUUGAAAUUGGUAAGGGAAAAUUAUUAUUACGUGCUGAAAUUUAUUGUCACUUGCUACUAUGGAGAACAAUCCUUUGAGGGGUGGCUGUUAGCGGGUUAUCAGAUCCAAAAUCGGACCUGAUAGCUUAACGGUGACCCAUUACGGUGGAUGCCACGUGUCGAUCACCCUUGACGAAAGCAAUUCCAUGACGCGCGAUUUAUCAUCAUGGAAGUGGACACUUCCGUGAUGAUAAUUUUGGUAGUGGCAUGGAACACUUCUACGACAGCACAAGUAUGACUAUCUUGAUUCUGUCAUAAAAUCACCAUGGAUGUACAUGCAUGACAAAAAACGUGACCUACUGUGACAAACACGUAUCAUCACGGAAGUGUAUUUUUUGUAGUGGUGAGUCUAGUGUAUUACCUAUGCAGAGUGUUAUUUAAAUCUAUCGAUAGUCACGUCCUCGAUUACGGACAUAACUCGUGAGUAAGUCACACCAUUAAUCAACAUUAAUAAGUAAUCUUGCACACUAAGUUAUGUUUGGCACUGGUAAAGUGAUGAUGUCGGUGAAACUGAUUGUUGUGGAAACCAAAGUGUUGGUUUUGUUUGUGAUCCGGGAAUGAUCACCAUUUGGUUACGAGGUAACCCAUUGGUAAGAGAGUCUGAGGGACUCGGUGAACAAGUUUGUUUGCACUACAUUUGUAGUAUGUUACUAUCCUACAUUCAACUUGAUUAAAUGUCAUGAUAUUGCUUGCCAUUAUGUUUAUGCUUGUUGUGAGCUUGCAAGUACAUUCAAUGUACUGACCUGGCGUGUUAUGCCAGAUUUUAGGAAAAUCUAACCGGAUCGGAGUGCUGCCGUGUUUAGAUCGGGUCCACAUCGGUGUCCCUAUGCUAUGGAGUCCUGCUUCAUCGUCAUUCCGCUGCCGCGUAGUUGUCGUGAUCGUGGCCCCUUUAUGUUCACUAAAUAAUGUACAUAUUGUUCAGCCGCACCGUGUGUGCCGCUUGGCCUCGCUACUUGAUGUAAUAUUGCACUAUGUUUCCGCUAGCAUCAAUAAAGCGGUUGUUUUCUGUAUGAAGAUGUUGUGUGUUGCCAAAAGACUUGAUCUCUGAGCUGGCAAUGCAAGGUAAACUGGUUGCUCUGAGUUGGGGUGCCACAAAGGCAUACAUAUAUUUUUUAAAUUGAACCAUUCCCGACCUUUCCUAUUCUUUUAAGCAUAUUUUGUGCAGCUCAACUAAAAUAAAAUGCCAUCACCGCCUUGACAAUUCAGUGACACUGUAUAAAAAGAAAUGACUUAACAUUACAUCAUGAUGCCAGGUAUGUAAUCGACAGGCAUUAGAGACAAACAUACAGACCUCCUUUGAUAACAUAAUGAACAUUGAUUUUAACAAAGGUGUGACUAGCCUUACCGGGAUAAUUUGAGUGAAAUCUACACCCUCUGUUCCUUAAUGUAAGACAUUUUUGCAGUUCAAUUUAAAGUAGCCAAAUGUCUAGUAUUUAGAAAAAGAGGUGGUAGUUUUCUUGAGCAUAUAUUUGGGAAAGCUUGCCACACUUUAUAUAUGUCCAUACACUAAUGCAACACCAUUCGAAUAGUACAAAUAUACACUAAUCCAGUGGCUAGUGCAAUAUUAGAGUAGUUUUUUUUAUUAUGGGGAACAGUACAAUGGUUUUACUGAACAGAUUUCUAUAAGCUAGCACCGGAAGAUUUCUAUAAGCAUUAACAAUACAAAAUGUAAAGGUAAUAAGUUUCAGCAUUGGUAUACUAGCUGUGCAACAACAUUAAACUAAAUACAAAAGUGUGAAGGUAACUAGCAUUACUAAGUAAUGACAGUAUAAAAAAUGCAAACCAUGUACCUUCAAGGUAAAUAUCAUUUCGAACUCGAGGGGACUUGAAAAAUUGCUAUCCCAACCUUGAUAAUCGAUCAAACAUAAAAACUUGAUCGAACGGAUCAAGAGAACAGCCAGAGGAGGAGGUGCCCACUCUUGACCUUGCCUCUUCUCUUCGUAAUUUUUGUGCAGUUUAACCAAAAUAAGAUGACAUCAGCGCCUUGGCAUUUUGGUGACACUGUACACAAAAACUUGACUUAUCUCAUGAAAGUGAGGUAUGUAAUCUAUAAUCAUUAACAGUGCAAAAAUCUAAAGGUCGUAACAAGUUUCAUCGUUGGUAUACUGGUUGUGCAACAACAUUAGAAUGCCUUAGCUGAAAAAUCUUUAAUACAUCCACAAUCAACAGCUAACCCUGAAAUAAUCUGGUGACAUUAAAUGGCAUUGCUUAAAUUUAUCGGCGGCAUUAGACUGAAUGCGGCAUUAGUUAAAUGUGGCAUCACUUUAGUAGUAGCACUGGCAUUAUACUAACAGCAAAAAAGUGGCAAUAAGGGCAUGGGAGGCCUAUUCGGAUAGUGGGCGUACCAGUAUGAUGUACCUCCACGGAUGCAUAGAGUGCUGCCCAAAUCAACAAAUAUCCCGGAAGCAUAUGUGGAUUACGUCCAAUUUUUGUUCUCUUUAGCACCUUUUUCCUAUGUGAGGACAACAAACCGAACGACCUGGUCAUUCUCUAUUUUGUUGUCAUGCCUUUCUACCCUUUUUCAACCAAGAGACACGGGACUCGUUCCUUAGCUACUAAUUUCCCCUUUUCAACCUAGAUGCGGGUUUGAUGCCUAGUCUCUUUGACAUUACUUUCUCCCUUCCUUUCCUUAUUCAACCCAGACAUGGAUUAGUCUGCAUGAAGUAGGGUUUCCUUUAAUAGUGAAAAUUAAGGUUUUCAUCUGCGUGACCAGCAGAGCAGAGGAUAGCAAAUUGGGAAGAAGGUGGAGUGCAGAACGAUCCAGAUGCAGCGACGUGGCAGAUGGGGCAAUAGAACAAGGGUAUGGUUUGAAAAGAGGUAGCAUACCUGAGGGUCGGCAGGAAGUGGCUUCACUCGUGGUCGUCAUCCUUCGCACAUACUAUGGCAACGAGCUUAGGGACAGAGGCCAUCCCGCACGGGCGCUAGGUUUGAGAGGACGACCUUGUUGUCAGUGCGUGACCUCGCUCGCCGACGACGAGUGCGUCAACGCCGCACGUCCUUUUCUUCCCCAGCGGAUCUGUAACCACCGGUGAGGAGGGAGAGAGUGGUCGUCUUUUUUAGAUAUGGAGAGAGGGUGAUAGUGUGAGAAGCAAGUGGGCAGCCCUUAGCAAGCAAGCGCUGAAGCUCCAGCCUAUAUAUCUUUUUUGAUACUAGUACUAGAGGUGGAGUAGUGGUAGAGUAGUUUAUAUUUUCUCUGCAUACAGUACCAGUUAGUCGUGCUUCAAAACUGAACAACACGCCAUUAUAAAAAUAAAGUCGAGAAAUAAUGUGGCACCUCGGGACAACGCGACCAGAUUGCAUUUUGCACGAGAAAUGACACAUCAUGUUUCAUUAACAUGUGGUCCCAUUCCAACAUGUCAAUGAGACGACGGCGAGUCCUUUUGUACAAUUUCUGAACGGACGGCUAUGUAGGUCGGGGCGCCUCUUCAUGUACCAUGGCAACCGUCCACCACCUCUUCGCCUUUCCCUCUCGAUUUGGAACUGUUGUCGCACGCUCUUCCUACCUCCUCCAUUUGCCUUCACCCUUCCUUCUACCAUCGUUUGAUCGUCUUCUCCAUGGAGGGAACAAGCCGGAAAUGGCCCCGUUAUUCUUGCCCCGAUCUAAAAGAUGACAUGGUGGAGGAACUCAUUGAUCGGUGUGAUGUCAUCACCUCGGCUAGCAUGGCAGGUUCAUUCAAGACCAUUCUCGACUAAACUAAUAACAUCAUUACAAAGAACCCAAGGGUCCAAGAGCGGUUUGAUCUCCCCUAUCUUCUUCGCCGUGACCCUGAUCACUGGCACGGACAAUGGAAGCCUCGCCUUGUGCAAGUUGAUGCACUACAAAAAAAAUACACUUCCGUGAUGAUACAUGUUCAUCACAGUAGGUCACAUUUUCUAUCAUGCAUGUACAUCCAUGGCGAUUUUAUGGCAGAAUCAAGAUAGUCAUACCUGUGUUGUCGUAGAAGUGUUCCAUGACAUUACCAAAAUUAUCAUCACGGAAGUGUCCACUUCCAUGACGAUAAAUCGCGCGUCAUGGAAGUGCUUUCGUCAAGGGUAACCGACACGUGGCAUCCACCAUAAUGGGUCGCCGUUAAGCUAUCGGUUCCGGUUUUGGAUCCAAUAACCCGCUAAUAGCCACGACCAAUGGGGAUUUUCCAUGUGUAAAUUUCUCAUUGGCCAGAGGAACCACAUGUAGGCUCAUCGCUGGGACAGAUGUCAUCCCUACAAUGGACGGAACACGCCUAUGAUAUGUCGCCACAUGGCACGGCCCAACAAUGGCCCAUUUAAGGUAAAAAAGAUCGGCCCAACUAAAGGCCCACCAUAUUUUUUCAGACACUAGUGGGCUGGCCCGUUAACAGCCUACCAUGUUUUGGGUAAAAUUGAGGCCCAUAUCAGAUCAGGCCCAUUCACAGCCAUCCAUGUUUUGGGCCAAAUUAUGGCCCAUAUCGGAUCAGGCCUAUUAGCAGGUCCUUGUUCUUUUGGGCCCAUUCUAAGCCAGGUUUUAUUUCACCCUGUUAGAUGCCCGUUUACCAGUUUGGCCCGAUAAUAGUUUCAGCCUGUUAGCGACCCGUGGUGCAACUCGGAUGUUGUUGGCCCAGUUUAACUUUAGGCCAUUUAAUGGCCCAUGCAAAAAUUGGGCUAUAUCUUGUCCAAAUUAACUUUAGGCCUCUUAUAGGCCCGUAGUCUUCGUGGAUAAAUUUCAACCCGUGUAACUGUUGGGCCUAAUUACAACCCGUGUUGAUUUCGGCCUGCUUACAACCCAUUCGAUAAUGGCCCGUGACACUGUUGGGCCUACGGUCCCGCGUUGAUAGCGGCCGGCUUAAAGCCCAUAGUUUUAUUGGGCCAAACAGGGCCCGAGAUAUAUUUUGGCCUGUUAACAACUCGUCCUAUUUGGGCCAAACAUGGGCCUGAGGCAGUUUUGGCUUGUAUUGGCCCAUGAAUUUUUCGGCCCAACACUAGCCCAAUCUAGUUUUUAGCCUGUUAAAAGCCCAAUGGGAUUCUCUGGCCCAGCUGGCCAGAAUUUUACUCGGCCUGUUAAAGGCGGAAAACUACUAUCGAUUAGACCUGCUAAUGGCCCAAGAUGAUUAUAGGCCCACGUUUUGGCCCAUAUGAGUAACAAGCUAGCCUGAAGACCGGCAACAUUGAGAUCCAUUGAACCUUCUAUCCUAAAUUACAGCAUACCGACCAAGAAUAAAGCCACACUAUACAAUAAAGAAAUUAUGGCAUAAUAAAGCAAAACAUGGCCGCGGAUUACAUACCCUGGGCAUCAAAGGUUGCCACCAGUGCAUACAAACGAGCCACAAAAGAAUAUACAAAACUGAGAGCACUUCAGAAGGCAUUAGGCCUGGAUGGGACGGCCACCGCAAGCAGCCGAACAAGCUGAUGAGACCUCAGUUGUGUCAAUGAUAGAUGCUGCAUCCCUAGCUUUAUAGCACCAAAGCUCGCAAGGUAGUCCUCUGAGAUCUUCAUUGCAUCUUUGACAUCAAGUCGGAGCUUAGCUGAAGCAAGCCUUUCUGCUUUAAGUUGAGACUGAAGAAGUCAAACUAAUUGAGGCAGCGACUACACAAAGGUUGUCUCACAGCUGCUGGAGAGUAGCUUCAACUCACUGUCUUCAUCAAGACAGGACCUUGGGGUCAUCUCGCUCUCUUCAAGAUGGUUUGGCUCACCAUCUUCCGUAAAGUUCUGCCUGACAUAAGAGAUACGACUCUAAAAGAGAAUCAAAGAGGCAAGUAGCAGGUUUCACAAUUAUAUAAGCAAAUAAAUGGAUCUGUUCUGCAUAAGGAACAUGUUUUUACUACUACAAUUUAAAACUAGUAGUUGUUGCAAACAUCCAAUCAGAUGUAAACAACAAAGUAAGCAGUAGUGGAGGAAAUGAUGCCUAGCCAAAUUUAUACUAGAACAAAGUUUGAAGAAUUGAGAAGGAUGAACCUACAUUACAUGCUAAUACGGGUUGGACAAAGCCCUUCUCCAUGUCAAUGGAAGGAUAAUUCAAUAAAUUCACCAAAGAAACUUCUUUAUAAGCGUUGCCAUUAUUCUACAUUUUGCAAAGAGUAAAUAUAGAUCACAUAAUAUUGGAAGAAAUAGAGGAUAAUGAAGCUGAGGUGCAGACUGAUGAUACAUAAUCAAAUAGCAAUUAAUUAAGUACUACGUUACAAGGCAAAAGGUACUGACAAGAGGAAUGCAGACAUCAAUGUGUGUAGUGGCAUUGGCUUUAUUCAACAUUUUGGUAAGAGUAAAUGUAGAUCUAAUAAUUUGGAGGAAGUGGAGGGCAGGGCAGAUAAGAUGAUGAGUAAUGCUAGACAAUCAACUAUCGCACGAUGCAAGUACAAUAAUACCACCACCGUCCGUUAUUACUUGUCGCUCAAAUGGAUGUAUGUCGCACUAUUAAGUUCUAAAUACAUCCAAUUGAUCAACAAUUAGUUCGAUACAGAGGGAGUACAUGACAACAGGUACUUACAUGAGCAAUCCAAAACUUCAUAACCAUCGUGUUAAUUCUACAUUUAUCUAAGAGUAAAUCUAUAUCUUAUAAUUUUGAGCAAAGGGAGGAUCACUAGUAGAAAAAGGACCUAAUGUGAGACACAUUAGUCCCGGUUCGAUUUUGGCCCGGUACUAAUGGUACCAUUAGUGCCGGUUCGAACGGCUAUGCAUUAAUGUCGGUUCGCUAUGAACCUUUAGUACCGGUUCAUGUCACGAACCGGUACUAAAGGGGUGUUGGCAGGCUGGCGUCAGGCCGGGGCCCCACGAUCACCUUUAGUACCGGUUCGUGGCACAAACCGGUACUAAAGGGCUAACCUUUAGUACCGGUUCGUGCCACGAACUGGGACUAAAGGGGUUUGACCUAUAGUCCCGGUUGGAGACNNNNNNNNNNNNNNNNNNNNNNNNNNNNNNNNNNNNNNNNNNNNNNNNNNNNNNNNNNNNNNNNNNNNNNNNNNNNNNNNNNNNNNNNNNNNNNNNNNNNNNNNNNNNNNNNNNNNNNNNNNNNNNNNNNNNNNNNNNNNNNNNNNNNNNNNNNNNNNNNNNNNNNNNNNNNNNNNNNNNNNNNNNNNNNNNNNNNNNNNNNNNNNNNNNNNNNNNNNNUAAAAAAAUAAAAAAAAUAAAAUUCUUCGAGAAGUAGUUAUAUUACUACAUCUACUAGUUAGGAAAAUUAAAAAAAUUUAAAUGUGGACAUGUUUUGCAAAAAGUGUAGGGAAAAUGUAAAACGGCUAUAACUUUUGCAUAUGAUGUCGGAAAAAACGUAUAAUAUAUCAAAAAAAUCGGCACGAAAAUCCGCAUCCGAUUUUGACUCCUCAUACUAAUUAUUCGUGAAUUGCUUGUAUGAACAAUAUUGUGAUUGUCAAGCCUCAAAAGAUUUCACUUUCUAAACCCAAUGUGAAGCUACCACUAGGCAUGAUAAGAUUUCAACUUCAUGAUAUUCCAUUCAUUCAACAAUUUGCUCAUAGGAUAUAAGUGAAGCACAAGAGUAAAUCUAUAGAAAAGAGCUUCGUUGACGGGAUGUGAAUGCCGCUUUCCUAGCCUCCUAUUUGAGGACUCUAUUUUAUUUAAAAACUUUUAGGUCUAAGUAUUUUAUUAAAACAGCAAGCAAAACAAAACAAAAUUACAUUCCAAGAAUAGCACACAUCAUGUGAGGAAGCAAAAACUUAGGCUCAACCGAUACUAAAAGGUAGUUGUUGAAGAGAAAAGGUGGGAUGCCUACCGAGGCAUCCCCAAGCUUAGAUGCUUGAGACUUCUUGAAAUAUUAUCUUGGGGUUCCUUGGGAAUCCCCAAGCUUGAGCUUUUUUGUCUCCUUAAUUCUUCUCAUAUCACGGUUUUCCUAAAUCUCAAAAGCUUCAUCCACACAAAACUUAACAAGAACUUGUGAGAUAAGUUAGUAUAAAGCAAUGCAAAACCUUAUCAUUCUCUACUGUAGCAAAGCACUAAAAUUAUUAGUCAACAUUGCAUACUAAAUGCCUCUGCAUAUUCAAUAGUCCGAUCCUCAAAUAUAAUCAUUAAACAAGCAAACAUAUGCAAACAAUGCAACCAUAACAGCAAUCUGCCAAAACAGUACAGUCUGUAAAGAAUGCAAGAUUCAUCAUACUUCCCUAACCCCAAAAAUUAUGAGAAAAAUACCACACUGUAGGAAAUUUAUUAGAUCUUAUUUUUCAAAAAUGUUUCAACAAUUUAUCAUUUCUGAAUUUUCUAGGGAAUUUUUGCAACAUCGAUAAACUUUCUGUUCUGAAACAGCAACUUGUAUACUUGAAAAAUAAGCAUGGCAAAGGCUAGCAUUGCCACUUUUAUUGAAAUAAAAGAUGCAAAACAUUAUUAUAAAUAAAAGCAAACAAAUCCUAGCAAAAUAAAUUGACGCUCCAAGAAAAACACAUAUCAUGUGACGAAUGAAAACAUAGCUCCAAGUGAGGUUAGCGAUAAUCUUGGAGACGAAAGAGGGGAUGCCAUCCGGGGCAUCCCCAAGAUUAGUUGCUUCGAUCUUCCUUGAAUAUUACAUUGGGGGUGCCUUGGGCAUCCCCAAUCUUAGGGUAUUUUCACUCCUUAUUCUGCUCAUAUCGACAUCUCACCCAAAACUUGAAAACUUCAAUCACACAAAACUUGACGGAACCUUGUGAGAUAGGUUAGUAUGAUAAAGAGCAAACCAUUUCACUUUUGGUACUGUCAAAGACAAGAUUCAUAAUUGUUUCCACACAAUGCCUACUGUAGCAUAUCACUUCCACAAUUUAUAUUGAGCAAUAUAAGCCAUAGAAACAAGGAAACAAGCAAACUAUGCAUUGAAAACAGAAUCUGUCAAAAACAGAACAGUGUGUAGUAAUCUGUACUCAAACCAUACUUCUGCUACUUCAAAAAUUAUUAAAAAAUGGACCACGUGAGAAAUUUGUAUAUUAAUCUUCUGCAAAAACAAUAAACUCAAAAGCACUCUUCUGUUAAAAAUUAGAGCUAUUUUCGUGAGCGCAAGAGUUUCUGUUUUUUCAGCAAGAUCAAAUCAACUAUAACCCAACAUGAUCCCAAUGGCUUUACUUGGCACUUUAUUGAAACAAAGACGAUAAAACAUGAUUGCUACAGUAUCCUAAUCAUGUGAACAUACAAAAACAGUAGGUAAAAGUGUUGGGUUGUCUCCCAACAAGCGCUUUUCUUUAAUGCCUUUUAUCUAGGCAUGAUGAGUUCAAUGAUGCUCGCAUAAAAGAUAAAGAUUGAAGCAUAACAAGAGCUUCAUGAAUCAUAAGUUCCUCUCUCAUAAUAUUUUUCAGUAGAAUCAUGAAUAGAGUCAUCCAUAUAACCAUCACAUAAAGCAUUCUUUUCAUGAUCCAAAAGCAUAGAUAAUUUAUUACUCUUUAUGGCAUACAUGUCAUCAUAAUAAUCAUCAUAAGUAGCAACUUUGUUCUCAUCAUAGUCAAUUGAAACCUCUUCCAAAAUAGUGGAUGUAUCACUAAAUAAAGUCAUGACCUCUACAAAUACACUUUCAUCAAUAUUGCAAUAAGAUUCAACACCCUCCAAAAUAGUGGUAUCACUACUACCUAGAGUUGACACUCUUCCAAACCCACUUUCAUAAUUGUAAUCAUCAUAAAUAGGAGGCAUGCUAUCAUCAUAAUAAAUUUUCUUAUUGAAAGUAGAAGGAAUCAAAGGAUCAUAUUCAUUAGGCAAAGCAUACCCAAGCUUGGGACAAGCAUUGUUUUCAGAAAAUAAAUCUUCAAACAUUUCAUACUCAUCAAACAUAGCAUUCCCAAGCUUGUGGUUUUGCAUAUCAUCAUAAACAUUCUUAUCAAUAGCAUGAAUGGCACCAAUGGUAUAGCAAACAUUAUUAUCAUAUUCUUCCAAGCAAGUGACAAAAAUAUAUUCAAGGUCAUAAGAGACAUCAUUGUCUUCCCAAUCAUAAUCAUCACAACAAGAAGUAGGCAUCAGAAAAUCAUACUCAAUAUCAUCAUCCUCCAUCAACAUAUUUGAUCACUUUCAUGAGGCACAAUGGUGAUAGGAGCAAUAUUACUUGGGAGAGUUACCUUUUCACUUCUACUUUUUCUUCUUUUAUUUUUCUUCUUCACCACCUCACAUGUGGGUUUAAUCAAUUUUUUCAAGCUUCUUAUUAAAAAGAUUGAUUGGAUAGGAAGCUCCUCCUCGUUACCUGAUUCAUCAUAAGAAACACUAGGAGGGUAUUGGGCAUAUUUUCCCUUUCAUUAGUACUCUCUUCAUAUUCUAUUUCUUUUCUUUUCUUUAGAUAGUUGGCAAUGUAAGGAUUCUCAAUGCAAUUUACUGCACAAAUAUAUAAAUUUCCUCUAGAUCAAAAUCAAGAACUCUUUCAAGGGCAAAUUCUGGAAUAUCCUUAGUUAUACGUUUCAUUUCUUCAUACCCCAAAAGAAGGCUAAGCUCUUUAUGAUGCUCAAGGGUAAUCAAGUUAUCAUAGUUUUUGGACAUGAUUUGAUCAUAAAACAAAUGGCAUUGGAGUUUUAAAUGACCACGUUAAUUGCAAAAUUCACAAGGAUGGCGAAAAAUAUUAAAUAUUUCAGCACAAACAUCUAGCCUAUCUUGCAACCAUUUUGUUUCUAAAUAUUUAUGCUUCUUACAAAAUCUAUCUUCCCUUUUUGGUGUGUGUGUGCACUCCCAAUAUACUCCGCAAAAAUUGACAUCCUUGUAGGAGACAUCACUAACAUGGCUAGUGCGAUCAUCAUUAUGAAGGAAAUAUGCCCUAGAGGCAAUAAUAAAGUUAUUAUUUAUUUCCUUAUAUCAUGAUAAAUGUUUAUUAUUCAUGCUAGAAUUGUAUUAACCGGAAACAUAAUACAUGUGUGAAUACAUAGACAAACAUAGUGUCACUAGUAUGCCUCUACUUGACUAGCUCAUUAAUCAAAGAUGGUUAUGUUUCCUAACCAUAGACAUGUGUUGUCAUUUGAUUAACGGGAUCACAUCAUUAGGAGAAUGAUGUGAUUGACAUGACCCAUUCCAUUAGCCUAGCACUUGAUCGUUUAGUAUAUUGCUAUUGCUUUCUUCAUGACUUAUACAUGUUCCUGUAACUAUGAGAUUAUGCAACUCCCGUUUACCGGAGGAACACUUUGGGUGCUACCAAACGUCACAACGUAACUGGGUGAUUAUAAAGGAGUACUACAGGUGUCUCCGAAGGUACAUGUUGGGUUGGCAUAUUUCGAGAUUAGGUUUUAUCACUCCGAUUGUCGGAGAGGUAUCUCUGGGCCCUCUCGGUAAUGCACAUCACUAUAAGCCUUGCAAGCAAUGUAGCUAAUGAGUUAGUUACGGAAUGAUGUAUUAUGUAACGAGUAAAGAGACUUGCCAGUAACGAGAUUGAACUAGGUAUUGGAUACCGACGAUCAAAUCUCGGGCAAGUAACAUACCGAUGACAAAGGGAACAACGUAUGUUGUUAUGCGGUUUGACCGAUAAAGAUCUUCGUAGAAUAUGUGGGAGCCAAUAUGGGCAUCUAGGUCCCGCUAUUGGUUAUUGACGGGAAACAAGUUCUAGGUCAUGUCUACAUAGUUCUCGAACCCAUAGGGUCCGCACGCUUAACGUUUCGUUGACGAUAUAGUAUUAUAUGAGUUAUGUAUGUGGGUAACCAAAUGUUGUUCGGAGUCACGGAUGAGAUCAUGGACAUGACGAGGAACUCCAGAAUGGUCCGGAGAUAAAGUUUGAUAUAUGGGAUAAUAGUGUUUGAUCUCCGGAAGAGUUCCGGAAUUCACCGGAAGGGGUUCCGGAUGUUUCCCGAAAUGUUUGGGUACGAGAACACGUUAUUUGGGUCAAAGGGGAAAGACCACAAGGUUUUUGGAAAGCGCAAAAGGAAGUUUUGCGGAGUCCAGGUGCCAGACGCCAGGGUCCCUGGCGUCUGGGUCCAGACACCGGGAACCCUGGCGUCUGGCCCUGAAGUCCGAGAAGGACUCUUGCCUUUCGGGUGAAACCGACUUUGUGGAGGCUUUUACUCCAAGUUUCGACCCCAAGGCUCAACAUAUAAAUAGAGGGGCAGGGCUAGCACCAAAGACACAUCAAGAAACACCAAGCCGUGUGCCGGCAACCCCGUCCCCUCUAGUUUAUCCUCCGUCAUAGUUUCCGCAGUGCUUAGGCGAAGCCCUGCGGAGAUUGUUCUUCACCAACGCCGUCACCACGCCGUCAUGCUGCCGGAACUCAUCUACCACUUCGCCCGUCUUGCUGGAUCGAGAAGGCGAGGACGUCAUCAAGCUGAACAUGUGCAGGACUCGGAGGUGCCGUGCGUUCGGUACUUGGAUCGGUCGGAUCGUGAAGACGUACGACUACAUCAACCGCGUUGAUAAACGCUUACGCUUAGCGAUCUUCAAGGGUAUGACGAUGCACUCCUCCUCUCGUUGCUAUGCAUCACCAUGAUCUUGUGUGUGCGUAGGAAAAUUUUGAAAUUACUAUGUUCCCCAACAGUGGCAUCCGAGCCUAGGUUUUAUGCGUAGAUAUCAUAUGCACGAGUAGAACACAAGUGAGUUGUGAGCGAUACAAGUCAUAUUGCUUACCAGCAUGUCAUACUUUGGCUCAGCGGUAUUGUGAGAUGAAGCGGCCCGGACCGACAUUACGCGUACGCUUACGCGAGACUGGUUUCACCGUUACGAGCACUCAUGCUUAAAGGUGACUAGCGGGUGUCUGUCUCUCUCACUUUAGCUGAACCGAGUGUGGCUACGCCUGGUCCUUGCAAAGGUUAAAACAACAUUAACUUGACGAACUAUCUUGUGGUUUUGAUGCGUAGGUAAGAACGGUUCUUGCUAAGCCCGUAGCAGCCACGUAAAAUUUGCAACAACAAAGUAGAGGACGUCUAACUUGUUUUUGCAGGGCAUGUUGUGAUGUGAUAUGGUCAAGACGUGAUGCUAUAUUUUAUUGUAUGAGAUGAUCAUGUUUUGUAACCAUAGUUAUCGGCAACUGGCAGGAGCCAUAUGGUUGUCGCUUUAUUGUAUGAAAUGCAAACGCCUUGUAAUUGCUUUACUUUAUCACUAAGCGGUAGCGAUAGUCGUAGAAGCAAUAGAUGGCGUAACGACAACGAUGCUACGAUGGAGAUCAAGGUGUCGCGCCGGUGACGAUGGUGAUCACGACGGUGCUUCAAAGAUGGAGAUCACAAGCACAAGAUGAUGAUGGCCAUAUCAUAUCACUUAUAUUGAUUGCAUGUGAUGUUUAUCCUUUAUGCAUCUUAUCUUGCUUUGAUUGACGGUAGCAUUUUAAGAUGAUCUCUCACUAAAUUAUCAAGAAGUGUUCUCCCUGAGUAUGCACCAUUGCAAAAGUUCUUCGUGCUGAGACACCACGUGAUGAUCGGGUGUGAUAGGUUCUACGUUCAAAUACAACGGGUGCAAAACAGUUGCACACGCGGAAUACUCAGGUUAAACUUGAUGAGCCUAGCAUAUAACAGAUAUGGCCUCGGAACACGGAGACCGAAAGGUCGAGCGUGAAUCAUAUAGUAGAUAUGAUCAACAUAUUGAUGUUCACCGUUGAAACUACUCCAUCUCACGUGAUGAUCAGACAUGGUGUAGUUGAUAUGGAUCACGUAAUCACUUAGAGGAUUAGAGGGAUGUCUAUCUAAGUGGGAGUUCUUAAGUUAUAUGAUUAAUUGAACUUUAAUUUAUCAUGAACUUAGUCCUGGUAGUAUUUUGCAAAUUAUGUUGUAGAUCAAUAGCUCGCGUUGUUGCUUUCAUAUGUUUAUAUGUUCCUAGAGAAAAUUGUGUUGAAAGAUGUUAGUAGCAAUGAUGCAGACUUGGUCCGUGAUCUGAGGUUUAUCCUCAUUGCUGCACAGAAGAAUUAUGUCCUUUAUGCACCGCUAGGUGACAGACCUAUUGCAGGAGCAGAUGCAGACGUUACGAACGUUUGGCUAUCUUAAUAUGAUGACUACUUGAUAGUUUAGUGCACCAUGCUUAACGGCUUAGAAUCGGGACUUCAAAGACGUUUUGAACGUCAUGGACCAUAUGAGAUGUUCCAGGAGUUGAAGUUAAUAUUUCAAGCAAAUACCCGAGUUGAGAGAUAUGAAGUCUCCAACAAGUUCUAUGGCUAAAAGAUGGAGGAGAAUCGCUCAACUAGUGAGCAUGUGCUUAGAUUGUCUGGGUACUACAAUCGCUUGAAUCAAGUGGGAGUUAAUCUUCCAGAUAAGAUAGUGAUUGACAGAAUUCUCUAGUCACCAUCACUAAAGUUACUAGAACUUCGUGAUGAACUAUAGUAUGCAAGGGAUGACCAAAACGAUUCCCGAGCUCUUCGUGAUGUUGAAAUCGACGAAGGUAGAAAUCAAGAAAGAGCAUCAAGUGUUGAUGAUUGAGAAGAUCACUAGUUUCAAGAAAAGGGCAAAGGGAAAGAAAAGGGAACUUCAAGUAGAAUGACAAACAAGUUUUCACUCCCAUGAAGAAGCCCAAAGCUGGACCAAAGCCUGAAACUGAGUGCUUACACUGCAAAGGAAAUGGUCACUGGAAGCGGAAAUGCCCUGAAUAUUUGAUCAGAAGGAUGUCAAAGUGAACAAUGGUAUAUUUGAUAUACAGGUUAUUGAUGUGUACCUUACUAGUGUUUAUAGUAGCCCCUGAGUAUUUGAUACUUGUUCGGUUGCUAAAAAUUAGUAACUCGAAACAGGAGUUACAGAGUAAACAGAGACUAGUUGAGGGUGAAGUGACGAUGAGUGUUGGAAGUAGUUCCAAGAUUGAUCUGAUCAUCAUCGCACACUCCCUAUACUUUCGGGAUUAGUGUUGAACCUAAAUAAAUGUUAUUUGGUGUUUGCGUUGAGCAUGAAUGUGAUUUGAGCAUAUUUAUUGCAAUACGGUUAUUCAUGUAAGUUAGAGAAUAAUUGUUAUUCUGUUUACAUGAAUAAAACCUUCUAUGGUCAUACACCCAAUGAAAAUGGUUUGUUGGAUCUCGAUCGUAUGAUACACAUAUUCAUAAUAUUGAAGCCAAAAGAUGUAAAGUUAAUAAUGAUAGUGCAACUUAUUUGUGGCACUGCCGUUUAGGUCAUAUUGGUGUAAAGCGCAUGAAGAAACUCCAUGUUGAUGGGCUUUUGGAAUCACUUGAUGCUUGCGAACCAUGCCUCAUGGGCGAGAUGACUAAGACUCCGUUCUCCGGAACAAUGGAGCGAGCAAUAGAUUUGUUGGAAAUAAUACAUAUUGAUGUAUGAGAUCCAAUGAGUGUUGAUGCUCGUGGCAAGUAUCGUUAUUUUCUGACCUUCACAGAUGAUUUGAGCAGAUAUGGGUAUAUCUACUUGAUGAAACAUAAGUCUGAAAUAGUUGAAAAGUUCAAAGAAUUUCAGAGUGAAGUGGAAAAAUCAUCUUAACAAGAAAAAUAAAGUUUCUACGAUCUGAUCGUGGAGACGAAUAUUUGAGUUAUGAGUUUGGUCUUCAUUUGAAACAACGUGAAAUAGUUUCGCAACUCACGCCAUCUGGAACACCACAAUGUAAUGGUGUGUCUGAAUGUCGUAAUCGUACUUUAUUAGAUAUGGUGCGAUCUAUGAUGUCUCUUAUCGGUUUACCACUAUCGUUUUGGGGUUAUACAUUAGAGACAACUGCAUUCACAUUUAAUAGGGCACCAUCUAAAUCCGUUGAGACGACACCGUAUGAACUAUGGUUUAGCAGUAAACCUAAGCUAUCGUUUCUUAAAGCUUGGAGUUGCGAUGCUUAUAUGAAAAAGGUUUUCAACCUGAUAAGCUCGAACCCAAAUCGGAGAAGUGUGUCUUCAUAGAAUACCCAAAGGUAACUAUUGGGUACACCUUCUAUCACAGAUCCGAAGGCAAGUUAUUCAUUGCUAAGAUGGAUCCUUUCUAGAGAAGAAGUUUCUCUCGAAAGAAGUGAGUGGGAGGAAAGUAGAACUUGAUGAGGUAAUUGUACCUUCUCCCUUAUUGGAAAGUAGUUCAUCACAGAAAUCAGUUCCAGUGAUUCCUACACCAAUUAGUGAGGAAGUUAACGAUGAUGAUCAUGAAACUUCAGAUCAAGUUGCUACCAAACCUCGUAGGUCUUCCAGAGUAAGAUCCGCACCAGAGUGGUACGGUAAUCAUGUUUUGGAAGUCAUGUUACUAGACCAUGAUGAACCUACGAACUAUGAGGAAGCGAUGAUGAGCCCAGAUUCCGCGAAAUGGCUUGAGGCCAUAAAAUCUGAGAUAGGAUCCAUGUAUGAGAACAAAGUAUGGACUUUGGUUGACUUGCUCGAUGAUCAGCAAGCCAUGUUAAAUAAAUGGAUCUUCAAGAGGAAGACGGACACUGAUAGUAGUGUUACUAUCUACUAAGCUCGACUUGUUGCGAAACGUUUUCGACAAGUUCUAGGUGUUGAAUACAUGAGAUUUUCUCACUCAUAUCGAUGCUUAAGUCUGUCUGAAUCAUGUUAGCAAUUGCCAUAUUUUAUGAAAUCUGGCAAAUGGAUGUCAAAACUGCAUUCCUUAAUGGAUUUAUUAAAGAAGAGUUGUAUAUGAUGCAACCAGAAAGUUUUUGUCAAUCCUAAAGAUGCUAACAAAGUGUGCAAGCUCCAGCAAUCCAUCAAUGGACUGGUGCAAGCAUCUCGGAGUUGGAAUAUAUGCUUUGAUGAGUUGAUCAAAGCAUAUGGUUUUAUAUAGACUUUUGGAAAGGCAUGUAUUUACAAGAAAGUGAGUGGGAGCUCUGUAGCAUUUCUGAUAUUAUAUGUGCAAGACAUAUUGUUGAUUGGAAAUGAUAUAGAAUUUCUGGAUAGCAUUAAAGGAUACUUGAAUAAAAAGUUUUUCAAUGAAAGACCUUAGUGAAGCUGCUUACAUAUUGAGCAUCAAGAUCUAUUGAGAUAGAUCAAGAUGCUUGAUAAGUUUUUCAAUAAGUACAUACCUUGUCAAGAUUUUCAAAUAGUUCAAAAUGGAACAGUCAAAGAAAGAGUUCUUGCCUGUGUUGCAAAGGUGUGAAAUUGAGUAAGACUCAAGACCCGACCACGGCAGAAAAUAGAAAGAGAAUGAAAGUCAUUCCCUAUGCAUCAGUCAUAGGUUCUAUAAAAGUAUGCCAUGCUAUGGACCAAAUCUAUUGUAUACUCUGCCCUGGUUUGGCAAGGGAGUACAAUAGUGAUCUAGGAGUAGAUCACUGGACAUUGGUCAAAAUUAUCCUUAGUAGAAUAAGGAUAUGUUUCUCGAUUAUGGAGGUGAUAAAAGAGUUCGUCGUAAAGAGUUACAUCGAUGCAAGGUUUUACAUAGAUCCAGAUGACUCUAAGUCUCAAUCUGGAUACAUAUUGAAAGUGGGAGCAAUUAGCUAGAGUAGCUCCGUGCAAAGCAUUGUAGACAUAGAAUAUUUGCAAAAUACAUACGACUCUGUAAUAUGACAGACCCGUUGACUAAACUUCUCUCACGAGCAAAACAUGAUCAUACCUUAGUACACUUUCGGUGUUAAUCACAUAGCAAUGUGAACUAGAUUAUUGACUCUAGUAAACCCUUUGGGUGUUGAUCACAUGACGAUGUGAACUAUGGGUAUUAAUCACAUACAGGUGUGAAUAUUGGUGUGAAAUCACAUGAUGAUGUGAACUAGAUUAUUGACUCUAGUGCAAGUGGGAGACUGAAGGAAAUAUGCCCUAGAGGCAAUAAUAAAGUUAUUAUUUAUUUCCUUAUAUCAUGAUAAAUGUUUAUUAUUCAUGCUAGAAUUGUAUUAACCGGAAACAUAAUACAUGUGUGAAUACAUAGACAAACAUAGUGUCACUAGUAUGCCUCUACUUGACUAGCUCAUUAAUCAAAGAUGGUUAUGUUUCCUAACCAUAGACACGUGUUGUCAUUUGAUUAACGGGAUCACAUCAUUAGGAGAAUGAUGUGAUUGACAUGACCCAUUCCGUUAGCCUAGCACUUGAUCGUUUAGUAUAUUGCUAUUGCUUUCUUCAUGACUUAUACAUGUUCCUGUAACUAUGAGAUUAUGCAACUCCCGUUUACCGGAGGAACACUUUGGGUGCUACCAAACGUCACAAUGUAACUGGAUGAUUAUAAAGGAGUACUACAGGUGUCUCCGAAGGUACAUGUUGGGUUGGCGUAUUUCGAGAUUAGGUUUUGUCACUCCGAUUGUCGGAGAGGUAUCUCUGGGCCCUCUCGGUAAUGCACAUCACUAUAAGCCUUGCAAGCAAUGUAGCUAAUGAGUUAGUUAUGGAAUGAUGUAUUAUGUAACGAGUAAAGAGACUUGCCAGUAAUGAGAUUGAACUAGGUAUUGGAUACCGACGAUCAAAUCUCGGGCAAGUAACAUACCGAUGACAAAGGGAACAACGUAUGUUGUUAUGCGGUUUGACCGAUAAAGAUCUUCAUAGAAUAUGUGGGAGCCAAUAUGGGCAUCUAGGUCCCGCUAUUGGUUAUUGACCAGAAACAAGUUCUAGGUCAUGUCUACAUAGUUCUCGAACCCAUAGGGUCCGCACGCUUAACGUUUCGUUGACGAUAUAGUAUUAUAUGAGUUAUGUAUGUUGGUAACCGAAUGUUGUUCGGAGUCACGGAUGAGAUCAUGGACAUGACGAGGAACUCCGGAAUGGUCCGGAGAUAAAGUUUGAUAUAUGGGAUAAUAGUGUUUGAUCUCCGGAAGAGUUCCGGAAUUCACCGGAAGGGGUUCCGGAUGUUUCCCGAAAUGUUUGGGUACGAGAACACGUUAUUUGGGCCAAAGGGGAAAGACCACAAGGUUUUUGGAAAGUGCAAAAGGAAGUUUUGCGGAGUCCAGGGGCCAGACGCCAGGGUCCCUGGCGUCUGGGUCCAGACACCGGGAACCCUGGCGUCUGGCCCUGAAGUCCGAGAAGGACUCUUGCCUUUCGGGUGAAACCGACUUUGUGGAGGCUUUUACUCCAAGUUUCGACCCCAAGGCUCAACAUAUAAAUAGAGGGGCAGGGCUAGCACCAAAGACACAUCAAGAAACACCAAGCCGUGUGCCGGCAACCCCGUCCCCUCUAGUUUAUCCUCCGUCAUAGUUUCCGUAGUGCUUAGGCGAAGCCCUGCGGAGAUUGUUCUUCACCAACACCGUCACCACGCCGUCGUGCUGCCGGAACUCAUCUACUACUUCGCCCGUCUUGCUGGAUCGAGAAGGCGAGGACGUCAUCAAGCUAAACGUGUGCAGAACCCGGAGGUGCCGUGCGUUCGGUACUUGGAUCGGUCGGAUCGUGAAGACGUACAACUACAUCAACCGCGUUGAUAAACGCUUCCGCUUAGCGAUCUUCAAGGGUAUGAAGAUACACUCCUCCUCUGGUUGCUAUGCAUCACCAUGAUCUUGUGUGUGCGUAGGAAAAUUUUGAAAUUACUACGUUCCCCAACACAUUAACCUCAUGGAUAUUCAAAGUGUUCAUACUAGCAACAUUGCAAUCAUGCUCAUCAUUCAUGCAAAUCAUUUUAUUAAAUUCUUCUUCUAACAAUUGAGCACAACUUUCCGAUCCAUCAUUUUCAAGAAAGAUAUUAUAAAGAUGAUCAAUAAUAUGAUGCAACCUUAAUUCCAUUUUUCGUGUAGUUUUCUUUUAUAGACCAAACUAGUGAUAAAACAACAAACUAAAAGAUUCGAUUGCAAGAUCUAAAGAUAUACCUUCAAGCAUUCACCUCCCCAGUAACGGCGCCAGAAAAGAGCUUGAUGUCUACUACGCAACUUUAUUCUUGUAGACACAUGUUGGGCCUCCAGGCGCAGAGUUUUGUAGGACAGUAGCAAUUUUCCCACAAGUGGAUGACCUAAGGUUUAUCAAUCCGUGAGAGGUGUAGGAUGAAGAUGGUCUCUCUCAAACGAUCCUGCAACCAAAUACAAGAAAUCUCUUGUGUCCCCAACACACCCAAUACAAUGGCAAAUUGUAUAGGUGCACUAGUUCGGCGAAGCGAUGGUGAUUAAAGUGUAAUAUGGAUGGUAGAAAUAUAUUUUUAUAAUCUGAAUAAAUAAAAACAGCAAGGUAGAAAAUAGUAAACGGGCAAAAAACGGUGUUGCAAUGCUUAAAAAUGAGGCCUAGGGUGCAUACUUUCACUAGUGCAAUCUCUCAACAAAGCUAACAUAGUUGGAUCAUAUGAUUAUCCCUCAAAAUGCAACAAAGAAUCAUUCCCGAGUUCCUAUUAGCGGAGAACAAAAGAGAGAAAUUGUUUGUAGGGUACGAAACCACCUCAAAGCUAUUCUUUCCGAUCGAUCUAUCCUAGAGUUCGUACUAAAAUAAGAGCAAGCUAUUCUUUCCGAUCGAUCUAAUCAAGAGUUCGUACUAAAAUAACACCAUAUGACACAUAUCAACCAACUCUAAUGUCACCUAGAUACCCCAAUGUCACCGUGAGUACCCAUGACCUAAUUAUACGACAUGUUCAAACAAUUUUAGAUUCAUAAUGCUCAAUCCAACACAAAACUACAAGGGGACCCCAAAGUUUCUAUCAGAGAAAAGAUAAUAAAAACAUGCAUCAACCCCUAUGCAUAGAUUACCCCAAUGUCACCGCGGGAAUCCGCAAGUUGACUGCCAUAACAUAUAUCAAGUGAAUCAAUAUGAUAAUCCAUUGUCACCUCAAUUAUUCAUACGACAAGACAUACAUCAUGUGUUUUCAAAUCUGAACAUUCAAUCCGACAAGACAAAACUUCAAAGGGUAAAGACUCAAUUCAUCACAACAAAAGUAGAGAGGGGAGAAACAUCAUAUGAUCCAUUUAAACUAACAAAGCCCGCGAUACAUCAAGAUCGUGAUAUCUCAAGAUCACGAGAGAGAGAGAGAGAGAGAUUAAACACAUAGCUACUGGUACAAACCCUCAGCCCCGAGGAUGGACUACUCGCUCCUCAUCGCGGUGGCCGCCGGGAUGAUGAAGAUGGCCACCGGUGAUGAUUCCCCCCUCCGGCAGGGUGCCGCAAUGGGGUCUAGAUUGGAUCUUGUGGAUACAGAGGUCUUGCGGUGGCGGAACUUUCGAUCUAGGUUAACCCUGAUGGGUUUCAGAAUAUUUGUGAAUUUAUAGGGUAACGAGGGGUUGCGGGAGGCCACCGAAGUGGGCACAACCCACUUGGGCGUGCCAGUGGGCCCAGGCGCGCCCUGGUGGGUUGUGCCCCCCUCGGGGUACCCCCGAGAUCCUGGUUGUUCUGGUCCAUAAAACAUCUCCAAGGAGUUACGUGGUGUUUGGACUCCGUUUGAUAUUGAUUUCCUGCGAUGUAAAAAACAAGGAAAAAAUAGCAACUGGCACUGGGCAGUAGGUUAGUCCCAAAAAAUGAUAUAAAGUUGCUAUAAAAUGAUUGUAAAACACCCAAGAAUGAUAAUAUAAUGGCAUGAAUACUUCAUAAAUUAUAGAUACAUUGGAGACGUAUCAGUGAUCAUCUGCUUUCUUUAUAUCCUUAUCAAUAUGUCGAGGCGUGUUUCGACAGACAAUGCCAUUAAUAUUAAUGCCAUGUUACAUGCCUAAAAAAGUACAUAAGGGAAAGUCUAGCACAGGGUUGUAAGUGCAUCUAGUGCCCCUUAGUGAUUUUGGUGUAUUGAUGACUUAUAGGUUAAGGGACUGAUGCGUUUGUGAGUGUACAUUGGUCUAUAAGUCUAUGAGGAGUUUGAUAUUUACAAAGAAAGUCGACCCCUAAAAAUGAAGUUCUUCAACUGAAGACUUUGGAUUUCUGAAGACUUUCUGAAGACUUUGAAAUUGAAGAAAUUGGUGUAACCUUGAAGACUUGGUAAUCAUUUGAGGAACAUGAAUCAUGAAGACUUUUGUUUUUAUAGUUUCAUUUUCUCUUUAUUGAGUCAUAGGAAACACCGUACUGUUAAAGGGGGUCGAGGAAAUACUAAGGAAAAAAUUCCAUGUGAUGCUCAACUCAAAUCCUACACCUACCAAUCCCUUCGAGUGAAGCCAUUGGAAAUCUCAUACAGUUCAGUCCUAUUCUUCAGUGACAGAGACGAAGUUCUUCUGCUCUCUGAGGAAUUUGUUCUGACUGAGGAGUUAAGAAUUCGCGAGUGCGGAUUGCCUACACAGUGAGGAACAUGAUAGCCCUGAGGAUUUUGAGAGUCAAAAUUCUGACCGUUGCUGUGCUAUGCGCCAGCUGUCCCAAAAUAUCUACCCACCUAACGGUCAUAUCUGACAAGGGCAUUUAUGUCUUAUCAUGUCGGGGUGCUCCCUAGGCUACAAAAAGCCGCCCCCUACAACCACUAGCUGGUUGGCUGCUCCAAGAGAAACUGACACUUGUCAAUUGAGAGCAUCCCAUCCUCCGAGGACUUUGAGUGAAAAUCAUCAAGUGAGGAAAACCCAAACCCAACACCUACAAACCCAAAGUGAUUGAGCAUCACUGAAGAGAUUGAUCCUGCGUCGAUCUGACGCUUGUUUUCUUUGAAGACUGUGCUUCUUCCAGACGGUUAGGCAUCAAGGUCUACAGCAUCCAAGAGGAAUUGUGGAUCGCUGAGUGACCAAGUUUGUGAAGGUCCGGAAGUCACCUGAAGACUUACCACGAGUGAUUGGGCGAGGUCUGUGUGACCUUAGCUCAAGGAGAAUACGGUGAGGACUGUGUGUGAUAACCCGCAAGUAUACGGGAUAGUUGUAUCCUCUUUCGAUAAGUAAAGAGUGUCGAAUCCAACGAGGAGCUAAAGGUAGAACAAAUACUCUCUCAAGUACUAUCGGCCACUGAUACGACUCUACGCACGCUUGACGUUCGCUUUACCUAGAACAAGUAUGAAACUAGAAGUACUUUGUAGGUGUGAUAGGAUAGGUUUGCAAGAUAAUGAAGAACACGUAAACAUAAACUAGGGGCUGUUUAGAUAAAGAAGAAAUAAAGUAAAUAUAGCGAGUGUGGAAAAGUGGUGGUAGGAGUUGUGGAAUUGUCCCUAAGCAAUUGACUACGUUACUAGACCGAUAAUCACUAUUGCAAUUUUAUUUGAGGGCGAGGCAUAAGCUAACAUACUUUCUCUACUUGGAUCAUAUGCACUUAUGAUUGGAACUCUAGCAAGCAUCCGCAAAUACUAAAGAUUCAUUAAGGUAAAACCCAACCAUAGCAUUAAAGUAUCAAGUCCCCUUUAUCCCAUACGCAACAACCCCCUUACUCUGGUUUGUGUUUCAGUCACUCACGCAACCCACUAUAAGUGAAUCAUGAACGCAUUGCAACACCCUACAACGGGAAUCCCUCACGCUUGUGCGACACAGAGGGCACCAUAGGACAUCACCAAUAAUAAAACAUGCAACUCAAACCAAUCAUAGCAAUUCAUCAAUCACCGAUAGGACAACGAAAAUCUACUCAGACAUCAUAGGAUGGCAACACAUCAUUGGAUAAUAAUAUGAAGCAUAAAGCACCAUGUUCAAGUAGAGGGUACAGCGGGUUGCGGGAGAGUGGACCGCUGGAUAUAGAUGGGGGAAGAUGAUGGAGACGUUGGUGAAGAUGAUGGAGGUGUUGGUGAAGAUCGCGGUGAUGAUGAUGGCCCCCGGCGGCGUUCCGGCGCCACCGGAAGCAAGGGGGAGAGAGCCCCCCUUCUUCUUCUUAUUCUUCCUUGACCUUCUCCCUAGAUGGGAGAAGGGUUUCCCCUCUGGUCCUUGGCUCCCAUGGCGUGGGAGGGGCGAGAGCCCCUCCGAGAUUGGAUCUAUCUCUCUGUUUCUGCGUUCUGCGGUUCUGCCCCUUCACCGUUUCCUUUAUAUCUGGAGAUCCGUAACUCCGAUUGGGGUGAAUCUUUCGCCCAGAUAUUUCUCGUAAAAUUAGCUUUCUUGCGGAAAAAGAAGAGCGUCAACCGCCUUACGGGUGGCCCACGAGAGUCCAGGGCGCGCCCAGGGGGGAGGGCGCCCCCUGUCUCAUGGCCACCCCGGACAGCUUUUCGCGUUGAUUUUUCCUCCCAAAAAUCACAAAUAUUCCAAAAUAAUUCUCCGUCCGUUUCUAUCCCGUUUGGACUCCAUUUGAUAUUGGGUUUCUACGAAACAAAAAACAUGCAACAUACAGGAACUGGCACUGGGCACUGGAUCAAUAUGUUAGUCCCAAAAAUAGUAUAAAAAGUUGCCAAAAGUAUAUAAAAGUUGAAUAAUAUUAGCAUAGAACAAUCAAAAAUUAUAGACACAAUGGAGAUGUAUCAACAUCCCCAAGCUUAAUUCCUGCUCGUCCUCGAGUAGGUAAAUGAUAAAAAAGAUAAUUUUUGAUGUGGAAUGCUACCUAGCAUAAUCUUGAUCGUAUGUCUAAUCAUGGCAUGAAUAUUAAGACACGAGUGAUUCAAAGCAAUAGUCUAUCAUUUGACAUAAAAAUGACAAUACUUCGAGCGUACCAAUAAAGCAAUCAUGUCUUUUCAAAACAACAUGGCCAAAGAAAGUUAUCCCUACAAAAUCAUAUAGUCUGGCUGUUGCUCUAUCUUCAUCACACAAAGUAUUUAAUCAUGCACAACCCCGAUGACAAGCCAAGCAAUUUUUUCAUACUUUCAUAAUCUCAAAAAAUUUCAACUUUCACGCAAUACAUGAGUUGAGCCAUGGAUAUAACACUUUGGGGAAGCCCAUCAUCGGAAUAUACAAGCCAAGUUCUAUAAUGAAAAUUCCCACUAGUAUAUGAAAGUGAAAGCAUAGGAGACUCUCUCUAUGAAGAACAUGGUGCUACUUUGAAGCACAAGUGUGGUAAAAGGAUAGUAGCAUUGCCCCUUCUCUCUUUUUCUCUCAUUUUUUUUCUUUUUUUUUCUUUUUGGUGGGCUUCUUUGGCCUCCUUUUUUAUUUGGGCUUCUUUGGCCUGUUUUAUUUUUCAUAAAGUCUGGAGUCUCAUCCCGACUUGUGGGGGAAUCAUAGUCUCCAUCAUCCUUUCCUCACUGGGAUAAUGCUCUAAUAAUGAUGAUCAUCACACUUUUAUUUACUUACAACUCAAUAUCUAGAACAAAGAUAUGACUCUAUAUGAAUGCCUCCGGCGGUGUACCGGGAUGUGCAAUGAUCUAGCAUAGCAAUGACAUCAAAAAACAGAUAAGCCAUGAAAAUGUCAUGCUAGCUAUCUUACGAUCAUACCAAAACAAUAUGACAAUGAAUGCUCAAGUCAUGUAUAUGAUGAUGAUGGAAGUUGCAUGGCAAUAUAUCUCGGAAUGGCUAUGGAAAUGCCAUGAUAGGUAGGUACGGUGGCUGUUUUGAGGAAGGUAUAUGGUGGGUGUAUGGUACCGGCGAAAGGUGCGCGGCACAAGAGAGGCUAGCAAUGGUGGAAGGGUGAGAGUGCGUAUAAUCCAUGGACUCAACAUUAGUCAUAAAGAACUCAUAUACUUAUUGCAAAAAUCUACAAGCCAUUGAAAACAAAGUACUACACGUAUGCUCUUAGGGGGAUAGAUUGGUAGGAAAACGCUCGUCCCCGACCGCCACUCAUAAGGAAGACAUCAAUAAAUAAAAUUGUGCUCCAACUUCAUCACAAAGCGGUUCACCAUACGUGCAUGCUACGGGAAUCACAAACCUCAACACAAGUGCUUCUACUAAUCCACAGUCACCCACCAGCAUGACUCUAAUAUCACCACCUUUAUAUCGCAAAACUAUUGCAAGGAAUCAAACAUAUCAUAUUCAGCGAUCUACAAGUUUAUGUAGGAUUUUAUGACUAACCAUGUGAUUGACCAAUUCCUGUCAUCUCUCUAAAUAGAUAUAAGUGAAGCAAGAGAGUUUAAUUAUUUAUACAAAAUAUAUGCCCAUGCUCUAACAAAUAUAAGUGAAGCAAAAGAGCAUUGUACAAAUGGUGGUUGUCUAUAUGAAGAGAAACAGGCAAUCCAAACUUCAAAUGAUAUAAGUGAAGCACAUGAAGCAUUCUAUAAAGCAAUACUCAAAAGAUUUAAGUGAGGUGCAAUGAGCAUUAUAUAAAUCAACCAAGGACUAUCUCAUACCAGCAUGGUGCAUAAAAGAAAAAUGAAAACUAAAUGCAAAAGAUGCUCCAAGACUUGCACAUAACGCAUGAACGAAACGAAUACGAAAACAUAUUGAUACUAGUUGAAGAAAGAGGGGAUGCCUUCCGGGGAAUCCCCAAGCUUAGAUGCUUGAGUCUCCUUGAAUAUUUACUUGGGGUGCCUCGGGCAUCCCCAAGCUUAAGCUUUUGCCUCUCUCCCUUUUCCUCAUAUCGAGACCUCCUCGUUUAAACACUUCAUCCACACAAAACUUCAACAGAAAACUCGGUAAGAUCCGUUAGUAUAAUAAAGCAAAUCACCACUCUAAGCAUUGUAGCAAACCAAUUCAUAUCUUGUUUUUGCAUUGUGUCUACUGUAAUAUAACUUUUCCAUGGCUUAAUCCACUAAUAUAAAUUGAUAUAUUCAUCAAAACAAGUAAACUAUGCAUCAAAAACAGAAUCUGUCAAAAACAGAGCAGUCUGUAGUAAUCUGAACAUCCACCAUACUUCUGGUACCCCAAAAAUUCUACCAAAAUUAGGAAAAAUAAAAAAUUUGUAUAGCAAGACAGUGCAAAAAUAAUCAUAACCAAUUGACGUUCCAGUUAAAAUGUAAAAUCGCGCACUACAUCCAAAGUUUCUAUCCUGCACCGUACAAACCAACAAGCUUUGUAAACAUCCUAAAGGCAAACCUUGGCAUAUUAUUUUUAUAAUACAAUAGAGUUAUACAAGGGGAUAAUUAUUUUUGAUGAAAAUUUUCUGUAAUCAAGAUUCACAAAGUUUCCCUGAGCAUGAACAAAGUUCAAGGAGCUCUCCCACUUCAACAAUGCUUGUCUUUCUCACUUUCACUUUCCUUUUUGAAGCGUUUUUAGGUUCCCAUCUUUAUUUUUUUGUUUUUAAACCAUAUGAAAGCACUCAACAGAAAUAAACGACUCUCUAAAACUUCCGGGUUGUCUCCCUGGCAGCGCUUUCUUUAAAGCCAUUAAGCUAGGCAUACAGUGCUCAAGUAAUGGAUCCACCCGGAUCCCAAGGUAUAUCAAAGCCAAUUUUAAUUAACAAUGAUUUGUAAUUUAGUAGUGAGCACAAAGUAACAUAUAUCAUGCAACAAUGAAGUCUAACUCUUUUCCUAUGCAUCGGCAUGUCAUAAAAGAACAAUUCAUGGACACCAAGUAAAGGCCAAUGCAUAGUAUAAGUAGUUUCUUGCAAUUCUAUCAUAUUGGAAAUGUAAAGAGGCGGAGAUGUAGUUCCUCUCUCAUAAUAAUUGCAAGUAGGAGUAGCAAGCACAUGCAUAUUAUAUCUAUCAAAAUUAUCAUGUGCAACGGUAAAAGGCAACCCAUCAAUAUAAUCCUUACUAAGCACAAACUUCUCCGAUAUAGUGUAGUCGGGAGAAUGCAAAAAGAUAAUAGGACUAUCAUGCGUGGGUGCAAUAGCAACAAUUUCAUGUUUAACAUAAGGAACUAUAGCAAGUUCAUCUCCAUAAGCAUAAUUCAUAUUGGCAUCUCGGCCACAAGCAUAGCAAGCAUCAUCAAAAAGGGAUAUUUCAAACAAAUUCAAGGGAUCAUAGCAAUCAUCAUAGCAAUCAUCCUUCGGUAAGCACGAAGGGGAAUUAAAUAAUGUAUGAGUUGGAGGGUUACUCUCAUUAGAAGGUGGCACAUGUAGCUAAUCCACUCUUCCUCCUUUUGUUCUUCGCUCUCCUUAUCAUCUUUUUCAUCCAAUGAGCUCACUGUUUCAUCAAUUUCUUCUUCCAUAGCUUCCUGCAAAAUAUUAGUCUCUUCUUGGAUAGCGGAGAAGUCCUCAAUAUAUGGUUUAACAUAGGCAUUAGAAGCAUAAUUAUCAUAACAAUAUUGAAAUAUGGCAAAAAAAUUAGAUUUGUAAAGAGUAGCAUCAUACUUCUCAAUCAAAGAGGCAAUCUCAUAAGCACCUUUAAAAGCAACAAAUUCUUCAACUUGUUGAACAUCAUAGUAAUUGUAAACACCCCUAGCAUACUAAGAUAUGAUUCCAUUAUCACUAAACAAGCAUUGAUAGGGUAGGUGUUUCUUAGGGUCUUCAGAACAACAAGUAAACUCAUAUAUUUCACAUAAAUUCCAAGCAUAACAUUGCAAACGUUGAAUUUGAUCCUAUAAUAGUUUCCGUUUUUCAGAUAUACGGUGUCGCACAAGACAAGCAUGCUCAUCUAAAGAUUUGCCCUCAACUAAACUAGUUGGGGUUUCAGCACGAGCACAAAGGGAUCGAAGAUGAUCCAAGUAAAAAGCUUCAGGAGUGUGAUAGAUUUUGAGUGGUUCUUCAACCACUGGUUUAGUAGGUACAACUAAUUUUUUGGUAUUUUGCAUUUCCUACCCAUUACUAAAGAUAGAAAACAACUAAGAACAGCAAAUAAAAUAAAAAUUGCUUAGUGAUAAAGCAAACAAGCACACACUAGAAAAUUCACCCCACGCUAUGACUCCCCGACAACGGCGCCAGAAAAAGGUCUUGAUAACCCGCAAGUAUACGGGAUAGUUGUAGCCUCUUUUGAUAAGUAAGAGUGUCGAACCCAACGAGGAGCUAAAGGUAGAAUAAAUACUCUCUCAAGUCCUAUCAGCCACUGAUACGACUCUACGCACGCUUGACGUUCGCUUUACCUAGAACAAGUAUGAAACUAGAAGUACUUUGUAGGUGUGAUAGGAUAGGUUUGCAAGAUAAUAAAGAACACAUAAACAUAAACUAGGGGCUGUUUAGAUAAAGAAGCAAUAAAGUAAAUAUAGCGAGUGUGGAAAAGUGGUGGUAGGAGUUGUGGAAUUGUCCCUAAGCAAUUGACUACGUUACUAGACCGGUAAUCACUAUUGCAAUUCUAUUUGAGGGAGAGGCAUAAGCUAACAUACUUUCUCUACUGGAUCAUAUGCACUUAUGAUUGGAACUCUAGCAAGAAUCCGCAAAUACUAAAGAUUCAUUAAGGUAAAACCCAACCAUAGCAUUAAAGUAUCAAGUCCCCUUUAUCCCAUACGCAACAAUCCCCUUAUUCAGGUUUGUGUUUCAGUCACUCAUGCAACCCACUAUAAGCGAAUCAUGAACACAUUGCAACACCCUACAACGGGAAUCCCUCACGCUUGCGCGACACAGAGGGCACCAUAGGACAGCACCAAUAAUAAAACAUGCAACUCAAACCAAUCAUAGCAAUUCAUCAAUCACCGAUAGGACAAUGAAAAUCUACUCAGACAUCAUAGGAUGGCAACACAUCAUUGGAUAAUAGUAUGAAGCAUAAAGCACCAUGUUCAAGUAGAGGGUACAGCGGGUUGCGGGAGAGUGGACCGCUGGAUAUAGAUGGGGGAAGGUGAUGGAGACGUUGGUGAAGAUGAUGGAGGUGUUGGUGAAUAUCGCGGUGAUGAUGAUGGCCCCCGGCGGCGUUCCGGCACCACCAGAAGCAAGGGGGAGAGAGCCCCCCUUCUUCUUCUUCUUCCUUGACCUCCACCCUAGAUGGGAGAAGGGUUUCCCCUCUGGUCCUUGGCUCCCAUGGCAUGGUAGGGGCGAGAGCCCCUCCAAGAUUGGAUCUAUCUCUCUGUUUCUGCGUUCUGCGGUUCUGCCCCUUCACCGUUUCCUUUAUAUCUGGAGAUCCGUAACUCCGAUUGGGGUGAAUCUUUCGCCCAGAUUUUUCUCGUAAAAUUAUCUUUCUUGCGGCAAAAGAAGAGCGUCAAGCGCCUUACGGGUGGCCCACGAGAGUCCAGGGUGCACCCCCCUGUCUCGUGGCCACCCCGGACACCUUUUCGCGUUGAUUCUUCCUCCCAAAAAUCACAAAUAUUCCAAAAUAAUUCUCCGUCCAUUUUUAUCCCGUUUGGAAUCCAUUUGAUAUUGGGUUUCUGCGAAACAAAAAACAUGCAACAGACAUGAACUGGCACUGGGCACUGGAUCAAUAUGUUAGUCCCAAAAAUAGUAUAAAAAGUUGCCAAAAGUAUAUAAAAGUUGAAUAAUAUUGGCAUGGAACAAUCAAAAAUUAUAGAUACGACGGAGACGUAUCAGUGUGUCCGGGACUGGGUAUCCUCGAAUUUAAAUACUCAGCCGCUCCAACCAGAUGUACAACUGAGACAGCAGUCGGAACUGGUCUACCAAAUUAUUGUCUUCACCAAGCUUACUGGUUCUAUUUCCUCAACUCUUUCAUUUCCUCAUGUCUGUUGGUGUGUGCUUGUUCAUAUCUGUUUGAAGACUUUGACUGAAGACUUCCUCAAUUUCCUCAGUUCAAUUUCUUCAGUCUAUCCGUCUUCUUUCUUGUGUUAUCCUUUGUUUACGCUUUCUGUACUCUGUGCUUGUCUUCAUUUCAUUAUGAUGACUAUGCUUGUGUUCUGUUAUAUCUACAUUUGAGUACUUAUUCCGCUGUUAGUAGUUCUUCGUUUAGGAAUUUCCUCACCAGCAAAUUCCUCAGUGAAGAAUUCAUAAAAGUCACCUAUUCACCCCCUCUAGUCGAUAUACGCACUUUCAAUUGGUAUCAGAGCAAGGUACUCCCUUGUUCUGUGUGAUUUUGGUUUAACCGCCUGGAGUUUUAGUUAUGUCGACCGCAGGUAUGAUCAAGGUCUCCGCUGGGUGUCCUACCUUCGAUGGAACGGACUACCCCUAUUGGAAGAAUAAGAUGCGCAUGCAUCUUGAAGCAAUUGAUAACAAUCUCUGGUGUGUUGUGGAAAAUGGUGUUCCCUCAGUCACACCUUCUCUGAACGCUACUGAUGUGAAGAGAUUCAAGCAACUCGAUUCUCAAGCGAAGAAUAUCAUAUGUGGCCACCUGAGCAAAGGACGGUAUGGAAGAGUGAGUGCUUUGGAAACUGCUAAGCUUAUCUAGGAUAGGCUGUCCAAGGUGAAUGAAGGAGUCUCAACUCAACGUGACUCUCGUGUUGACGUUCUUCGCAAUCUCUUCAACCGCUUCAAAAGACUCGACAAUGAAAAUGUCCAGCAAACCUUCGAUCGCCUCACUGACAUCUCAAAUGAGCUUCAAGCGCUUGGCGCCACUGACAUCACCGACCAUGAGGUGGUGAAGAAAUUGCUGAGAUUGCUCGAUUCUUCAUUUGAUACUCUGGCACUGAUGAUCCAAGAACGUGCUAAUUACAAGUCACUUGAUCCUGCUGAUAUCCUCGAGAGGCUAAAUACUCAUGAGUUCCAGCUUGCUGAGAAGAGAGAUCUCUAUGGUUCGAGCUAUGACAGAUCACGUGCUCUGAAGGCCAAGACAGUCUCUGAGUCUGAAGAUGAGGACUCUGCUAGCAGCCUUGGUGACCUUGAAGAACCGAGCCAGGAACUAGCACUGCUCGUGAAGAAAUUUCAAAAGUUCUCAAGACGUGGUCGCUUUGGAAAAUCCUCAAGGAGCAAUGAUUCCUCAUCCAGUGACAACAAAAAGAGGCUAUGCCACAAAUGCAAGAAACCUGGUCACUACAUCCAAGAUUGUCCUUAGUGGGAUAAGGAAUCAAAGAAGAAGAAAUACAAGGAUUACAGUUCUGAUGACGCAAAGAAGAAGAAGAAAUCCUCAAAGUCUUCAUCAUCAAAAUCCUCGAAGUCUUCAUCUCACUAGAAGAGAAGCUCCAAGAAGGCUCGGGCAUUCAUUGGCAAGGAAAUGGACUCUGAGGCUGAAUCUGAGGAACAUGAGGACAAGGGGGCAUCUAAGGAGUCCGAGUCUGGUGUGGCGAGCCUAGCUCUCGCUACUACAUUCGUCAGCAAGUCUAUCUUCAACUCUGAAGAAAAUGUCUUCACCAACAAGGCUGAUGAAGGCAAUGAUGACUACGCUCCCACCUAUUGCUUCAUGGCACAGGGUGCCAAGGUAACUAAAUACGCCUCCUCUGAAUCUAGUGAGGAUGAAUCUGGUGAAAACCUCAAGCCCAGAUACUCUAAACUUGCUAAGAUUGCUGUGAAACAACUGAAGGCUUUUGAAAAGGUUCAAAACAUGCUAGAUAAAAGUGAUGAUAUGUUGGGUGAAGAAUGGAUCGCACUAAAACCUUGACUGAAAAUCUUCAGAGACUUCAGUCCAAGUUUGACAACCUUCAAGGUCAUCAUAACACUCUCUUAUCUGAUCACGAGAAGCUUUCUUAUGAAUUUCUUCAAAGAAAGCAAGAUCUAGAAAAGCUAAGAGUGGAUUAUGAAGAUCUUCAAAAGGAGUGCGAUUCAUUACUUGCUCAACAAAUCAGCGCUCCUCAGGAAGAAUUUGUUCCUCCAUGUCUAAAAUGCAUUGAACGUGAAACUGCUAAUUCUUCACCUGAAUGUUCAAAUGCUUCUAAUGCUACAAAUUCUUCAUCUGUCUCUGCUAUCAUUAAUUCCUCAUCUGAGGACAAUGCAAGUAUCACUGAUGAUGCAGGGCUGAAGGAAUUGUACAUGACAGGCAUGUACAAAAGCCUCAAAGGGCAUCAGACUCUUUGUGAUGUGCUCAAAAAGCAGAUCCUUAACAGAAACCCUAGGAAAGAGGGUAUUGCCUUUGAGAGGAAACUCAAUGCUGAUGGAACAUAUUGGAAGCUUGAGCGGUACCCCAAAACCUCAUGGGUUGCUGCAAAGGGACCUCCAGUUGAUCCAUCCAACUUAUCUGGUUUUACAUGUUAAUCUCCUCAUUCUUCUGAUGAGUCAUUUGACUCCAACUAUAAACUGUUCAAAAAUCAGAAUGGUGAAGUAUUUGCUAGAUAUGUUGGCACUAACUGCAGGAAUGGUUCCCCUAUGAAGAAAAUCUGGGUUCCCAAAAGUUGCCUUGAAAGUCUUCAGGUGAAUGUCCUCAUGACACCACCAGUGAAGAAUAGGAACUCCAGAUCAAAUUCUUCAUAUGAACCAAACUCUUCAUAUGGAUCCAAGUCCUCAUACGGACCAAAUUCCUCAAAAGGAUCAAAGUCCUCAUAUGAUCAUCAUCGUGCUAACCUUUCUGUUUCGCAGGGUUGAGCUAAAGGCUAUGAAUAUGAGCAUUAUUCUUCAAAUCAUUAUGUUCAGAAGUCCUCAAAGAAUUACUCUGCUUAUUCAUAUGCUUACCCUAACCCCUCUUAUGUGAAACGAAGUGGAUUGGCUUCUGUGCCACCUUUCUCAUAUGGUUCUCGUAGAGUGAUGAAUUCUUUGCCACCCCUUCAGAUGUGGGUGGUGAAGAAAAAGAACUAAUCUCUUAUGCAAGGUCAGGUCUCCAUACGUGCUCAAAACAUCUGAAGAAUUUGCUGGAGACCUGAACAGUGCCUGAUAGGACGCAGGCUAAUCAUGAUGAAAUGAACUUUCAUUUCACACGUCCUCAUACUAUUUAUCUGUUCUAUUGCUCGAAGAAAUUGAACUGAUGAUAUUGAUGUCAUAUUCUUCACUGAUGAAGCACAUGCCAUUUCCUCGGACGAUCUUUGGUCUGUUGGUCCUUGAAGAAACAGAACUGCAUAUCACUCUCCACUGUAGAAGCUGAGUACAUUGCUGCCGGAUCAUGCUGUGCUCAACUACUAUGGAUGAAGCAAACACUCAAGGACUAUGGCGUCAACAUGAAGAAUGUGCCUCUCUACUGCGAUAAUGAGAGUGCUAUCAAGAUUGCUCAUAACCCAGUUCAGCACUCGAAUACUAAGCACAUCCAGAUUCGUCAUCAUUUUCUUCGUGAUCAUGUGUUGAAGGGCGACAUCUCCAUCGACCACGUUAGCACUGAAGAUCAGCUGGCCGAUAUCUUCACUAAGCCCUUGGAUGAGAAGAGAUUUAGCAAGUUGUAGUGUGAGCUAAAUAUCCUAACACUUAUGAUGACUUGAUGACUUAGAUGUGCAACACAUGAAGUAAUGUUUUUCUUCAAUCAAUGAAGACUAACCCUCUAAGUGUGAAGAAAUUAAUGAAGAAAUUGAUUCUUAGAGCCCUACGACAAUUGUACGCGGUGUCUGAAAUCAGCUUUCUUAUACGGUGGGUCACGCCACCACCCAAAGUUGGAAAUCUUCAAAUUUGAGUUUUUCUUUGUUUUUGAAAUUCCUCAGUUUUUCAAAUUCUUCAACUUUGCAUUGUCUUCACUCUUUCCGGUGUUGUUCUUCAUUUGAAUACAUACAUAUGAGUUUUAUGUCCUCUACAACAUUCACUUAUUGCUAAUUCUUCAAGCUGAUUUCUUCUGCUAAGUGAAUGUGAUCGGACCCUUCCCCCUCUAUGCUAAACUCAACCCAGUCUAUUCACAAAUUCUUCAUGUGCGUUCUAUUUGAAACUCGUUCAAAGUCUUCACUGUGUCCUUGACUGCUGAAGAAAUUGCGAACAAAAACUUUAACUUAUAUGUUCUGAAUUUUCGGCUUUGCCGCUCAAACCGUUCCACAUACCACUACAAUACUUAUCUAUUCACCCAUGAUCCUACACGAUCGUCACCUCUCAGUACGUGGGUGACACAUGUCAAGCGAAUGAGAAGGGCCAGGGGCACAUUCGUCCGAUUUCCUUGGGCGUACAAUUUUCACUCUCUCUAUAAAUACCACUGCCUCUUCCUCACUUCACUUUUACCUUGCUCGCUCUCACUCCCGCUCGAGCUCCCCAAACCCUAGCGCCGCCGCUACUUCAUCGUUGCCGGUGAGGAAGAGCUUCACUGCCUCGACCUCGUCACCGUCGUACUCACGCCGGUUGUGGAUUUCUUCACUCCGCCGCCGCCGUAGCCAUCUUCCUCUGCCGAGUUAGGGCGUGGAAGAUCUGAACUGACGAACUUCACAUCUACUCUUCCCAGUUCGUCGUGUUCUUCACUUCGGGUAAUUAAAAGUUACUUUUACUGCCCUCUUUGAUUCUUAUGUUUUCGUGAAAAUCUUCAAAGGUGUUUAUUCUUCAAAUCUUCACACACAUGAACACCUCACAUGUCAUCUGCUCUUGAUUCGUUUCUCUAAGCAAUGAUUUUCUUCAAGAUUCCUCAAUUGUGUGGAUUUUCAAUCUAUACAACUCUAGAACCUAAGACAAAGAACGCUUAGUGAAAUUCCUCAAGACUCAUCUGGUCAAAUUCCUCAAACCUAUUUUUUUUAAACCUUCUGAGAACGCAUAUGACCUCUCCAAAUUCCUCGCAACUAUACUCUGUUCACAGGUACAAAUGUCCACUGCUGAAUCACUAGGUUCUCAUCAACUUAACUCAUUUGCAGCGUUCCUCGAAGAAAAGUUGCACACCUCUUCAGAAACUUCAGUUGUUCAUAUUCCUCAGCUGAAGAAAAUGGCUGAUAAGAAGCCACAAAAGGGAGGAAAGAGGCCUGAGGUCAAUACUGCGUUUGAAACCCCUGAGGACAUUUAUGCUGGAUACUGCACUCCUGAUGAGGCCAAGUUUGCCAAGGAGGACAAGAAUCAGCGCAAGGUGCGCAUACAACGGAUAGAGAGGAGAUGGGCAUGGGAAUGGAGGGAGUACAGGUAUGUUACUCCCAAGUAUAUGAAGAAAUUCACGCUCAACCCUCCAUGCUCAAGACCUCCAUUAGCACCAGGCUAAGUGGCAGAUCCCACCAGCCUCAAGCGCGGUGAGGACUAUGCUGAUGAAUGGGCAAAGCGCCAGGCCAAACUGGCCAAGCAAGCAAAGGAAGCAGUGAAGAAAUUCAAUGCAGACUCUGCUGCUGCUACUGCCGCUGCUAAGGCCUCUGCUAGCCAGCCGAAGAAGGCGAUGCACAAGAAGCCUGCUCAUAAGUCAAGCGCUUCUCCUUCAAUGCCCUCACGGCCAAGCUCCUCAGCAAUGCCCUCAAGGCCAGAUUCUUCAAAGCCCUCACGGCCAAUCCCUCAGACUGCUCCUUCAAAGUCCUCAGCUCCUCCGACAAAGUCUUCAGCUGAUCCGACCAAAUCCUCUACACCUAUGCAUCUCGCCAUGUGCCAAAGGACAACAGGCUUCUCAAUUGCCUCAGGAGCAUCUGCAAGCUCCUCAGCCGCACGAAAUUCCUCUGCUGGCCCCUCUCUGCUGAAGAAAAAGGCCACUGCUAGACGAGGCCUUCGACCAAGUCCUCACAAGAAGCGGGUCGCCUUCCAAGUUCCCUCUGAUGACGAUGAGGCUGAUGAUGAAGAACUCACCGAAAUCAUCAGAGACGGGCAAGCCAGGGCCGCUAGAGCCAAAGGCAGCAAUGUGCCACUGAUGUUGGAUCCAAAGUCGAUCCUCGAUUACAUUAACCUAUGGCACAAGGACCCUAACACGCCUUUGCUGGAGAUGAACCUCACUCCUGGUCAAAGUCAUGUUCUGACUGCCUUCAUUGAGGAAGAAAAGUGGAAAUUUGAACAAGGCAGAAGUCUGAAGAAAGAGCAGUACAAGAAACAGCGCUACCUCAAGGACAAUGUCCUCACUCUUACCCCUGAUCAGCUCAUUGCCUUGCAAGCUGAAAUCAAGCAAUUGAGUGAUGAACUCGAUCGCCACUAUGCUGAUUAGAAGGGCGCCAAGGUUCGGUUCGUCAAUCUGAUGAAGAAAUUCAGUUCUAGUGCUGCUACUCCUAUGCACGUUGAAGUUCCUCAGGCUAAAGCAUCUGCUCAGCCUACUGAAGAACAUGCCAGCACUGCUGAUGACAAUCAGGCUGCUCAAGAAAAUUAGAGUACCAGGGCUGAUGACUCCAUUUCAGCCGCUGAAGAUAUUGCCAGGGCAUUCACUAGUGGUGCGCCUGAAGAAAGUGAAGAAGUCAGGGCAACUACAUCAGUUGCGCCUGAAGAAAAUGAUCCAAAGUCCUCUGCACCUCCUGCGCCUACACCAACUCUGAUCCUUCCAUCUGCAUCAGAUGCGAAGAAGACUAAGGCUGCAGAGCAUGCAACUGUGAAGAAAAGGAAGGCAUCAACUUCAUCAAAUUCUUCAGCUCCGAAAAAGAUGAAGCCUCUGACUAGUUCAAUUGACAACCCAAUUGAUGUCGUUCCAGUCUCUUUCAUGCCAUCAAAGGACCUUGUUCCUUUUGGUGAAGAUUGUGUGAUUCCCAAUGAAUCUGAUGAAGAAACUCCUUCUGCUUCUUCGACAGAGCAGUUGGACGAAGAAAUUGAAGUGGAUGCAAUCCCUUCAACCCUAAUCAUUUCCUCACCUAUGCCUCAGUUCCCUGCUGAAGAGGCAGGUGUUGAAGAAAUGGAAGAUGAGGAUGUGGACAUCGGUUGUACCACUCCUGUGCUCAAUGAUGACUUUUGGGAAAGUCAGCACCCCAACUCUCCAAUGUUCACUUCACUCCAAGUAAUUCCUCAGUCCCCAGCUGCUACUGAAGUGCAAAUGGGAUCUAAAGAACCUCAUGCAACCCCAAGUGUUCAUGAAGAAAUUCCAGCCACUAGUGCUGAAGAAAUUGUCAAUGAAGAAUUGAAGACCCAGGCUGAAGCUGCAGACGAGCCUGAAAUUCCUCUGCCUGAGGAACCUGAGAUUGCGAUUCCUGAGGUGAUGAUGCAAUUGGCUGACACUCCUCAGCCCAAGCCAAAGGAUCCCUUCUCAAAGAAUCAAAAAUUCAAGGCUGAUGAUUUCUUCGGCGAGCAUGUGUUCUUCACUAAAUUCAACCCAUAUGACAAUGCUCAUCUUAGAAGGAAGCAUUUCUGGACUGCCAGCCAGGCCAACUUCUAUUCCUCAUUGCUUUUCAACAAGGACAAAGUCUUCGACCACGAGCACAUUCCUCACGUGGACAUGGAAUCAAUGCCUUGCUUCUCUCAAGUCCUCAGUAUGCUUCAUGAUGCAGGCUUGCUCAACUUUUGUUCAGACAUAGUUGAUUGGAAUGAAGAGCUCAUUCUUCAGUUCUACGCAAUGCUGCAUAUCACAUGUGAUGCUGCUGACGUCAACUCUUGGGUGUUGGACUGGAUGACUGAAAACACUCAUUAUAAGGCACCAGCCUCUGAAUUGCUUCGUGCCCUGCCAAUCAGUUCUCCACCUGACGGUGCUCGUUGUCUGUAUGAUGAGCCUGAACUCACUGCUCACUAUAUGCAAGUGCUCAUGAAGCCUCUGAAGCCUGGUCAAGCCCCAAGGACCAAAUUCCUCGUGAAGGAAUUGCUCUAUGUGCUAAGAACCAUCUAUCGCAUUCUGACGAAGACCGUGAGUCCUAUCAAAGGCCAUGACUCAUUCGAUGAAGAAAUUAUUGGGACGAUGAAGAAUAUGCUAUUCAACAUAAUGCAUGGCAUCCCCAUAAACUAUCAUGAUUUCUUCAUGAGGACCCUGGCGAAUGUUGCACUUUCACCAUUUGAGCUGAAGCCUUACGCACCAUGGAUCAUGAGAUUCCUCAGAACAAGGUCUUCACUCAACUACAAGGCUGACUUUCAGAAUCACCUCAGCUACUUGCCCCCGAUUGAAGUCCUCAAGUGGACAUUUUCCUCAACUGAUGAGAAGGGCAAGUCCCCAACCAUUAUCGAUGAAGGCAUUCGUCUAUUGGAUGGUCAGUUCCGCAAAGCUGCAUCUUAUUCCACCAAUGAUGACUCUGCCACACAUGAUUCUGCUGCCAAUGCUCCCAAGUCAAGUCCUCAAGCUACUGCUCCUCGUGUGAUGACUGACCGUGAACUGCUGCUAAGUCUUCACCAGAAGGUGGAUCGAAACCACAAAUGGGUUAAGCGUCAGUUUGGCUCAAUUCUUCACAACAUGACUUCUACACAUAAUGCAGUGAAGAAAAACCAUUACUACCUCCAUGAAGUUUUUGAUCGCACCUGGGCUAUUCUGUCACAUCUAUAUGGUGAAGAAGAUCUGAAGCAAAUGGGCUUCAAGGAAGAUUUUGACUGGUCUGCUCCUCCACCGAAGAAAUACAAGAAGGCCAAGGUUCCUUCCUUGGUGGCCAGUUCAUAUUCUUCAUCACGCGCCACAGACGAAUAUGAAUACUUGGACGACACUGCAGCAGGCCCUACAACGACUCAAGACACUGACAACGCUGGCGCUCCUCCAUCAUCAUGAUAUUCUUCAGGGCCGUUAGUCCUCAUUUUCAACCCUUUUGGUCAUUCGAUGACAAAGGGGGAGAUAUUUGAGUUAGUCUUCAAGCGGGUCUAUCUUAUAUGGGCGUUUUUUGCUAAGUUACAACUCUCGUUCUUCUGAUGACUUUGCUAGAUCGAGUUGUAAUCUUAAACUCUAUGGUGGCCUGAUACUUUUGUUGUGUUCUUCUGCAUGCUUAUUCCUCAUUAAUGUUAAUGCACGCAUGCUGAAUUAUAUCAGUCACCAUAUUUCAUCAUGCAUUUCAAAUUCUUCAUAUUAUAUGUCAAAUGCAUGUAUGAAUUACAGGAUAUAGGGGGAGAUCUCCAAUGAUUAUACUCUUCAAGUGUGCAUUGCUUCAAAAGCAAAUUCCUCACUAUGCACAUCUUCAGGGGGAGUUCUUCUAUAUCUUGCAAUCAAAUUACUUAAUAUUAGUAUUUACACUUCAUAUGUUUAUCCCCGUUGAAUACUUAACCUAUAUUGUCAUCAAUCACCAAAAAGGGGGAGAUUGUAAGUGCAUCUAGUGCCCCUUAGUGAUUUUGGUGUAUUGAAGGCUUAUAGGUUAAGGGACUGAUGCGUUUGUGAGCGUACAUAGGUCUAUAAGUCUAUGAGGAGUUUGAUAUUUACAGAGAAAGUCGACCCCUAAAAAUGAAGUUCUUCAACUGAAGACUUUGGAUUUCUGAGGACUUUCUGAAGACUUUGAAAGUGAAGAAAUUGGUGUAACCUUGAAGAGUUGGCAAUAAUUCGAGUGUAGCGACCCGACCUCAGAUGGUCAAGUCUCUGUGCUUCUGUGUCAUCCCUGGAUCGGUAAUGCUGACACACACAGUACUCGAAGGAUUUAUAACAGAGUAGCAAUCACACACUUAUUACAUCGAAUGUCUCAAAAGAGAACUAUUACAAUAAUAUGGCUUAAGGCCAUCUAAUGCGAUAACAGCGGAAGGCUUGGAAGAUAAAGUGAGUCCAUCAACUCCAACGGCAUAGCUGAGCUGCACGGCAACGACCUACGAACCUUACUCCUCGUCUGAAAAGUCUGCAACAUAAUACGUUGCAGCCCGAGAACGGGUCAGCACAUGGAAUAUGCGGGCAGUGUAACACAAAAGAGCAAUAACAGAAUAAUGCUACCACUACAUGCAUAUUAGGCUGGUGGAAAAGCUCUAUGGUUACAAUUUUGCGAAAAGCCAUUUUUUCCCUACAACAAAGGAAUAUAAUUUAAUUUAACUAUCAUGGUGGUUGAAACAUCAUUUGAGAAGGUAACCCCAACUCAAGAUCCCAAUUAAAAUAGUUAACAUCCCAAGCAAUAUUAAUUAAGAGUGUUGAGAUACAUGCGAAUACUCAAGUACUAGAUACUCAGAAUUGUCCAUAACCGGGGACACGGCUAACCAUGAUUAGAUUGUACACUCUGCAGAGGUUUGCGCUCUUCAACUUCCUCCACGUUAACGUGGUUCACUUGUCCUUUGUUGAAUGGAUUGGGCUUCUUCCCUGCGCUCCCAUUUCCAUUGCCAUUCUUUCCUUCAGAGCAGUCAUUGGCAUAAUGCCCUGUCUUCCCGCACUUGUAGCAAACAACUUGGCUUAAGUCCCUCUUUGCGGGUGUAGAUGGGUUAGAGCGAUUCUGAUUAUUGUUGGCUCCAUUCCCAUUCCCGUUCUUCGCACCAUUAUGGUUAUGCGAUCCUCCUCCAGCAUGGUUAUGACUUCCAUGGUUAUGAACAAGUCCUCCCGAGUUCGGGGUCAAGCGGGGCUUCUGGUAAGCUCCUGAGUUGUAUUUCCCUUGUCCAUAUUUCCUCUUACGGCUCUCAAUUUGCUGCUGCUUUCCUUCAAUCAUUAGGGCCUUAUCUACCAACUCCUGGUAGUUGUUGAAGGUUGCCACCAUCAACUGCAUACUCAUCUCAUCAUUCAGCCCUUCCAUAAACUUCUCCUGCUUCGCGGCAUCUAUGGCCACAUCAUCAGGGGCAUAACGUGAUAACUUGCUAAACUCAUCCACGUACUGGCCCAUAGUACGGUUCCCCUUGCGUAGAUUGCGGAACUCACGCUUCUUCAUCUGCAUAGCUCCAGUCGAGACAUGGGCCCUGCGAAAAGCCUGCUGAAACUGAGCCUAUGUGACAGUGUCGAUAGGAUAGGUGGCUGUGAAAUUCUCCCACCAAGCUGUUGCAGGUCCAUCCAGUUGGUGUGCGGCAAAACGCACCUUCUCAGCAUCUGUGCAUCCUGCGGUGGUUAACUCCCUUCCAAUACGAUGUAACCAAUCAUCUGUAACUAUUGGCUCAAUGCUACUAGAGAACACCGGCGGCUGUAACCUUAAGAAACGGGCGAGGUUAUCCACUGGCGGCGGGUUGUUGUUGUUGGCAUUGUUGUUAUUGGCAUUGCCCUGGUUCUGAACUAGCAAUUGCAUCAAGGCAUUCUGCUACUGGAUCAACUGGGUGAUCUCCGGAGGGAAAACAAAAUCGGGGUCUCUUCUCGGAGGCAUCUGAUGGGUUUAGAUGGAAGAGAUUAGAAUAGAAAAGGUCUAGGGGAGAAACACUACCCAUAUGCAUAUGAGGCAAACACAAGCAUUCAUUCAAUCAAUCAAGCAAGGGCAUACAAAACGGUCUAGAACUAUCGCAAAAGUGCUCACUACUACUAGUUACAUGGGGGAAUACUAUUAUCAUAUGGUGGUCAUCUAGAAGUUUUGAUCGGUGGAAGACUCCAUAAUGUCUGCUCCAGCUUCAUCUUCAUAGUCAUCAUCACUUGAAUCUGAAUCGGUGUCGUCGAUGAUGAUGUAGUUGUCUGGACGAAUGAGGUCUUCUCUUGGAACUGGUCCUCCCAUGAAAAUUCCGAUCUUCUCGACUAGGUCGUCAUUCUUCUCCAAUAGGAUCUUGAUUUCCUCCUCAUAUCCAUCGCGUGUGGACUUAAGUUCUUCCUCCAGCUCGAUGAACCUAGUUUUCUCCUUCUUCAACUCGAUCAUGUCUGUGCACAUCUAGUUUUCCUGAUAUCGAAUGUGCUGGUUUUGCUCCUGGAUAAAGGAUGCGACAGAUCUAUCCUUCCUGGUGCUGAUCAUCUCCCAUUGUUCAUCUCGAUGCCCACAUAUUUGAUAGGUGGUAUCCUCAAGUUCCUUGUUGUAGAUUUCUCCAAUGCGUCCCAUGGUGAUAUGAGCUGCCAUACUCUUGCCAAGGCUCCAAGUGGGGGCUUCGAAAGAAAACUCUAUGGGUUUAGAAUUUGGCGAGAACGUCCUUCCUGGAACUCGUACUUGAAUCAUCUAGCGCUCUUCUUCUGGUAGAGUGGCGUUGUACGUCCCAGUGAAGCUUGGUAUUCCAAUAUUCAAGUACCUAGUGACUUCCUUCAAGUGGCGCCCAAAAGGUGUGUCUUCAUCCGGUUGUGCAAACUUGUUCUUCUUAUCCUUCAUCCUAAAGAGUGGAAAAAGAAGAGGAGCCAAAAAUGAGAGUAGAAGUGUGACCUAUGGUUUAUCUUAGUGGUCGUGUCCUACACUCAGCGUGUGCUCUGAUACCAUCUUAUAGCGACCCGACCUCAGAUGGUCAAGUCUCUGUGCUUCCGUGUCAUCCCUGGAUCAGUAAUGCUGACACACACAGUACUCGAAGGAUUUAUAACAGAGUAGCAAUCACACACUUAUUACAUCGAAUGUCUCAAAAGAGAACUGUUACAAUAAUAUGGCUUAAGGCCAUCUAAUGCGAUAACAGCGGAAGGCUUGGAAGAUAAAGUGAGUCCAUCAACUCCAACGGCAUAGCUGAGCUGCACGGCAACGACCUAUAAACCUUACUCCUCGUUUGAAAAGUCUGCAACAUAAUACGUUGCAGCCCGAGAAUGGGUCAGCACAUGGAAUAUGCUGGCAAUGUAACACAAAAGAGCAAUAACAGAAUAAUGCUACCACCACAUGCAUAUUUGGCUGGUGCAAAAGCUCUAUGGUUACAAUUUUGCGAAAAGCCAAUUUUUCCCUACAACAAAGGAAUAUAAUUUUAAUUUAACUAUCAUGGUGGUUGAAACAUCAUUUGAGAAGGUAACCCCAACUCAAUGAUCCCAAUUAAAAUAGUUAACAUCCCAAGCAAUAUUAAUUAAGAGUGUUGAGAUACAUGCGAAUACUCAAGUACUAGAUACUCAGAAUUGUCCAUAACCGGGGACACAGCUAACCAUGAUUAGAUUGUACACUCUGCAGAGGUUUGCGCACUUUUCCCCGCAAGACUCGAUCACCUCCGUUUGUUUCCUCAUACUACAUGGUGUUUCAGAAACGGAUGACCGAGACACAGUCUUUCAAAAACAUUAACUCUCUACUCCGGGCAGACCAUACCAAACCUACAAAACCCACUACCUGCUGAUCCACCUCUUCAAGAGCUUCACGUAACUUACUCAACUAUGCUAGAGCCCAUAAUAGCUUGCGGCUGCACACGGAAAUUUCUAGCAUGAAUAGACUCAGUUCCCUUUGAGCCUGGGUGGCGGUCCAUAGGAGAAUCACACGGUAACCCCGGGAUUUGCAAAAAUAAAGCAGGCAAUCACUGGAUACCCCAGGUGCCUCAAUCCACCCAGAUGUGUAUUAAAGUUGCCACCUUAAGUAAACCAUUAAUUAACAAUCUCACAUCUGUCAUGGAAAUCACUCAAACCCAAUCCACGUCUAUGAGCAUAGCAUGGCAACAUAAGCAUAACGUAGAAGUAACUCCCAAGGGUUUGAUAAUAAACAGGGCAAUAGGUUCUACCUCAGCAACUACCUCCCAAUACCCACAUGUUAAAGGCAUCCUAAUCAUGCAAUGUUUGAGGAUUGAAACUAAUGCAUAAAAACUGGGUAUGUAAAGAGUAUGAUCAAUGUGUUACUUGCCUUGCUGACGAUCCGUGUAUCCUAGAGACUCGUAGUAACACGCUUCGCACUUCGGGAAUUCUAUCACAAGCAAACAAUAACAUACAUAAGCAACAAUCAAAGAUGCACAAGUAGAACUCCAAAUAAAAUAGUUUUACCGGAGAGUUCAACUUAAGAACUCCGGUUUGCAAAAAGAAUCAAAUCAAACGGAGCAACGAAACUCAAACGGCCAAAGAAACAAGAUCCGUUAACUAAUCUGAACUAGGGUCAAAUUUUACAGAGAUAAAAACUUGUUUGGGUUGAUUAUUCGGAAGGAGAGUCUCGAGAUGAAACUCCAGGCGCUUGAAUCGCCUAAUUCCGAUAAACGAGCGAAAAGAUAAACAUGUUUGAACAUCGGAUCAGAAAUCGCGAUCAGAAUAAUCGCGGAAUAAAUCCGAUAAAAAGAAAAACGGCAAACUGCUAAACGAACGAACGUUCAUUAACAGAAACUAAACAGUGAACGCAUUCGUUAGAACGAACGGACAAACAAACGUUCGCUAAGUAAAUAAACCAAAGAAAUAAAACCGAUCUAUAUAAAAAAUCGAUCUAGGUUUUUCAAAAAAACCGAAGGGUUUUCUAAAAAACCGGCGGCGGGGCGGGUACCUCCGACGAGGUCGUCCGGCGAGGCGGGCGGCUCCGGCGGGGCUCGGCGAGGGGCGGCGGGGCUUUGGGGAGGGCGCGGGGUGGCGGUGUGAGGCGGCGGCGGCGCUAGGGCGGCGGCGGCGACUCGGCNNNNNNNNNNNNNNNNNNNNNNNNNNNNNNNNNNNNNNNNNNNNNNNNNNNNNNNNNNNNNNNNNNNNNNNNNNNNNNNNNNNNNNNNNNNNNNNNNNNNNNNNNNNNNNNNNNNNNNNNNNNNNNNNNNNNNNNNNNNNNNNNNNNNNNNNNNNNNNNNNNNNNNNNNNNNNNNNNNNNNNNNNNNNNNNNNNNNNNNNNNNNNNNNNNNNNNNNNNNNNNNNNNNNNNNNNNNNNNNNNNNNNNNNNNNNNNNNNNNNNNNNNNNNNNNNNNNNNNNNNNNNNNNNNNNNGCUCCGGGCUCCGGGAGGCGGCGGCGGCUCGGGUGGUGGCGGGGGUGGUGGCGAGGUGGCGGGGCGGCGGUAUUUAAGGAGGGGGGCUGCUCCGGCUUGGGGAAGGGGGCGCCCGGGGUGGAGUCCGGCUCGGACUCCCCUCGGCGUCCGUGCGGCGCACGACGGCGCGCGCGGGGAGGCGGCGGCGGUGGUGGCUGGGCCGGCCUGCUCGGCUGGGCCUUUGGCCCAGUCGGGCGCGAGGGUUUUUUUAAAACAUUCCGCCGAAAGAAAAAUUCCUAGAAAAAUAAAUAAAAAUCUAAAAAUUCCAAAACAAGUUUUCUCCGUCUAAAUAAAAUAUUUAGAACAGGAUGAACUUUUCUUGGCCCCUAAAAUGCAAUUUUUAAAACGUGCAAAUUUUUCUAGGGCAAAUAAAAUCCAAAAAUGAUUUUAACAUUUUUCCUCCGAUAUUUCAGUUGUUUUGGAGAAGUCAUAUUAUCUCCCCUCAUUUAUUAUUUUAAAAUGAAAUAUUUUCCAGAGAGAAAAUAAUUAAAAUCAAAAUCCUCGUCUUCUCUAUUUGAUAAAAAUUUUAAAUAUGAAAAUUGGAAAAUCCCCAACUCUCUCCGAGGGUCCUUGAGUUGCUUAGGAUUUCAAGGAUUGCAACCGGAAAAACCAUAAAAUAUGAUAUGCAUGAAUGACCUAUGUAUAACAUGCCAAAUUGGAAAUUUGGGAUGUUACAAACCUACCCCCCUUAAGAUGAAUCUCGCCCUCGAGAUUCGGGUUGGCUAGAAGAUAGGUGCGGAUGGUCCUUGCGAAUAUCCUCUUCUCGCUCCCAGGUGGCUUCCUCCUCAGUAUGAUGACUCCACUGAACUUUGCAGAACUUGAUCACCUUGUUGCGAGUGACUCGACUAUCAAACUCAAGAAUCUUUACUGGCUUCUCCUCAUAGGUCAGGUUAUUAUCCAGCUGAAUCGCUUCCAAAGGUACUGUAUCCUGCAAAGGUAUAUCGGCUAUCUCAGCGUGGCACUUCUUCAGCUGAGAUACGUGAAACACAUCGUGAACUCCUGACAAUCCUUUAGGUAACUCCAGCUUGUAAGCAACUUCUCCCAUCCGUACCAAAAUACAAUAUGGUCCUACAAACCUCGGGGCUAACUUUCCCUUAACUCCAAAACGUUUUACUCCCCUCAAGGGUGAUACUCGUAGAUAAGCUCUGUCUCCAAUCCCAUAGGUUACUUCCUUGCGUUUUGAAUCUGCAUAACUCUUCUGUCUGGAAUGAGCAAUCUUUAGUCUAUCUCUGACCAGUUUAACUUUCUCCUCUGAUUCCUUGAUCAAAUCUGGUCCAAACAACUGACGAUCUCCUACCUCAUCCCACAUUAAGGGCAUUCUACAUCUGCAUCCAUACAGAGCUUCGAACGGUGCCAUCUUCAAACUGGCCUGAUAGCUGCUGUUAUAAGAGAACUCUGCGUACGGUAAAUUGUCAUCCCAACUAGAUCCAUAAUCUAGCGUACAGGCUCUUAACAUGUCUUCCAGAAUCUGGUUGACUCUUUCUGUCUAUCCAUCGGUCUGAGGGUGAAAAGCGGUGCUGAAUUCCAAACGGGUACCCAAAGUCUGGUGUAGCUGAUGCCAAAACUUUGAAGUAAACUGGGUUCCUCUAUCUGAUAUGAUGCUCCUCGGAACUCCAUGUAAACAUAUGAUCCUGGUCAUAUAUAUCUUGGCCAACUUUGCACUUGUAUACGUUCUUUUCACCGGAAUGAAGUGAGCUACUUUAGUCAAUCGAUCCACAACUACCCACAUAGAAUCAUAUCCUGCAUUGGUUUUGGGUAAUCCGGUAAUAAAGUCCAUACCAAGUUUGUCCCACUUCCAUUCCGGUAUUGGCAUAGGCUGUAACAGUCCUGCUGGCUUCUGAUGCUCUACCUUCACUCUCUGACAUACACCACAUACGGCUACAUACUCGGCAAUAUCCUUCUUCAUUCCAGUCCACCAGAAACGUUCCUUCAAGUCCAGAUACAUCUUGGUGUUUCCGGGGUGAAUCGAGUAUGGUGAGUCAUGGGCCUCUUGAAGUAUCAAAUUCCUGAUCUCCGAAUUGUUGGGCACAUAAAUCCGAUCCUCAAACCACAAGGUAUCGUGCUCAUCCUCGCGAAAACCUUUGGCUUUACCUUCGCCCAUCCUCUCUCUUAUCUCAGCAAUCUCAUUGUCCUCCUUCUGAGCUUCUCGAAUCUUGUCCAACAAUGUCGACUGAACCUCCAUUGCUGCAAGAAAGCCUUUCGGUACAAUCUCCAACCAAAGUUCCAUGAUUUCUGCAGCUAACUCCUUUGGCAUUCCCUUGCUCACAAGAACAUUAGCAUAACUCUUCUGGCUCAAUGCGUUUGCUACGACAUUGGCUUUUCCCGUAUGAUAAUGUAGCUUCAUAUCGUAAUCCUUUAUAAGUUCCAACCAUCUCCUCAGCCUGAGGUUCAACUCCUUCUGUGUGAAAAUGUACUUCAAGCUCUUAUGAUCCGUGUACACAUCACACCAGUUUCCAAUAAGAUAAUGUCUCCAGGUCUUUAGCGCAUGCACUACGGCUGCUAACUCCAAAUCAUGCGUGGCAUAGUUCAACUCAUGUGGCUUCAGUUGUCGUGAGGCAUACGAAACAACUUUUCCUUCCUGCAUAAGCACACAUCCAAGUCCCAUGCGAGAGGCGUCACAAUACACUUGAAACUCCUUAUGUAUAUCUGGCAAGGUUAGUACUGGGUCCGUAGUCAAUCGCUUCUUCAGCUCUUGAAAACUUGUCUCGCACUCCUCCGUCCAUUUGAACUUAGUAUCCUUCUUUAACAAUUCAGUCAUUGGUUUAGCAAUCUUGGAAAAAUUCUCAAUGAAUCUCCGAUAAUAUCCUGCCAGUCCAAGGAAACUGCGGAUCUCGCCAACUGAAGUGGGUGCCAACCAUUCAGUGACUGACUGAACCUUACUAGGAUCCACUGCUAUACCCUUUCCGGAUAUAACAUGCCCAAGAAAUCCAACUUCUUGCAACCAAAACUCGCACUUGCUGAAUUUGGCGUAUAACUGGUGUUCCCUGAGUUUCUCGAGAACCAAACGCAAGUGUUCUGCGUGCUCCUCUUCGUUCUUCGAGUAUAUCAUAAUAUCAUCAAUGAAUACCACAAUGAACUUGUCCAAAUACUCCAUGAACACCUUGUUCAUCAUACUCAUGAAAUAAGCAGGGGCGUUAGUCAGUCCAAAUGACAUGACCGUAUACUCAUAUAAUCCAUACCGCGUGGUAAAUGUUGUCUUGGGUAUAUCCUUCUCUCGGAUCUUCAACUGAUGGUAUCCCGAUCGUAGAUCAAUCUUUGAAAACACCCUAGCUCCUUGUAACUGAUCAAACAGAUCAUUAAUCAUCGGUAAGGGAUACUUGUUCUUUAUCGUUACUUCAUUAAGAGCUCGGUAAUCAACAACCAUCCUCAGGGAUUUAUCCUUCUUCUCCACCAAAAGUACUGGGGCUCCCCAAGGUGAUGAGCUUCUACGAAUGUAGCCUUUCUCCAACAACUCUUUGAUCUGCUUCUUAAUUUCCUCCAAAUCAUUUGCGGGCAUCCGAUAGGGUCUCUUGGAUAUCGGUCAUGUACCUGGCAAUAGCUCUAUCAAGAACUCGAUAUCUCUAUCCGGUGGCAUGCCUGGUAAUUCUUCGGGAAAAACAUCCGGAAAAUCCUUUACUACAGGCACUUCCUCCUGUACAACUCCCGUGAGGGUGUUUACUUGUCUCCCCUUAGGCGCAUGCCUAGAUAUGUACUUAAUCCUUUUUCCCUCUGGGGUGGUGAGAUAAAUUGACUUACUAGCACAGUCAAUACUUCCUCCAUACUUCGACAUCCAGUCCAUACCUAAUAUCACAUCCAAUCCUUGUGACUCCAAGAUAAUUAGGUCAGACGGAAAUACAUGGGUGCCAAUGAUUAGGGGUAUCUGGGUGCACCAUCUGCUAGCCAUGUACUCUGCUCCCGGUGAGCUUACUAAAAGGGGUGUCCUAAGGGUUUGGGUUGGUAACUUAAACUUUUCCACAAAUCCCCUUGAUAUGUAUGAAUGCGAUGCACCAGUAUCGAAAAGAACAAUUGUGGUAAAUGACUGAACCAAAACUUUACCUAUUACCGCGUCUGGCUGCUCUUCAACUUCCUCCACGUUAACGUGGUUCACUUGUCCUUUGUUGAAUGGAUUGGGCUUCUUCCCUGUGCUCCCAUUUCCAUUGCCAUUCUUUCCUUCAGAGCAGUCAUUGGCAUAAUGCCCUGUCUUCCCACACUUGUAGCAAACAACUUGGCUUAAGUCCCUCUUUGCGGGUGUAGAUGGGUUAGAGCGAUUCUGAUUAUUGUUGGCUCCAUUCCCAUUCCCGUUCUUCGCGCCAUUAUGGUUAUGCAAUCCUCCUCUAGCAUGGUUAUGACUUCCAUGGUUAUGAACAAGUCCUCCCGAGUUCGGGGUCAAGCGGGGCUUCUGGUAAGCUCCUGAGUUGUAUUUCCCUUGUCCAUAUUUCCUCUUACGGCUCUCAAUUUACUGCUGCUUCCUUCAAUCAUUAGGGCCUAAUCUACCAACUCCUGGUAGUUAUUGAAGGUUGCCACCAUCAACUGCAUACUCAUCUCAUCAUUCAGCCCUUCCAUAAACUUCUCCUGCUUCGCGGCAUCUGUGGCCACAUCAUCAGGGGCAUAACGUGAUAACUUGCUAAACUCAUCCACGUACUGGCCCACAGUAUGGUUCCCCUGGCGUAGAUUGCGGAACUCACGCUUCUUCAUCUGCAUAGCUCCAGUCGAGACUUGGGCCGUGCGAAAAGCCUGCUGAAACUGAUCCCAUGUGACAGUGUCGAUAGGAUAGGUGGCUGUGAAAUUCUCCCACCAAGCUGCUGCAGGUCCAUCCAGUUGGUGUGCGGCAAAACGCACCUUCUCAGCAUCUAUGCAUCCUGCGGUGGUUAACUCCCUUCCAAUACGACGUAACCAAUCAUCUGCAACUAUUGGCUCGAUGCUACUGGAGAACACCGGCGGCUGUAACCUUAAGAAACGGGCGAGGUUAUCCACUGGCGGCGGGUUGUUGUUGUUGGCAUUGUUGUUAUUGGCAUUGCCCUGGUUCUGAACUAGCAAUUGCAUCAAGGCAUUCUGCUGCUAGAUCAACUGGGUGAUCUCCGGAGGGAAAAAAUCGGGGUCUCUUCUCGGAGGCAUCUGAUGGGUUUAGAUGGAAGAGAUUAGAAUAGAAAAGGUCUAGGGAGAAACACUACCCAUAUGCAUAUGAGGCAAACACAAGCAUUCAUUCAAUCAAUCAAGCAAGGGCAUACAAAACGGUCUAGAACUAUCGCAAAAGUGCUCACUACUACUAGUUACAUGGGGCAAUACUAUUAUCAUAUGGUGGUCAUCUAGAAGUUUUGAUCGAUGGAAGACUCCAUAAUGUCUGCUCCAGCUUCAUCUUCAUAGUCAUCAUCACUUGAAUCUGAAUCGGUGUCGUCGAUGAUGAUGUAGUUGUCUGGACGAAUGAGGUCUUCUCUUGGAACUGGUCCUCCCAUGAAAAUUCCAAUCUUCUCGACUAGGUCGUCAUUCUUCUCCAAUAGGAUCUUGAUUUCCUCCUCAUAUCCAUCGCGUGUGGACUUAAGUUCUUCCUCUAGCUCGAUGAUCCUAGUUUUCGCGUUCUUCAACUCAAUCAUGUAUGCGCACAUCUGGUUUUCCUGACGUCGAAUGUGCUGGUUUUGCUCCUGGAUAAAGGCUGCGACAGAUCUAUCCUUCCUGGUGCUGAUCAUCUCCCAUUGUUCAUCUCGGCGCCCACAUAUUUGAUAGGUGGUAUCCUCAAGUUCCUUGUUGUAGAUUUCUCCAAUGCGUCCCAUGGUGAUAUGAGCUGCUAUACUCUUGCCAAGGCUCCAAGUGGGGGCUUCGAAAGAAAACUCUAUGGGUUUAGAAUUUGGCGAGAACGUCCUUCCUGGAACUUGUACUUGAAUCAUCCAGCGCUCUUCUUCUGGUAGAGUGGCGUUGUACGUCCCGGUGAAGCUUGGUAUUCCAAUAUUCAAGUACCUAGUGACUUCCUUCAAGUGGCGCCCAAAAGGUGUGACUUCAUCCGGUUGUGCAAACUUGUUCUUCUUAUCCUUCAUCCUAAAGAGUGGAAAAAGAAGAGGAGUCAGAAAUGAGAGGAGAAGUGUGACCUAUGGUUUAUCUUAGUGGUCGUGUCCUACACUCAGCGUGUGCUCUGAUACCAUCUUGUAGCGACCCGACCUCAGAUGGUCAAGUCUCUAUGCUUCCGUGUCAUCCCUGGAUCGGUAAUGCUGACACACACAGUACUCGAAGGAUUUAUAACAGAGUAGCAAUAACACACUUAUUACAUCGAAUGUCUCAAAAGAGAACUAUUACAAUAAUAUGGCUUAAGGCCAUCUAAUGCGAUAACAGCGGAAGGCUUGGAAGAUAAAGUGAGUCCAUCAACUCCAACGGCAUAGCUGAGCUGCACGGCAACGACCUACGAACCUUACUCCUCGUCUGAAAAGUCUGCAACAUAAUAUGUUGCAGCCCGAGAACGGGUCAGCACAUGGAAUAUGCUGGCAAUGUAACACAAAAGAGCAAUAACAGAAUAAUGCUACCACCACAUGCAUAUUUGGCUGGUGGAAAAGCUCUAUGGUUACAAUUUUGCGAAAAGCCAAUUUUUCCCUACAACAAAGGAAUAUAAUUUUAAUUUAACUAUCAUGGUGGUUGAAACAUCAUUCGAGAAGGUAACCCCAACUCAAUGAUCCCAAUUAAAAUAGUUAACAUCCCAAGCAAUAUUAAUUAAGAGUGUUGAGAUACAUGCGAAUACUCAAGUACUAGAUACUCAGAAUUGUCCAUAACCGGGGACACGGCUAACCAUGAUUAGAUUGUACACUCUGCAGAGGUUUGCGCACUUUUCCCCGCAAGACUCGAUCGCUUCCGUUUGUUUCCUCGUACUACAUGGUGUUUGAGAAACGGAUGACCGAGACACAGUCUUUCAAAAACAUUAACUCUCUACUCCGGGCAGACCAUACCAAACCUACAAAACCCACUACCUGCUGAUCCACCUCUUCAAGAGCUUCACGUAACUUACUCAACUAUGCUAGAGCCCAUAAUAGCUUGCGGCUGCACACGGAAAUUUCUAGCAUGAAUAGACUCAGUUCCCUUUGAGCCUGGGUGGCGGUCCAUAGGAGAAUCACACGGUAACCCCGGGAUUUGCAAAAAUAAAACAAGCAAUCACUGGAUACCCCAGGUGCCUCAAUCCACCCAGAUGUGUAUUAAAGUUGCCACCUUAAGUAAACCAUUAAUUAAAAAUCUCACAUCUGUCAUGGAAAUCACUCAAACCCAAUCCACGUCUACGAGCAUAGCAUGGCAAUAUAAGCAUAACGUAGAAGUAACUCCCAAGGGUUUGAUAAUAAACAGGGCAAUAGGUUCUACCUCAGCAACUACCUCCCAAUACCCACAUGUUAAAGGCAUCCUAAUCAUGCAAUGUUUGAGGAUUGAAACUAAUGCAUAAAAACUGGGUAUGUAAAGAGUAUGAUCAAUGUGUUACUUGCCUUGCUGACGAUCCGUGUAUCCUAGAGACUCGUAGUAACACGCUUCGCACUCUGGGAAGUCUAUCACAAGAAAACAAUAACAUACAUAAGCAACAAUCAAAGAUGCAUAAGUAGAACUCCAAAUAAAAUAGUUUGACCGGAGAGUUCAACUUAAGAACUCCGGUUUGCAAAAAGAAUCAAAUCAAACGGAGCAACGAAACUCAAACGGCAAAAGAAACAAGAUCCGUUAACUAAUCUGAACUAGGGUGAAAUUUUACAGAGAUAAAAACUUGUUUGGGUUGAUUAUUCGGAAGGAGAGUCUCGAGAUGAAACUCCAGGCGCUUGAAUCGCCUAAUUCCGAUAAACGAGCGAAAAGAUAAACAUGUUUGAACAUCGGAUCAGAAAUCGCGAUCAGAAUAAUCGCGGAAUAAAUCCGAUAAAAAGAAAAACGGCGAACUGCUAAACAAACGAACGUUCGUUAACAGAAACUAAACAGUGAACGCGUUCGUUAGAACGAACGGACGAACAAACGUUCGCUAAGUAAAUAAACCGAAGAAAUAAAACCGAUCUAUAUAAAAAAAAUCGAUCUAGGGUUUUCAAAAAAACCCGAAGGGUUUUCUAAAAAAACGGCGGCGGGGCGGGUACCUCCGACGAGGUCGUCCGGCGAGGCGGGCGGCUCCGACGGGGCUCGGCGAGGGGCGGCGGGGCUUUGGGGAGGGCGCGGGGUGGCGGUGUUAGGCGGCAGCGGUGCUAGGGCGGCGGCGNNNNNNNNNNNNNNNNNNNNNNNNNNNNNNNNNNNNNNNNNNNNNNNNNNNNNNNNNNNNNNNNNNNNNNNNNNNNNNNNNNNNNNNNNNNNNNNNNNNNNNNNNNNNNNNNNNNNNNNNNNNNNNNNNNNNNNNNNNNNNNNNNNNNNNNNNNNNNNNNNNNNNNNNNNNNNNNNNNNNNNNNNNNNNNNNNNNNNNNNNNNNNNNNNNNNNNNNNNNNNNNNNNNNNNNNNNNNNNNNNNNNNNNNNNNNNNNNNNNNNNNNNNNNNNNNNNNNNNNNNNNNNNNNNNNNNNNNNNNNNNNNNNNNNNNNNNNNNNNNNNNNNNNNNNNNNNNNNNNNNNNNNNNNNNNNNNNNNNNNNNNNNNNNNNNNNNNNNNNNNNNNNNNNNNNNNNNNNNNNNNNNNNNNNNNNNNNNNNNNNNNNNNNNNACUCGGCGGCGGCGACUCGGGGCUCGGCUCCGGGCUCCGGGAGGCGGCGGUGGCUCGGGUGGUGGCGGGGGUGGUGGCGAGGUGGUGGGGCGACGGUAUUUAAGGAGGGGGGCUGCUCCGGCUUGGGGAAGGGGGCGCCCGGGGUGGAGUCCGGCUUGGACUCCCCUCGGCGUCCGUGCGGCGCACGGCGGCGCGCGCGGGGAGGCGGCGGCGGUGGCGGCUGGGCCGACCUGCUCGGCUGGGCCUUUGGCCCAGUCGGGCGCGAGGGUUUUUUUUAAAACAUUCCGCCGAAAGAAAAAUUCCUAGAAAAAUAAAUAAAAAUCUAAAAAUUCCAAAACAAGUUUUCUCCGUCUAAAUAAAAUAUUUAGAACAGGAUGAACUUUUCUUGGCCCCUAAAAUGCAAUUUUUAAAACGUGCAAAUUUUUCUUGGGCAAAUAAAAUCAUGAAUAAACUCAAAUAAAAUCCAAAAAUGAUUUUAACAUUUUUCCUCCGAUAUUUCAGUUGUUUUGGAGAAGUCAUAUUAUCUCCCCUCAUUUAUUAUUUUAAAAUGAAAUAUUUUCCAGAGAGAAAAUAAUUAAAAUCAAAAUCCUCGUCUUCUCUAUUUGAUAAAAUUUUCAAAUAUGAAAAUUGGAAAAUCCCCAACUCUCUCCGAGGGUUCUUGAGUUGCUUAGGAUUUCGAGGAUUGCAACCGGAAAAACCAUAAAAUAUGAUAUGCAUGAAUGACCUAUGUAUAACAUGCCAAAUUGGAAAUUUGGGAUGUUACAUCGAGGAACAUGAAGCGUGAAGACUUUUGUUUUUAUAGUUUCAUUUUCUCUUUCUUGAGUCAUAGGAAACACCGUACUGUUAAAGGGGGUCAAGAAAAUACUAAGGAAAAAUUUCCAAGUGAUGCUCAACUCAAAUCCUACACCUACCAAUCCCUUCGAGUGAAGCCAUUGGAAAUCUCAUACAGUUCAAUCCUAUUCUUCAGUGAUAGAGACGAAGUUCUUCUGGUCUCUGAGGAACUUGUUCUGAUUGAGGAGUUAGGAAUUCGCGAGUGCGGAUUGCCUACACAGUGAGGAACAUGAUAGCCCUGAGGAUUUUGAGAGUCAAAAUUCCGACCGUUGUUGUGCUAUGCGCCAGCUGUCCCAAAAUAUCUACCCACAUAACGGUCAUAUCUGACAAGGGCAUUUAUGUCUUAUCAUGUCGGGCUGCUCCCUAGGCUAUAAAUAGCCGCCCCCUACAACCACUAGCUGGUUGGUUGCUCCGAGAGAAACUGACACUUGUCAAUUGAGAGCAUCCCAUCCUCCGAGGACUUUGAGCGAAAAUCAUCAAGUGAGGAAAACCCAAACCCAACACCUACAAACCCAAAGUGAUUGAGCAUCACUGAAGAGAUUGAUCCUGCGUGGAUCCGACGGUUGUUUCCUUUGAAGACUGUGCUUUUUCCAGACGGUUAGGCGUCAAGGUCUAGAGCAUCCAAGAGGAAUUGUGGAUCGCCGAGUGACCAAGUUUGUGAAGGUCCGGAAGUCACCUGAAGACUUACCACGAGUGAUUGGGCGAGGUCUGUGUGACCUUAGCUCAAGGAGAAUACGGUGAGGAUUGUGUGUCCUCGAGUUUAAAUACUCAGCCGCUCCAACCAGAUGUACAACUAAGACAGCAGUUGGAACUGGUCUACCAAGUCAUUGUCUUCACCAAGCUUACCGGUUCUAUUUCCUCAACUCCUUCAUUUCAUCAUGUCUAUUGUUGUGUGCUUGUUCAUAUCUGUUUGAAGACUUUGACUGAAGACUUCCUCAAUUUCCUCAGUUCAAUUUCUUCAAUCUGUUCGUCUUCUUUCUUGUGUUAUCCUGUGUUUACGCUUUCUGUACUCUGUGCUUGUCUUCAUUUCAUUAUGAUGACUAUGCUUGUGUUCUGUUAUGUCUACAUUUGAGUACUUAUUCCGCUGCUAGUAGUUCUUCAUUUAGGAAUUUCCUCACCAGCAAAUUCCUCAGUGAAUAAUUCAUAAAAACUGCCUAUUCACCCCCCCCCUCUAGUCGAUAUAACGCACUUUGAAGGGCCUAAAAGUAAUGGUUCGAAGGCUCCAGUGAUGCCCUGCUGCACGUCUGCGCCAUUUCUCCUUAGUAACAAAUCCUUUGAUAGGAGUAUUUGAUGGUUGGACGUAAAGGUGGGAAACGCUAGCCUUGAAAGGAUCAAUGAUGCAACCAUAGAACAAAUAGGGAUUUUUAAUGAACCUGCAGCGAAAAAUAUGUAUGCGGUACGAAUAGGGUCAAGCUGUACUAUGGACUUUUUCCCUAGUAUGCCUCCGGCACUGCCCAAGUUAUUUUGAGUGCGUAGUUAUGUACGCGUGGUACAUAAGCCGCAACUUUAUGGGACAGUCGGCGGAGGCCGAACUGCUAAUCAAGGUCCGCAUCCGUCGAGUUAUUGCAGUGACGCGCGAACCGGACUCAUUUAGAGAUGUUGUUGGCUUUAAUGUCUGAAGAAUUAUUUGGCUUGAUAAGGCCGCCAUACACCUCGGCUGCAAGGGCCACAGUGUGCUCUUUAGUAUGGAGGGAGCGCUCCAUAUUUCCAUUGACUAUGGUAAUGCCAUGUGGUCCGGGCAUCUUAAGCUUCAAAUAAGCAUAAUGCGAAACUGCAUUAAAGCGGGAGAAAGCAGUUCGUCCGAGCAGUGCGUGAUAACCACAGCGGAAGGGGACGAUGUCGAAGAUUAAUUCUUCACUACAAAAGUUGUCUGGGGAGCCGAAUACUACCUCCAGUGUCAGUGAGACCGUACAACGAGCCUCCACCCCGGGUAUCACACCUUUAAAGGUAGUGUUACUGGGCUUGAUUCUUGAUGGGUCAAUGCCCAUUUUGCGGAUAGUGUCUUGAUAAAUCAAGUUGAGACUGCUGCCGCCGUCCAUAAGGACUCGUGUGAGGUGGUAUCCGUCAAUGAUUGGAUCAAGUACCAGGGCGGCCGAACCGCCAUGACCGAUACUGGUUGGGUGAUCCCUGCGAUCAAAAGUGAUCAGACAGGCUGACCAUGGGUUGAAUUUUGGGGUGACAGGCUCUACGGCGUAGACAUCCCUUAGUGCACACUUGCGCUCCCUUUUGGGAAUGUGAGUGACAUAGAUCAUGUUCACUGUUUUCACCUCGGGGGGAAACUACUUUUGGCCCCCGGUGUUCGGCUGAUGGGGCACAUCAUCGUCCUCACUUGGAGGUCCUUUUCCCUUGUGUUCGGUAUUUAUCAUACCGGCCUGUUUAAAAACCCAACAGUUCCUAUUGGUAUGGUUAGCAGGCUUAUCGGGUGUGCCAUGAAUCUAACAGGGCCUCUCAAGGAUUUUGUCCAAACUGGAUGGACCGUCCCUGUUGGCUUUGAAAGAUUUCUUCCGCUGACCGGAUUUAGAACCACUGAAUCCGGCAUUGACGGUCCUAUCAUCUGCGUUGUCAUUGUUGCUCUGGUGAUUGUUUUUAUUGCGGCGUGGUUUACCAUUGCCAUCCCUGGCCUCAAAAGUGCCGAGGUCGCCCGAGCUGUUGCUUCUACGAGCCAACCAGCUAUCUUCACCCGCACAGAAACGGGUCAUAAGUGCAGUUAAGGCUGUCAUGGUCUUCGGCUUCUCCUGCCCGAGGUGUCGGGCGAGCCAUUUGUCCCGGACGUUGUGUUUGAAUGCUGCUAAGGCUUCGGCGUCCGAACAAUCCAUGAUUUGAUUCUUCUUAAUUAGGAACCGAUUCCAAAGCUUGCGAGCCGAUUCACCUGGUUGUUGGAUUAUGUGACUCAAGUCAUCUGCAUCCGGUGGCCAGACAUAAGUGCCCUGAAAGUUGGCCCGAAAAGCAUCUUCCAAAUCUUGCCAGGUUCCAAUGGAGUUCUCUGGGAGGCUGUUUAGCCAGUGUCAUGGUGGUCCUUUCAGCUUUAGAGGAAGAUAUUUAAUGGCAUGGAGGUUAUCUCCAUGAGCCAUGUGAAUAUGGAGAAGAAAAUCUUCAAUCCAGACGGCCGGAUCCGUCGUUCCAUCGUACUGCAUGAUUUUCACAGGUUUAAACCCUUCCGGAAACUGUGUUGCAUUACCUCAUCGAUGAAACACAUAGGGUGUGAGGCACCCCUGUAUCAUGCGACAUCACGGCGGAGAUUGGAUGACAUCUAAGUUUGAUGCUGAUCCUGAAUAUUGUAAUGUUCAUCACACCGGACUUCAUAGCCGUUAUCUCAUGCCGGGCAAUGGCUUCUUGAUCCAUAGAUCGGUCUGGUCUGACCGGCUUUAUUGGCCAGGUCCCGUUGCAAGUCAUAUAUGUAGCCCGCAACUCCUGUCUCCUUGCCUCUCUGGUGAGGGGGUGCGGGCUGGUGUUCGGCUUGAUAAGCCGCUUUAUCCCGUCCACGUGGUGGUCGGUCUGGUUGAUCUUCCUGAUUGUAUUUCGAUGGUAUUGGCUCAAGAGCUUUGUCGUCGAAUUGUGGCAGCAGCCUGCGCUUGGGGUAACUUUUGGUAGGUCGCUCAUGGCCAUACUCCUUGGCGGCUAGGACCUUGGUCCACCUUUCAUUGAGCGUAUCGUGUUCAGCUUUGAGCUACUGCUGUUUAUUUUUCAGGCUCCGUGUUGUGGCAAUGAGCUGUCGCUUGAAGCGUUCUUGCUCGAGGGGUUCCUCUAGGACGAUAAAAUCUUCGCCACCGAGGCUAACAUCCUCUUCGGAGACUGGCAUAUAAUUGUUGUCUUCGGAAUCUCAUGAUCAGCAUAUUUGGGGACAUACUGACCCUCCUCCCUCUCAUCUUCUUCGGAUGUGGGCUCGACAGGGUGUUCGGGAUCUUCGGCACUAUCCAGGAUUUCAUUAUCUCCGGUGCCAAUAUUACUAUCCUUCACCCGACGUGAUCGUGAGCGGCGCCACUGACGUCGGCACUUUGGUGGUUUAUCGACGGGCUUGUCCUCAUCGGGAUUCAGAUUAUCCUUGUUGUCCUUUUUAUCAGGAGUGUCCACCACGUAUACUUCAUAGGUUGAAGUGGUCGUCCAGCGCCCUAUGAUGGGUGGGACUCGGCCUGAUUCGGCGUCGGCAUCAUCAUCCAUACUUUGAUGUCUUCGGACGCGUAGUCAAGCAUGUCGGUUAAAUCCUCGACAGUGGCUAUUAAGUGGGUGGUGGGCGGGUCGUAAAAUUCCCCACUCUCAGCCCAAGCCCAUGCUGGGUGCAGUUUGGAGGCAAGGCUUCCGUAACGGUGAGAGAUCGCAUUAAGCCCAGUGCUUUGUCUAAGGGUGAAGGCCGGGCAUGAGUCUGCGGAUCUACAGGGCUGAGUUUGGCGACAGACACCUGAUCGAGCCCGAUCGACGCAGACUUCGACAGUUCGGAGUUGUCGUCCAGAGGCGAGUCCAAAAUCACAUCUGGGUCUCCGAUCGAAAGUUCCAUGAUGGAAAAGGGUCUGGCGGGGUUGAUCCUCCCGUCUUCGGAUGAUACGGCCUGCUCCGGAUCUAAGGCCAAGGCGGGCGUGAGUGUUGACCCCUAAACGGGAUCUAAGAGCGAAUCUGAAGAGCUUCCUUCACGGGGGAAAGGAGCGGCAACCGAGGCCGCGAACCCCUCGUAGAACAGAUCUCCUCGGAUAUCGGUGAUGUAAUUCAGGUUUCCGAACCAGAUCUGGUGUCCGGGGCAUAACUGUCGACCUGCUCAAGGUGGCUAGUCGAGUUGGCACGAAGCACGAAGCCUCCAAACACAAAGACUUGUCUAGGAAGAAAGGUUUUCCUAGACGCAGCGUCAUCGUUGAUGAAGAGGCGAGCCAUCAAUCCUUCUGUCGGCGAUACAGCGGAGCUCUCAAUGAAAGCACCAAUGUCGGUGUCAAAAUGGGCAAAUCUCGUGUAGGGGGGCCCAAGCUGUAUGUUUGAGGAUCGAUGGUAACAAUGAUCAAAGGGACACAGUGUUUACCCAGGUUCGGGCCCUCUUAAUGGAGGUAAAACCCUACUCCUGCUUGGUUAUAUUCGAUGGUAUAGGGGUUACAAGAGUUGAUCUACCUCGAGAUCGUAAUGGCUAAACCCUAGCUUGGCUAGCCUAUCAAUGUUAUGAUCCUGCCUUUGGUCUAAACCCUCCGAUUUAUAUAGAGACCAGAGGGGCUUAGGGUUGUACAAAGUCGGUUUAACAGAAAGGAAAUAGUAUAUCCGGACACCUAAGCUUGCCAUCCAUGUAUACAGGAGUCCCCACCGGACACGAGAGGUGGUCUUCUUCCUUGUAUCUUGACGGAACAUUAGUCCGGCCCAUGUCCAAUAGACCGGACACCUGAGGACCCCUUAGUCCAGGACUCCCUCAGGUAGUACGAGGGUUGACUGGUUCGGCUGCGGUGUGAGGCUGCCGUCGCCGUGGAAUAACAGGGGGUGUGGGUGAGUGGAGGGAUGGCCUGGCCAGCAGUGGGAGUAGUAGGAGUGGUGAGGCCUCCACGACAGCACAGCCGGCCAUGGGAGGCAAGAGCACGCGGUGGUUUGGACGGCUGGAGCAAGAAAAUCAGAGGUUGAAGAAGUGGGAGGACCGUUGGAUGUUAACAAUCCAAUGGUCACUGGUGAUAGAAUCGUUUGUUGACUAAGUUGACAAAGCCCUCCGUACACGUCAACUUAGUAGGGCCAUAAGUCAGCCUCCGAAUCUGGUGGGCCCCAGCUGUCAUGGGGAGCACUCAUUAUUUUCUCUUAAUAAGGAGGCACUUCCUUCCAUGCAAAGAUAUAGCUAGUGGGACCCAGCUGUCAUUGGGAGGUACUUGCUUGCAUGUGGCCAUGGACCAUGUGGGUCCUAAUUGUUAGCCUCUCCAUGUACAUCCCUCUUCCGAUGUUGUCAUUUGUUGACAAUUUUGACCACGCCAUGCCGAGAACACCAGCGAGAUGGACGACGGCGAGACCCAGGAAGGCAAUGACCCAGAGGUGGUGAAGCCACAACAGUGGAGGGAUGUGGGUGAGUAGAGGGAUGGCCUGGCCGGCGGUGGGAGUAGUAGGGGGCGGUGAGGCCUGCGCUGCAGCACAGCCAGCCACGGGAGGCGGGAGCAGGCGGUCCCGUCGGCGCUGGAUUUGGCGGCUGGAGCAAGAAGAUCAGAGAUUGGAGAAGCACGACGACCGUUGCAUUGACAUCUAACGGUCAUGUCUGUUGACAUAUAGAAUAAGUAAAAAAAUCUUGCAUACAUGUCAACUUAAUAGGUCCACAAGUCAGACAAUUUUCUAUAUUUUUUAAUAAUUUACAGCUCAUUGUAACUUCUUAUACAAUUUAUUGCAGUCCUUUUUUUGUUGGCCAGAGCCAGGGUUAAAAAUUUAAACAAAAUUUCGCAUAUUCCGGUGGGGUCCAAACUAUUUUUAAUACCGAAAUUUCGAGCCAGAUUUAAAGUACUUUAAAGAUAUAUUUAAAUUAGGUUAAAACCCAGUGAAAUUGGAACUGAAAAUGUGAAAAAAAAAUCCGGAAAUUAUUAAGUAAUUGCCAAUUUGUCGUCUGUUUUUUAUAUUUACAGCCCAUGUCAUAUUACUUUCAAGAUUUGCAGCCGCCUUGAAAGAGUUGCAGCCCAUCAGGGCGUAGAAAAAUAAGUAGGCCUGGAUUGAGUAUUCUUUAGAAAAAAUAAAUUGGGCUCAUCUAUUUAUAUAUAAAAAGUGCUUUACGGGGUAACCAGAAAAAAGAGAAUUACCUAGAAAAUCCCAUAAUAAUUAGAAACAUCUGGCCGUCAAUUGAAACCGAUUAGACGAGCACAACCAAUGGAUUGAAAAAAUGAAAAUUACCCACCAAUGCCCUUGAUAAGUUAUCUCGCCCACGUAAAAAAAACAAAGUAAUUAAGUUAGAAAAUCUCACAAAAAUUAGAAACAUCUGCCCUUAAUUUAUUAGGAGAGAUAACCACAAUCGUUAGAUCUUAGAAACAACUUAGUAACACCUAGAAAUUACCCACUAUGCCCUCAGCUUUUCUCCACGCCUCUUGUAUCUCACAAAGGUACCCAAAAAAACACGGAUCAGAAAAAGGGAUCAAUCAGGGGACGUGGCUCUCCAUCCCUCUCACCGCCACCGUGAACGCAUCGUUCCUUUGCCAUGUCGAUCAUGCAUCGUCGCCAUGGGAUGAGUGGAAAGUUUCCACUGUUCCAUCAAUUCCAUUGCCAGGUAUGUUUUCCCACAAAUGUCUACGUCUCCAUGUAUGAUUAGUUGACAUUGAUUCCGUGAAUCCAUACUACUGCUUCUGUAGGCGUCUUCCCUUUUAAAUCCAUCUUCAAUUU